Molecule: long non-coding RNA, 115281 nt
Filed under: Malus domestica (apple)
Lineage: Eukaryota; Viridiplantae; Streptophyta; Magnoliopsida; Rosales; Rosaceae
Source: RNAcentral
UCGUAUUUCAUAUGAGCAUACACAUUCUACUAUAUACGUGAUCUGCCUCAUUCAGCAUUCCAGUAAGAAGCAAAAUGAUAAGAACAAUUGUGACAAUUACAUCAAAAGAAAGAAGCUAAUUAGCAAGUAAUCAUUCGAAUAAGCUGAACUCACGGAAGCAGGAACCUAAACACUAUCAAGAUGGUCUCUGUUGUAGCAUGCCCAUAGUAAGAUCAUAGUUUGAAGUAUGUUAGGAUGCCACUUGUCAUCAUCUCAAUAUGACAAAUGUAAGGUUGAGAUGCUCUAGUAGUAGAUAAGAUGGUUAUAAGUUGUCGGAUGAUAGCUUACAGAGGAAGCUAAGUAGUUUACAUAUAAGGAAGUCGGUUGUAAUUGGGAGGGGGUCAUUGGAAUAAUCUCUGUGUAAUACAAGAAAGUACUAUGCAAUUGUGAAGAAGCCGAGCAAGGUUUUAACAUUGGUAUCAGCCAGUGUCGAUUCCUCUCAAUCCUUCAUUGUUGUAUGCCUCGCCGACCCCGGAACACCAUGGAAUCGCGAGUGUCGACUUUGGAAACCAUGCUCGCCGAUCUCAAAGAUGAGUUCAAGAACAGCCAAGAGAUGAUCAUGAUGCAGCUGCAAUCAUGAUGCAGAUGGAUGCAUUAUUUGUGGCUUUUAUCGUUAUUGAAAUCUUGUUGGAAUUUCGACAUUUAUUGAUCAUAAUGCAUCCAUCUGCAUCUCCGUUGUAUCAUUACCCUGUACAAAGAAAGUGGCUCGAAGUCUUGAGAAGCACAUAACCAACAAUCAAACCGCGGCAUUUGGGUGCUCCAUUAGAAAUGGUGGGACUACGACCAGGAAUCCCAGGUACAUUACGUCUUGCUACAGUUAAAAGGGACAAAUGCUCAAAAUCAAAUACAUAUUCGUGAUAUAACUUUGGCACUCUUAUUUCUGAUACAUAUUUGUGACUGAGCAGAUAAUCAUAGAUAAAAUCUUAAAAAAAAAAAUAUAUAUAUAUAUAUAUAUAUAUCACAAUUUCAACCAGAAAUUUCAAUGGCUCUGACGUCAACGUUCUUCAACUCCGCCUUCGGAACAGUGACACUCAGAACUCCAUUCUCCAUGGCAGCCUUAAUCUGAUCAACCUUUGCGUUCUCCGGAAGCUGAAACCUCCUCAAGAACUUGCCGCUGUUCCUCUCCACUCUGUGCCACUUGUCGUUUAUAUCCUCCUUCUCCACGUUCCUCUCUCCGCUGAUCUUAAGCACCCUGUCGUCUUCCACCUCCACCUUCACCUCCUCUUUUUUCAGCCCCGGAACGUCCGCCUUGAACACAUGGGCUUCGGGGGUCUCCUUCCAGUCGACCCUAGUGUUCACAAAAGCCGAAUUCUCCCGAGAAAAUUCAGGAAAUGCGGAGAGUGAUGAGGAGGAAGGGAACGGGAAAUCCUUGAAAGGGUCCCACAGAUUGAGGGAGAAUGGGUCGAAGACGCUGCUGCUUCCUCGUCGGGAGUUGGGAAUUAGCGACAUUCUGAAAAACCGAUGGGGUUGGUUUGGAUGCAGAGAAAUUUGAGAAUUAUUACAGAAUUAUUGCUUUUGCUGGACUGAUUGGAAAAGUAGCGGAUUUGAUAUAUUUAUAAGGAACCGAAGAAUUUUCUAGAACAGACUUGAGGAUGAGGCUGGAAAAGUAUGUGUGAGUUUCUCGAACUUUCUAGGAUGCUUGAGAAUAAUUGGAACUUUCUUAGGACGCUUAAGAAUAAUCCGACGUUUGUGUGAGUUACUCACACAACACGGUUGACUUCAUGAUGAUGAAUGGUGGACCCAAAAGCCUAAGUGUGGGGGUUGUAUGGGCCAUUCGAUUUAAUCGGACGGUUAAAACUGAAGAUACUGUGCAAGUUAUAAGCGGGGCGUUUGAAUCUUUGAUAUGUAUUAUUUGGACUUAUUGAUAAAUAAUAAUAUUUACAUUAAAUUAACAAUAUCAACUAAAUAUCAAUAACAUUUAACAUCUCAUGAAGUAGCUUAUCUAAAGGUAAAGGGAGUUAUAGCCCAAACAAGCAAAUUACCAGUUAAGUAAUAUGAUGGUCACUUAGUGCUACCUUUAAUGAUAUUUUUCUUUAUUUGAGAGUGAGAGGUCUUAGAUUCGAUUCUCGUCAAAAGCGAAUUCGAAUCAUAUUAUUGUUUAGGGUAAAUUGCCAAUUUAGUCCCUGAAUUAUUACCUUAGUGAAAAUUAGAUUCCUAAACUAUUUUUUUCAGAAAAAUUAGUCCCUGAAAUAUAAAAAUCUGCCAAUUACAUCCCUAAUGUUAUAUUCGAAGCUACUAUAUUCAAAUUUUCGUCAAUUUAAGUUAUAUUACUUGCAUGCGAUACACAUUGGAGGGUAGAUUGGUAGUUUUUCAUAAAGAAAUAGUGUAUGGAGUUAACUUUGGAUGAGAAAUUAAUAGUGUACAAAAUAAUACAUAAAAUAUUGUAAAACACACAUAAAAGGAUCUAAGCCUAAAAAGAAAAAUCAUCCACAGAGCCCAGUCAGUAAGGUUCUAUACGCCAUAAGAAUGAAAUAAAGCAUUUUAUUGUGCACCAUAAGAUUGGAAGAAUCAAUCUUAUACCUAGCCAAUUACCAAUGGCUGAUCAAAGUUCUAGCUCAUAAAUAUUAAGUACAAAUGUGAAAAACAAACUGAAAUCUAUAGGCCAAAUUGAUAAUAAAUAAAUAAAUAAAAAAAGAACAUCUGCACGCCCGCACCGACAGUAAAGCUAGUUUAGUCUUUAGCGGAAUUCUUUUCUCUCUUCUAUCCCCCUUUUUUUUUUUUGGUCGAAGCCCAAUUCUUUUUCAUUCACGAAGUUUCUAGCAACUUCUGUUUUGCCUUCAUUGAGCUGUUGGGUUUCAUGCUCUUUCUAGUUUUACGGUACCUGAAAUUUUCCAGAAACGUCUUUGACUCCUCAUAAAUACGUCACUAACCCCACGCCCUUCACCAACCAGUGAAGCCAAGCAAGAACUCUCCCUACUGACUCCAAUUUGAUUCCCAAGGCAGCCAAACAAAACCACAUCAAGUUUUUUGUUUUUUAGGUUUUUUUAAUAAAUUAUAAAAAAUUAUCUCAAUUAUGAAUCCAACUACAAUCUUAUAUAUCAUGUUCAAACAUUACAAUGUUAUAUGAAUUCCUUUAAAUAUUCUAUUAAUUUUAAUUGUUAAAUGAUGAGAUGCCAGGAAUGGAGCUCACUCUUUUGAUAAUUGGAAUAAAAAAUUAAUCAAUUAAUAAUAAAUUAAUAAUUUUUUAUUUACAAUUAAAAUCAAUUAAAAAAAAAACUCUCUCAGCCGCAUCCCUCCGUUACCCCCCCCCCCCCCACAUUUUCCGAGCAACCAAACAAACCAAAGCAUAUAAUUUUUUCCAGAAAAAAAUUCAAAACCCAAGUCGAAAAAUCACAAGAGAGUGCAGACCUGAUUUUUUAUCCCAAAAACAUGCAUUGAAUGUGGAUCCGGCAAUUACAAGCAGGACGCGAUUCCCAAACCUCACAAAUCAAAAUUUACAAACCCUUAAAAUCCCAAUAGAUUUACGAGUUCCCGGAGUGGGAUUCAAAUCCCACGAAACCUUCAUAGCCAUUGGACCAAAACACUAGACUAUUUCUCUACUAGAGAAAAUUAAGAUUUAAUUUUUAAUUUAAACCCAUGAUGUUAUGGGUACAAUGAUUUUUGGGCAUCGGUGGAGACUACGCGCAGACGAAGGAGAUAAGGGAAUAGAGAAGACUCGCAGACUACCUCACCGAAAAGAUCUCAUCUCCCCUCCCCAGAACAACACCUUCCACUACUCCAAAAUUCCUAGGUACUCGAUUCCACUAGCAGAGACAACCACAUCAGCAAUGGCGAUGGCGAUUAUGCAGCUUCAAAUUCUCAUGAUGCACUCGAGAGCUCCCUUGCCGAUCUUUAGAACAUUGACGAUGGAUAGACGAGGAUUGGAAAAGUCUCGAUCAUCGUCAGGUCCAGGAAUCGCGGGCGGGAAGCUCAUACGGUAGCCGGAUCUCGAGGUGGUUUCGAUGACAGAAGACUCGCUGCAGACAACCAUCAAGAAGCAACAAGAGAGACAGAAGGAGAGAUGGGGUUUUUAAUAACUUUAAUUUUUUCAGAUUAAAAAUUCUUGACUUAUUUAAUUUUUAAAUUAUGAGUGGGUCCUAUUAUUGCCAAGUCAUCAUUUAGCAGUCAAACUGAUAGAAAAUUUAAUGAAGGUGUGACAUUGCAACGAAUUUAGAAGUUGAUGUAUGAUAUUGUAAUGUUUAAUACAUGAAGUAUGAGAUUGUGGUUCGACCCAUAUUUAAAGUAGUUUUGUAUAAUUUAUCAUUUUUUUUCUUCAAAAUGUUGCUUAUCCCCACCUCUCAACAAGGCAACAGCAUCUUCGACCAAUUCUCCCUCAACUUGUGUGACCCUUUCAAGGAUUUCCCAUUCCCUUCCUCCUCAUCACUCUCUGCAUUCCCUGAUUUUUCUCGGGAAAAUCGGCUUUUAUGGACACUACAGUCAACUGGAAGGAGACCCCCGAAACCCACGUGUUCAAAACGGACAUUUUGGGGCUGAAGAAUGAUGAGGUGAAGGUGGAGGUGGAAGACAACAAGGUGCUUCAGAUCAGCGAAGAGAAGAAUGUGGAGAAGGAGGACAAACACAACAAGUGGCAUAGAGUGGUAAGGAGCAGAGGUAAGUUCUUGAAAGAUUUCAGCUUCCGGAGAAUGCAAAGGUCGAUCAGAUUAAGGCUGCCAUGGAGAAUGGAGUUCUGAGUGUGAUCGUACCAAAGACAGAGGUGAAGAAGCCUGACGUCAAAGCCGUUGAAAUCAAUGGUUAAUUAAUAGUGAAAUAAUAAGAUUAUGAAUGUUGUGUUCUUAGGAAAUAAGAUUAUGAAAUAGAGUGCCCAAAAAAGAGUGAUUUGUGUAAUUGUUUGUAAAAUAAUGACUUGUGUGUAGUUAAUUUGAUACAAAUUUGGAUUUAUGCGUUUGAAAAUAAUAAAAAUUUUAAAUGAGGAUAAUCGGAAAACAACUUUUGUAGUAAAAAUUUAGAUUUAAAUUUUUUGGUAAAGUUCAUUAGGUUUCAUGUUCGAAUGUGACAUUUAUAUUAUUUUUCUGUUACUUGUCAUUUCACUCUAUAUUUUUUCACGGGGUAUCAUACCAUUGCCAAGCCCCUUUCUCACUUCUCCCUCUUCGUCUCUCUACACCUACAUCCCGUCUUCUCUCUCCUCCGUCUCACUUUCCAUGCGCAAAACAUUUUUGUGAGUUUUUAGAUUUUAAAGCUCUGAUUGGAUCAGUUUGAAUGAAAAGUUUUAACCAAGCUUCUAAAACUGGAGAAAGGAUUUCUAGGCAGCAAAAGGCAAGACCCAUGGCGUACAAUUGAGAUUUAAAAAAAAAUGGCUUUGAGAUUUGUUGGUUAGGAUGUCCUUCCCUCAAUUGUGAGUAGGGUUGGGCAAAUACCCAUUGGUUAUGGGUAACCGUGAUUACCCGCCAAUUUAAAUUAAAUGGUUACGGUUAUGGGUAACCGUUUAGAUAAAUAAACAGUUAUGGGUAUAACCGUUUACCCGCAAAGUGUAAAUGGGCGGUUAUGGAUAUUAACCGCGGUUAUAAACGGGUAACCGUUUACCCAUUUAUUUUAUAUAUAUAAAAUUAACACAAAAUAUGUUCUCUACUAGACAAAACUUAGAUCAAUGCUAUUGACUAUAAUGUGAUUUAUAUAGCGCUGUUUUAAUUAAUUAAAAAGUAAUAAACGAUAAUCCGUGCAGUAUUUUUAUCCUUAAAUUGAGUAAAUCAAAAGAAAUUUAAGUGAGAAAAAUAAACGGGAGCGCACUGAAAUCAUUUCCCUUGCAGUAUGCAUGCAUUAGAUUUUUUCAUGUGUUUACUGUAGCUAUAUGUUGAUCUUGGAUCGAACAAACUGGAAAUCGAACAUUCUUACAGGGCUAUUGAUCCCCUACAUUUUCUUUACCCUUCCUUCAAUAUUGUUCAACAUCUUCAAGUUCUUUUCUACACGUAGUUACCGUACAAGUUAUAUAUUUCCUGUUGUCUGUGUUUCUUAUUUGUUCUAUUCCCUAAAAAUCUUUAUUUUUCUAGGGGAGAGAAUGGAAAAUGGAUUGCUCUCGUUACGUUGGCAUAUAAAUAAUCCACGUAACGGUGCCCGUCGUUGUGUCUUUUCCGGUAAUUAUUUCAAUUAUUGGAAUGUUAUAAGGACUUAAAAAUUUAAAAUACGGAAAUGGAUGAUGAAUGUACCUAUAACGGUGUUUAAUUGUCACAAAAAAUAAAAAUUAUAACAAUUUUUUUUUAAAUUUCCAAGUUGUUAAAAAAUAUGUAGACGGGUGAAAAAUGGGUAACGGUAAAAAAAUAAAAAGAUAAAUGAGUUAAAAAUGGUAAAUGGGUAAACGGGUAUUAAACGGUUACGGUUAAAUGGAUAUGCGGUUAUGGGUAUGGUUAACCGUUUAUAAAUGGUUAUGGGUAUGAGUAUAACCGUUUAAGCAAUUACCCAACGGGUAAACGGUUAUGCGGGUAUGAGCAUAAACGGUUAUGGGUAAAUAACCGCGAUUGCCCACCCGGCAUAACCGUUGCCCAUCCCUAAUUGUGAGCAGCUCUUAAUAUGCUUUCUUCGCAGGAAGGCGAAUUGGAGACAAUAGUAUGCUUUUGAAGGAGUUUCUUAAAAAAACACUUUCAAACAAAUUUGUAUAGAAUUUAUAUGCUACGACUAAUAGUAGCCCUACUAUUGUUCGAAAUAGAUUACCAAUUCUAAUUGUGAUGUUUGUACCGUAAAAUAAUGUGAUGCCUCGAACGAAUGAGGAUGGCUCAAGCCAUGUAUUGUGCCUUGAGAAUGUGGGGUUGGGAAGCAAUGCAUCCAAUUUUUCUUUCACUUUAUCCUUCUUCUUUUUUUGUUAAAGAAAGUACCAUAUGGUUCGUAAGCAAAGUAUCCAAAUCUUUUUCACUUUUUUCUUGAUAAAGAGAAAUACAAAGUGGGUUCGAAAGCAAUGCAUCUCAUUCUCUUUCCCUUUGUCUUUUUCUUGUUAAAAAAGAAUGAAAAUACCUUACUUCAGAAUCACCUCCUCUUGAGGUAAUGCUCGUUAAAUAUAUUUUUUUUGCUUCUCUAUUUAUAUUGUUAGAGAACUCUUAUUAACCUUUCCCCAUUGAAGUUAUCUGCUCAUUGCAUUGCUGAGGUAACAUAAUAUGUCCUCCUUGUGCAUGAUACCAUUCAACAUUCAUAUUUUCUAGCAAAUUCGUGAAGUAACAAUGUCAGUACCAGACACAUGAGUUGUUGUUGAAUAAGGCAUAGAUUUUAGAAUUUCACUUUUACUCUAGUGAACUGUUGCAUUGGGUUGAUUUACAAUACAGGUACGUAUGUACAGCUUGGAAACUUUAUUUCUUUUCAAUAUUUGUUGUUUUAGGUGUUUAUUUUUACCCAUGUGUGACUAAGAAACAAAAGUGUUGGUUUUACAAUAUAUUUUCUAGAAAAUUCGUGAAGUACCAGAUCCAGCAGCAGACAUAUUGUUGUUGAACAAGGCAUAGAUUUCACAAUUUCAUUUUUUUCCCUACCGGUUAGUUGCAUUUGGUUGAUUACAAUACAGGUACGUAUGUUCUUAGAAACUUCAUUUCUUUUCAAUAUUUGUUGUUUUAGGUGUUUGUACUAUAUGUUUAUGCAUUUUGAUGUUCAUCCACGUCAACUGAAAUUGAGCUAAUCCCCCCCCCCUUAUAAUCUAAUUUUUAGUUUUCUCACUCAAUACAAAAAGUUUUAAAUCAUGUCUGCUAUAUGGUGGUGAAAUGUAAACUAUUAGAAAUUUGUAUGCUGUAAAAUAAUAAUGAGUAAAUAAAUAUACAUGCAGUGAAACCGUCAAUUGAAAAUAUGACUUUACCCCUUGAAAUUCAAUUUUCUUUAACUAAAACUCAUCAUAGUAUAUUUUCCUAACAAAAACUCAUUGACUUUACCUCUUGAGAAAAAAAAAGGGCCUUCGGGUUUUUACAUAUAUAUAUUUUUUUCACUUCUCCUAUUUAUAUUGUUAGAAAGCUCUUAUUAACUCUUCCCCAUUGAAGUUAUCUGUUCAUAUAUAUGCAUUGAUGUGCAUCAUCUUUCCUCCUUGUGCAUGCUAACAUUCAUCAUUCAAAUUUUCUUGCAAAUUCGUGAAGCACCACUACCAGUACCAGACAUAUGAUUUGUUGCUGAACAAGGCAUAGAUUUCAAAAUUUCAAUUUUACUCUGUUGGACAAUUGCAUUGCGUUGAUUUACGAUACAGGUAUGUAGUACUUCUCGAAAACUUUGUUUUUAUCUUGCUUGACUAAGAAACUAAAAUGUUAGUUUUACAAUCUAGUGCCCACCAGAUAUUCUAUUUCAGGAUUCAGCUCAACAAUUUUAUUGAUUAGGUUUUGACUUCACACAAUUUUGUAUUUUUAGAUGUUUAAAAUAUCCCUAGUAACUUAUGUCAGAUUAAAAACAAAUUUUAAUAUCAUGAUUUCAUUGCAUAUUAAUAAUAAAAGUAUAUGAUUCUACGGUUUUCAUUUGUUUUAUUUUAUUUUUUUUCCUUUUUAAAUUCCCUAGUUGCUUUUCAAAUUUGCAUAAAUUAGGAUUUUUUUUUUGGUUUAAUUUUUCCGUUUUCAAAAUAUGGGAGCAUUAGUUACCAACAAAAUAUAAGAAUGUUAUUUUUCAAAAUUAUUUAAUUAUAUUCUAUAUAAAUAUGGGUAAAUUAUUUUACUACACAUAUAUAAUAACAAUAAAAUGUGCUUAAUGUAUGUAAUAAUACAUGCAAAAUAAUUUACCUACAACAUAAGGGAUGUGAUUUGGUUCAAGUUUAUUUUACCUACAUUUCACAUAUUGAUAUGGGGAAAUUAUUUUAUGUAGAUUAAAGUACCUACUUAAAGAUGAAGAAUGUGAAUUGGUCCAAGAUUUAAUUUACAAUUAUUUCAAAUAUAUAGAUAUAAGUAAGGGGAAUUUUGAUCUAGGUGCAACAUCCCUAGCAUUUAGACUUUUUUAUUAAACUAUUUUCUACAAUUUUGGUGCCACGUUUUCUAAAAUGUCCUUCUUUUUGAAAUUCAAAAUUACAUGAAGUGCCAUUGAUCCACCAAUUUAUUCAAAAAGUAGUUCCGAAAUCUAGCCUUCUUCAAACCAAAUUUAUUAUUUUUAUUAAUCCAAAACAAAGACACAUAUUAUUAAGUUAUCAACCAAUGACAUGUGCCAAAAAUUAAAAUUAAAAUAACCAAAACUAGAAUCAAACGUACCAUAAACUAGAAUUAAACGUACCAACACUAAAACUAAAUGUACCAAUCAACGAUAUAUACAAAAUAAUUCUCUCACUAAAAUGUAUACAUAAAAUAUAAACAUCCACCAUUUUCAUUGUCUUGAAGGUAAAAUUAUAUUUUAAUUUUAGGAGAAAAAAUAUUUUUUACGAAGAAAUUAUAACAAAGAGAUCAUUUGAUAAGCAUCAGGUGCGACUUUGUGGCAAGGCUUCAUAUCGUUUCGGGUUUGAACUAAGUGAUGCUUAGGCCAUCUCCAACCGAAGGGUUCAGAGGGCCAGAAGGUCGAAAAUAGCCCGAAAACCGUCUCCAACCGAGGGCUAGGCCAAAGGGCUCUGGAAUCUGGGAGGGCCCCACGGAAUCGGAGAGGGCUGGAGGGCUGGAGGGUUGGCUGCAUGCAGCCAGCCAGCCCGGGGCUGGCUAUUUUUUUUUAAUGUUUUGUUAUUCCUGUCGGUUAUAACCGACAUGAAUACAUUUAUACUAAAUAAUAGCAUGUAUUCCUGUCGGUUAUAACCGACAUGAUUUCUUAAGAAAAAAUUCAAAUGCAACGGCUACUAGACGUUGCAUUUGAUUUAUUUAUUUAUUUAUUUUCAGUUUUAUUAUUAUUUUUUAUUUACAAAAAUUUUCAUAUAACUUCUAUUUUUUCCUAUAACUUCUAUUUCACAAAAUUUAUUUCAUAUUUUUUUUUAAAUUCCAUUUUUUCCCUAUAACUUCUAUUUCACAAAAUUUGUUUCAUAUUUUUUUUAAAUUCCAUUUUUUUCCUAUAACUUCCUAAGCCAUUAUACAACAUUAAAUUAAAUUAAGUAACAUGAAACAACAUUAAACAAUAUGAAACAACAUUACAUAACAUUAACCAACAUAAAAAUUAUACAACAUGAAACUUAAAUGGAGACGGUUUUUAAAUGGGUUGAAUUUAAGUUGUAGUCUUUAAAUAAUAAAUUAUGUUUGGCCCUAUGGUCUUCGGUUGAAGACGGUUUUUUGUGACAGGGCUAAAACGAGCCAUCUGGCCCUCGGUUGGAGACGGAGGCAAAUAUGACCCUGUACUGUUCAUUAAAAUAUUAAUAUCUUGAAGAAUCUUGGAGGGCUAGAGGGCUAAAACGAGCCAUCUUGCCAACCAUCGGUUGGAGAUGGCCUUAAGCCUUAAAGUAUGAGUCAUAGAGGAAAAAUAACAAAGAUCUACACAAAACUCAAACAAAAGAUAAAGAUAGAGAAAACAAUAGAUAAGUUUUCUGGGUGGGCUCAAAACUGUCAUAAAUAGUGGGCGAUGGAGGAAGGAGGCUUGAAUUUUGAAACGAACCAUGAGGGUUGCUGGAAAAAAUAAAAAAUAAAAAAAUAAAAACUAGAGGAGGUGUGGGGUCUAUGGUAAUGGGAUGAGGAUGAAUGAAAAAACCAAUAAAACAAAAAUAUAAAGAAAUAAAAGAAUUGAAAAAACCCGAUAUAUCACGUUGUUUGCUGUAUCGUGUAAGCUUGACAAUGAGCUUAUAAUAAUGUGAUUCAAAUUCGCAUUUGACGAGAAUCGAACAUAAAACCUCUCACUUACAAGUAAAUAAAAAUAUCACUAAACUGCAAUACUAAGUGAUAAUACAACUUAGAUUUAAACAGGACAAAAAUAUAUGAUUAUUAAUGUUGUGCUGGGGUGCUUCUUUGGUUUAGGCAUCAGAGCACUGAGCGCGGGACUUACAAAAGCCACCAACAAGGAGAAGCAUUCCGGUUGUUGUCUUUGAUUUCAGAAGGAAAUGGAAAUUAUAAUUGCAAUUGCCUCAAAAAUUGGAGAGUCCUUGGUCACCAAUAGGAACAGAGUUUGGCUAUUUGGUUAAUUACCAUUCCAACCUUGAAAGUCUUAGGGGUGAGAUAAAAAAGCUUUUUGACAAGAAUGAUGGAGUGCAAAGAUUGGUAGAUGCUGCCAAAAGGAAUGGUGAAAUCAUCAAACCUGAUGUUCAGAGUUGGCUAAAGAAUGUGAACGACGACAUGGUCAAAAAAGUGUUGCAGUUUGAGGAUGAAAUUAACAAGAAAGGCGAUGUGUGUAUCGAUGGAGCUUGAGUCGGAGAGCCUAUAAGAUUAAACAAGAAGUUCUUCAGCUCCAAAACGAAGGAGCAUUUGAAAAUAUGGCCCAUCCUGCACCUUCACCAGAGAUAUGGUCAACAUUCAAGAAAGGUUUUAAGGAUUUCAAGUCCAGAAUGGCAUACAUGAAUAAGGUGAUAGAGGGUUUGAAGAGGGAACGAGUACGAAUGAUCGGGAUUUGUGGAAUGGGGGGUGUGGGUAAAACCAUAAUGGUGAAAGAAAUCAUCGUAAGAUUGGCAAAACUAGACUUGUUUGAUAAAAUUGUAAUGGCAACUGUGUCUCAAAGUCCAAGUAUUAGGAUGAUCCAGUCGGAAAUUGCAGACAAAAUAGGUUUGAAAUUUGAGGAGGAAUCAGAGCCCGGAAGAGCACUAAAGCUACGUGGGAGACUCAUGGAAAUAAAGAGGAUCCUGAUUGUAUUAGAUGAUGUCUGGACAGAGCUUAAUUUUGAGGCUAUAGGACUCCCUUGUGGAGAUGAUCAUGAAGGGUGCAAAGUUUUGUUGACAUCACGAGAUUCGGAAGUCUGCAACAGGAUGGGAAGUCAACAAAUUAUUGCUGUCCCGAUUUUAACACCAGAAGAAUCACAGGAGCUCUUUCGAGAAAUGGUAGGUGAAUCCUUCAAUGAUCCUUAUUUACGUUCCACUACAAAAGAUGUAUUGAAGGAAUGUGGAGGUUUACCUAUUGCAAUUGUAACUGUUGGAAAAGCCCUAGAAAAGAAAAACAAGUGUGAAUGGGAUGAUGCCCUUAAUCAGCUGCGAAAAUCUACCCCAGUGAACAUCCCUGGAGUGAAUGACAAAGUUUAUUCUAGCAUAAAAUGGAGUUAUGAUAGAUUGGAGAGUGAUGAAGCCAGGUCAUGUCUUUUACUUUGUUGUUUAUUUCCAGAAGAUUAUGAUAUUCCAAUUGAGUAUUUGAUUCGAUAUGGGUGGGGUCGAGGAUAUUUUAGCAACAUCUUUACUUUGGAAGAUGCAAGAAAUAGAGUGCAUUAUUUGGUUGGCCAACUAAAAAGAAGGUUUUUGUUGCUCGAUAGUGGCAAGAGUGAGGCUACAAAAAUGCAUGACGUAGUUCGCGAUGUUGCCAUAUGGAUUGCUUCAAGAGAUCCACAUGGAUUUUUGAUAAGAAGUGAUGCUGAAAAUAAAGGGUGGCCAAAUUUAGCUACAUAUGACCAUUACACUACCAUCUCACUUGUUGGCGAAUUGGAGAUUCAACAUGGUUUGAAAUGCCCAAAACUUGAGCUUCUACAGACGAUGGAAGGACGUUUUUCAGAAGGUAGCAUGGACAACAUUUGUAAGGCGAUGAAAGAACUGAAGGUUUUAGCUUUGGUGGGAAUGGAAAUGGAAGACCUAGGCUCAUCAAGAUCACUAGGAUUACUGAAGAAUCUGCGGACCUUGUGCCUAGAUGGGUCUAAUUUUGAUGGCACGUCUACUGAUGUUAUUGGGAGUUUGGAGAAUUUAGAAAUCCUCAGCUUUCGGGAAUGUGAUUCCAUGCGUGAGUUGCCGAGGGAAAUUGGACGACUUAAACAGUUAAGGUUGUUAGAUACGACAGACUGUCGGAAACUUGAGGUGAUUCCACAUGGUAUCUUAUCCAGCUUAUGUAGACUUGAAGAACUGUAUAUGCAUUGUAGCUUUAAUAAAUGGGAAAUUGGAAGAGGAAGAGAAGAAAAGGGGAUGGCAAGCAUUUCUGAGGUGAUGUCUCUGUCUCAUCAUUUGAAGGUUCUAGCCAUAAAUAUACCCAAUGUCAUCCACUUGUUGCCAAAAGACAUAGUCUUUGAAAAGCCCAACAAUAAGAUUCGGUAUAUGCCUUGCAAGAUGGACAGAAGCAGUCAAAGAAUUUUUUAGGACAACUUAUGCAUUCGAAAAUUGUUUGAUGAUUGAAAAAAGUGAUGCAAGGGAGUUGGAGGAGAGUCAAGCAGUUAGACUUUUGUUGAAAAAAUCUAAAAAUUUGACUUUGCGCAAAGUUAAGAAUUUCUCUGUCCUCACUGAUUUAGACCAAGAAGGAUUUCAAGAUUUGAAAGAUUUGGAUCUUCGGUAUUGUCCACAUAUCGAGUAUCUUGCAAAUGGAACAAGUGGGUUUUUGACCAACCUAAGAAUCAUUCAAUUGAAAUUUUGUGGUGUCUUAAAAUAUGUCUUUUCAUUAUCAGUAGCAAGAAACUUGGUACAACUCCAGGAAUUAAACAUUUAUGGAUGUGAUCAAAUGGAAGAAAUUGUGUCAAAGCAAGGGAGAGAACAUGAGGAGGAAGCCGAUAUAAUAUCUUUCCAUAAAUUAACCAAUUUGACUCUCGAGGGUCUAGGGAGUUUGGUUGGUUUCUUCCAAGCCAACAAGCUAUACUCCAACCAAGAAGAGGUAUGUCCCACUCUCCAAUCUCUAUGAGAUGAGGAGGCAGCCGAUAUGUGGAAAUUUGAAAUUAUUUAACUGAUAAUUAUUUUUCUUUUUCAGGAAAAAACGGCAAGGGUUGAGCAUCAAUCUGCAGGCAUAUUUGAAAAAGCAAUAUUUCCAUCAACGUGCAUUUCAUGGUUUCCAAGUUUAGAAAAGGUGAGAUUGGGAUUUAUGGAGUUUGAAGGCGUGCUAUUUGAUCUUAAAAUCCAUGUAGUUAUGGAUGGGCAGACAGCUCCAACUUUUCCCCAGUUACGUGGGUUGGAGAUAAUUUUUUGUUCGUUUACACAUUUGUGGAAAAACAUUCCAUCUGGAUUUCAGGGCUUCCGAAAUUUGAGAUGUUUGGAUAUAAGAGAAUGUUGUGGUCUAAAAUAUGUGUUCUCGCAUUUAAUUGCCCGAGAACUUUUGAAUCUUGAAGAGGUAAAGAUAUCUAGAUGUCCGGACAUGGAAACUAUAGUUAGAAUCAAAGAGCAAAAUGAAGAAGAGGCGACAAAACACAUGAUUUUGUUUCCGAAACUGAACACAUUUGAACUACAAUACCUGCCUCGUCUCACAAGUCUUUGUCCAGAGGGAUUUACAUUUCUAUGGUCAUCCAUAAAAAAUAUGCACGUGAACAAAUGUGAAAAUUUGAAGACAUUGGUGAAUAACUUGAAGAAGGAUUCAACAAGUCAUGAUUUCAGCACUUCUCCAACACGUUCAUCGAAUUGGUGCCCUGCUGGAUGUGGAUGCGCACCAUACUCAAGACCAAACGCCCACCGCCCCAUUGAAAUAUUGCCACGUCCAAUUAACCUGGAGGUAAGCUUUUAAAUCAGGUUCAAUUAACCUCUAUAAGUACAACUUUUAAUUAGUAUUGUAUCAUCUUGUUGAUCGUGUUUAAUUUUCUAGAUUACACCAACUAAUCUUGAAGACUCAAAUGAUGAUGAUAAUCUCGAAAAUCUUACUGUAAGUGACUGUAAUUCGAUGGAAGUGAUUUUCCAACUCAAGGGACCGAAGCAUGAAGAAAGUAGUCACUCUGUUGAAGCAUUCAAUAAAUUGAGUUCCUUGCAGUUAUAUACAUUGCCAAGUUUAACGCGUGUUUGGGAGACGGGUAGUUCACAACCGAUGUUUACGGGAAGCAGCUUCGGAAACUUGAAAUCGCUGCGGGUCUAUUAUUGCAACCAGUUGAAAUACUUGUUUUCAUCGUCCAUAGUCAAACUUCUUGUGAGUGUAGAGAACAUAGAAGUUCAGAAGUGUGAGCAGAUGGAAGAAAUCAUUGCCGCAGAAGAAGAAACAGCUGAAAUAAUUACAUUACCUAAAGUGAAGUCCAUCAAGCUUUUAAGGCUGCCAAAACUCAAGUAUUUUUGUGGUGAAGCUUAUACUUUGAAGUUGCCGUCUUUGGAGUUAUUGAAGGUUACUGACGUGCAAAACUUAAGCCUAUUAGCUCCUAAACUUACCGGCACACAUCCCCGAUUGCAAGUACGCACCGCGUUGGGAGUGGCUGAAUGGAAGGGGGACCUCAAUGCCACUCUAAGGAAUAUUUACGUCACAAGGUAUGCUUUAAUAUAAGGUUUUUAAUUUCCAAUCAUUUAUGGCAAACAGCACAAAAAUUUCGACAACAAAUUUAGGCAAAGCAUAAUCAACAGUUCAGAUUUAGUUUGACGAAAGUGUAAUCAAAAUUUAGUCAAAAAUACACAUACACACACAUAAAUAUGUAUGUGUGUAUGUGUGUGUGUGUGUGUGUGUGUAUAUAUAUAUAUAUGUAUGUGCGUAUGUGCACACUAGAGUGUAUUUAGAUAUGUUUUUCUUCUUUUGAAAACUCAAUUAUAUCUCAAGAAAAUAUCUGUCUUUUAUUUCUAACACAGGAAGGGUGAAGAUGAUGAAAUCGACAGGAAGGAUGAACACAAUUAAUCGAUCAAGCACAUCUUCAACUUCUUCUAGGUUUAGUAAAAACUGCUAUUUUCGGAAACACAUAUACAAUAAGCAUAACCGUUUCAACUUAUUUGAGUUUCAGUGAUUUCUAAUAUUCUCCAAUGCAUGCAGGACAACAAUUCAAAGAAGGUUGUGGCUUCAACAAUUCGUUUACCAUCUCAUAUGUACAAACCAAUAAAAUGUCAUUUGUUGCACCAGACUUUCAUUCCAAAAAUACAUCGUCAAUGACAUUUAUCUAAGUUCUCAUUAUUAAUGUUUGUAUCUAAGUUCGCAUUAUUAAUGUUUGUUUAUUUGCCCGAAGAAAUGAGAAAUGCUUAUGUAAAAAUAAAUACAACAACAACAACAACAACAAAGCAUUUUCCCACUAAGUGGGGUCGGCUAUAUGAAUCCUAGAACACCAUUGCGCUCGGUUUUGUGUCAUGUCCUCCGUUAGAUCCAAGUACUCUAAGUCUUUUCUUAGAGUCUCUUCCAAAGUUUUCCUAGGUCUUCCUCUACCCCUUCGGCCCUGAACCUCUGUCCCGUAGUCACAUCUUCGAACCGGAGCGUCAGUCGGCCUUCUUUGCCCAUGUCCAAAUCACCGGAACCGAUUUUCUCUCAUCUUUCCUUCAAUUUCGGCUACUCCUACUUUACCUCAGAUAUCCUCAUGCCCAAUCUUAUCCUUUCUCGUGUGCCCACACAUCCCACGAAACAUCCUCAUCUCCGCUACACCCAUUUUGUGUAUGUGUUGAUUCUUCACCGUCCAACAUUCUGUGCCAUACAACAUCGUUGGCCUUAUUGUCGUCCUAUAAAAUUUUCUCUUGAGCUUCAGUGGCCUACGACGGUCACAUAACACGCCGGAUGCACUCUUACACUUCAUCCAUCCAGCUCGUAUUCUAUGGUUGAGAUCUCCAUCUAAUUCUCCGUUCUCUUGCAAGAUAAAUCAUAGGCAGCAAAAAUGGUCGCUUUUUGUGAUCUUCGCUAGAUUGCUCCGGUCAUUAGUGUGGAUAAGUAUAUAAAUGAAUAGAGAUAGGAAAGCAAACACAAGAUGUACGUGGUUCACCCAAAUUGGCUACGUCCACGGAAUAGAAGAGUUCUCAUUAAUUGUGAAGGGUUUACACAAGUACAUAGGUUCAAACUCUCCUUUAGUGAGUACAAGUGAAUGAUUUAGUACAAAUGACAUUCGGAAAUAUUGUGAGAGAAUGAUCUCGUAAUCACGAAACUUCUAAGUAUCGGAGUGUGGUAUCGUCUUGACUUGCCUUAUCUGUCUCAUAGGUAGAUGUGGCAUCUUCUCUGGAAGUACUCUUCCUCCAUCCAGGGGUGGUAUCUUUAACUGGUGGAGAUGCACAAGGUAAUGUAUCAAUUUCACUUGAAGCUUACUUGUAGUUUCAGGCUUGGUCAAGCGCGAUACAAACCAUGUAGUAGGAGUCCCCCAAGUCGCCGAGCUAGGGGAUCUACUGAAAGAGGUGACAGACAAGGUAAGCAAUCAGAGCUCCGGCUGAUUGUUCACCUUCUCCCCAUCUUGCAGCAGCAUGAAGGAUAAAGAGAAGAAAAAAUGAGAAGAGAUGAUAUGGGAUACUUUUGCUUUUGAAGAAGUAACUUUCCACAGGCUUAUUCUUGAACUGAGCUGGAGGGUUUUCUGGUUUCCUCCAGAGCCGACUGAAGAAUUUGAGGGUCAAAACAAGUCCAUCAAAUCUAGAGUACGUUCGACCCUGCUGAUAUGGGAUACUUUUGCUUUUGACAGAGUAAUGGAUGUAUCGGAACGUGUGCUGUUACGCUUGUCUCCACAUGCUUCCUUGUAUCCUUCGCACUUGCCCUAUCUGUUCCUCAAGCAGAUGCGGUAUCUUCCCUGGAAACAUAAGAUGUUGAAGAUGAGUACUCGAGAGCAAUGUCAGGUAAGUAAUCAGGUAAGGGGUUCCAGGCAGUCAGUUCCUGGCUGGAAGCUUGAUUCCAAGUGCUGACUGAUUACUCUCUUUCUCCUUGUCUUGCAGGUAAAAACAAGGCCAAAGGAAAAGACAGGGAAAAAGCAUGAUAUGGGAUACUCUUGCUUUUAAUCUUGAUGAUAUGAGAUAUUCUUGCUCUAGUAUAGCUUGUUUGCAGAGGUAUUAUCGGGGGGAAAGAAAGCUGAAUAUUUCGAAAGGCUUCGUUGGGAGUGCCCUCUCAGAUAUGAGGAAGGGUUGAGCAUUUUUGCAGGUCUGCCUGUCCGUUGGGGAUGGAGGUCGACAUAUAUAGGAGUCUCCCUAACAACAAGUAGUAAUGCUAUUCCUUUACCCUGCUUGGUCAUAGCACGGUAGUGGGAGCUGCCAGCUUCACAUGUUUUAACUCUGUCAGAGCACUUUGAAAAAGUGGUCUGUGGUAUCUGGCUCUCGAGAAGUCUUCGACAGAAUGCCCAUAAUUUUCGCAAAGCUGAGUGUGUGUGUGACAGGUGCUGAUAAGGCUAGAAAAGUAGGUGUCUCUUCGAUUUCUGAGAUCGGCCCUCGUGGUCUCUGAGCAGCCCAGCUUUUGAGAAAUCGAGCGUCUCUUCGAUUGAUUCGGAGAACGAUGCAUCUUCGAUUUUUAAGAAAGCAAUCAUGCUGGGGGUCUGGCUCUCGAGAUUUGGGGAGCAGUGUCACUUCGAUUUUUGAGAAAGUAAUCAUGUUGGGAGUCUGGCUCUCGAGAUUCGGAGGGCGGUGCCUCUUCGAUUUUGGAGCAAGCAAUCUUGUUGGGAGUGUUUUCUCGAAUGUGAGUAAAGGUUGGGCAUGUUUGCUAGUCUACCUUGCCACGAAGCACAGAGGUUGACACACAGGGAUUUUCCAAUUAUCCAGCAAUGGUACUGUUCCUUUACCCUCUCUUCGAUUUUUGAGAAAGUAGUCAUGUUGGGAGUCUGGCUCUCGAGAUUCGGAGGACGGUGCCUCUUCGAUUUUGGAGCAAGCAAUCUUAUUGGUAGUGUUUUCUCGAGUGUGAGUAAAGGUUGGGCAUGUUUGCUAGUCUACCUUGCCACGAAGCACAGAGAUUGACACACAGGAACUUUCCAAUUAUCCAGCAGUGGUACUGUUCCUUUACCCUUGUGGGUAAUAAUAUGGUAGCUAGACCUUCAAAAUUUAUGGGUCUAAACUUGUUAGUGCUGUUUCUUUGCUAUUCUUUUACCUUUCUUGGCCAGAGCGAUGUAGUGGGAGCUGCAAGCUUCACGUGCUCAACUUUGGCAGAGAACUUUGGCAAAGUUAUCUGUGGUACCCAUGAGCUAUUGUUGCGUGUGGGAAGUGGGUGAUUGAACAGUAAGAUUCAUGUGUUUUCUACUUCCUCAGAAGUCUUCGACAGAAUGCCCAUAAUUUCCGCAAAGCUGAGUGUGCGUGUGACAGGUGCUGACAAGGCUGGAAAAGUAGGUGCCUCUUCGAUUUCUGAGAUCGGCCCUCGUGGUCUCUGAGGAGCCCAGCUUUUGAGAAAGCGAGCGCCUCUUCGAUUUCUGAGAUCGGCCUUCGUGGUCUUUGAGCAGCCCAACUUUUGAGAAAGCAAACGCCUCUUCGAUUUCUGAGAUCAACCCUCGUGGUCUCUAAGCAGCCCAACUUUUGAGAAAGCAAACGCCCUCUUCGAUUUCUGAGCAGGCGCCUCUUCGAUUUCUGAAAGCUCCGUCGAGUGCAGAUUUUUAUAGGGGCUGGCAUUAAGUUCCAAAGCACACUUGAAUCUCCACCAGUAGAAGCUCCAUUCUUGCACUUCUAAGAUCUUGAUUUGUCCGACCUCUUCUCUCUUCAACACCUUUGAAAAUGUCUGGCCCCUCCGACCGUCGUUUUGACUUGAACCUUGUUGAAAGAGGCAGCCCCGCCUUCUCCAGACAACAUAUGGCGCCCAUCCUUCGUCUCCCCUACUGGUCCUCUUACCGUUGGGGAUUCCGUGAUGAAGAAUGAUAUGACCGCUGCGGUGGUGGCCAGGAACCUUCUCACUCCCAAAGAUAACAGACUACUUUCCAAACGGUCUGAUGAGUUAGGCUGUUAAGGAUUCUCUGGCUCUCAGUGUUCAGUGUGCAGGUUCUGUGUCUAAUAUGGCCCAACGCCUAUUUGCUCGAACCCGCCAAGUUGAAUCAUUGGCGGCUGAAGUGAUGAGUCUCAAACAGGAGAUUAGAGGGCUCAAGCAUGAGAAUAAACAGUUGCACCGGCUCGCACAUGACUAUGCUACAAACAUGAAGAGGAAGCUUGACCAGAUGAAGGAAACUGAUGGUCAGGUUUUACUUGAUCAUCAGAGAUUUGUGGGUUUGUUCCAAAGGCAUUUAUUGCCUUCGUCUUCUGGGGCUGUACCGCGUAAUGAAGCUCCAAAUGAUCAACCUCUGAUGCCUCCUCCUUCUAGGGUUCUGUCCAGUACUGAGGCUCCGAAUGAUCCCCCUCCGGUGCCUUCUCUUUCUGGGGCUCUACCGACUGCUGAGACUUCUCCUAAGCAACCUUUGUGAAGGCUCCCUCUUGUUUGUUUAUUUUGACUCAUGUAUAUGUACAUAUUUGUAGCUUAUCGGGGAUAUCAAUAAAUAAGCUUUCCUUCAUUUCAACGUAUUGUGUUAAAUACACCAAAGCCUUCUUCGCUAAGUUCUUUGAAUUUUCUUUUGUUGAAGCUUGUAUGUUGAAGCUUUCUGAGUGGAGCAUGUAGGUUGGGGUAGUGUUCCCUUAAUUUCCCGAGUGAGGAAAACUUCUCGGUUUGAGACUUGGAAAAUCCAAGUCACUGAGUGGGAUCGGCUAUAUGAAUCUUAGAACGCCAUUGUGCUCGGUCCUGUGUCAUGUCCUUCGUUAGAUCCAAGUACUCUAAGUCUUUUCUUAGAGUCUCUUCCAAAGUUUUCCUAGGUCUUCCUCUACCCCUUCGGCCCUGAACCUCUGUCCCAUAGUCGCAUCUUCUAAUCGGAGCGUCAGUAGGCAUUCGUUUACUAAUUCAUAUGCAUAAUUUAAACAUUUUCAAAUGCUUAUCAUCAUUUACUAAUUCAUAUGCAAAUUUAAACAUUUUCAUAUUCAUUAGAAGCAUACAGAAAAGAUACAUGGCACACAAGAUAUGUACUUUUCGACGUAGGAGCUCAAUUCUUGUAUACAGACACACUUCCUUUAGCUUGCAUUGGACCUCGUACUUUCCACUAAUGUAAAUGCCACAUCAAAAGUGAAAGAGCGAUUCCGGAAACCAAUUACAUCCAUGUGCUUGCACUUCAAUGCAGAAACAGAAUAAAACAUAAUCCUAAAGUUUUCGGACCAUCAUUAAACACGCAAGCAUAAUAAACAUUCACAAUCCAGCAAAUGGGUGUUCAUAAUUUCAAGCAGAAACAAAAGUCAAAGAAAAUAAUGAAUUAAACUCUGAAAAAUUUUGUACUCAAGUAUCUCCCGUGGUCUUGAACCAAGUCUCAGCACAUUGCUUAUAAGCAGCACCCAAAUCCCCCUUGCAAGAACACCCCAAGUCAAUCGGGACCCCAGAGGCAAGGUCGGUCCCACCACCUCCCUCCAAACCCAAGUGGCAAAUCCUGCAAUUUCUCUAACUUUACUCAAAUGCACCACCUUCUUCACCUCCGAAACCCCGCUCUCUCCACUGAACAGCACUGGAUGUCGUCAGAGUCAUCCGAGUCUGACGCACCGCUGCCUCUGGUGGCCAAAAGGCGGUGGUGGGUUGUCUCGGGAGCUGACAUUCGUGAAACCCAGAAAGAGAAAUGGCAUGAAAUCAACGCUCAAACCACCACCACGUCCACCCUCUUGACCUCGCGAGCUCGAACCCGAGCUCCGUUUCGUAGGAAACCAAAACUAGAGGCUCUAGUUCGAAGCUCCGACGAGAAAGAAACUUCCCGACGAAGUUCCCGACACUUUUCCGACCGCUCCACACCGUAUUGGAAGAGUUGGAAGCCACCACACAACUCCCUAACGUCCCUGGGUCAAGUUUGACGCAAUCCCCAACUCGAAUACACCCGGCUUCGAAGCUUUGGGUUUUUUUGCGGAGACUUUCAGGCCAAUUUCAGUACAUGUACGUCUGCUUUUUGGAGUUCCAAGAGGUAUAAACUUGUUCCUUGUGCUUCAUUUCCAUAUAAAGAACGUAAAAAAUGGUUGAGAAAUGAGCAAGUUAUGGCCUUUUGAAAUUGUCCUCAGUUCCCGUCGAUUUCAGGGACCUUCCGGCGUGUUUUUGGCUAAAUCACGGCGAGUUAGCCGUUGCUAUGGGUACCAAUCUGUUCAUCUCAUUCCGAGGUAUCCUUUCCAUUCUGAAUCACUCAAUUUAGUUGAGAUAUGUGGAAGUUAUGAUGAUUUAAAAAUUUCCCAGAAAACCGGUGAUAAACUGCAUAAUCCGGCGACUCCGCGACCGGAACCUGGUAAAAAGUAGAUGAAAAAACGCAGUUCUAAAACAACUAAAACACAUAAUUGCAUAUCAUUCCUAAAACACAGUGAAAUUUGUGAGAGUGGCCUAAAUAGAAAGAAAAAGAUAUGAAAUAAAGUUCCUUUGAAAUCGUAACCAGUAAAAGACCCGAUCAUGUUCAGGAAAGGUAACAUCACAUAUCUAACUUAAACUAGGGAAUGUCAUACUUAAUGUGAUCAUAACUAAUAACUUUUAUUUUUUACAAACUGCUAAUAACUUAUAGAGUAAAUUUAAGCAAUUGUCCCUCAACUUUAGUAAAAUAGGAGCAAUGGUCUUUCAAUUAAAAAUCUAUUACUAUUGGUCCCUUAACUCAUCAAAAUGUGUAGCUCCCUUAACUCAUCAAAAUGUGUAGCUAUGAUCAUUUUCUUUAACUUCAUCAAAAUUUGGUCAAAAUGAGUUAUGUUGGAAAGACCAUUGCUACAAUUGACUUAAAGUUAGAGGGACCAUUUCUCCAAUUGAAUUAAAGUUAAGGGACUAUCUCUCUAGUUUGAUUAAAGUUGAGAGACUAUUGGUAAUGUAUUUUUAGUUGAGGGAUUAUAGUUGCACGUUUUGAUAAGUUGAAGGACCAAUGAUAAUGAAUUUUUAAUUUAGAGAUCAUUGUUCUGAUUGAGUUAAAGUUGAGGGAUCAUUACUAAAAUUUACUCUUAACUUAUAAAGUACCAAGUAUUUGAAUUUUUAAAUUAACCUGGUGACAUUCAACUGUCGAUAUUCCCCGGUUCUGGCAUCCACACCAAUCAAUGUUGUAAUUCUUAAUCCUGUAGUUUGUAAGAUUAUCUUUCCUACCUAGAAUGUGAAUAAUCUUUAUAUAACUACACUUAUAUAUGCUCUAAAUUUACAUUUAUGUAGUACGGGUACAUUCUGCACAGCACACCCUCACUACUGGUUUAAAUUACUUAUAAGCUUCGGUUUUAUUUAUUCAAAUUUUUGCUCAUCAUCUAUACUUUAUGACUUUCGUCAAUUUCCAGGUGUCGGCUAGUACGCCUUGACUUCAGUUGGGGUGUGUCAAAGUUUGUGAAGCACCACUUCCAAUUCCAAGCAUAUGAUUUGGUGUUGAACAAGGCAUAAAUUUCAUAAUUUCACUUUUACUCUGGACAGUUGUAUUGUGUUGACUUACAAUACAGGUACUACAUAUUUCUCGAAAACUAUUUCAUUCCAAUAUUUGUUGUUUUAGACGUUUGUUUUUACUCUGCCUGUCCAAGAAAUAAAAGUGUUGAUUUUACAUUCUAGUACCCACCAUAUACUAUAUUUCAGCUGAGCUCCAAUACUAAGAAACCUAAGGAAACCAUCACCUAUUAAAAAAUAAUCAACUAAAAGUGAGCUAAUCCCCCUUAUAAUCAAAUUUUUAUUAUUUUCUAAACCGAAAAAAAAAAUAUGGAUUGGGGUAGCUAGUAGAAAUGAACAAAUAAAAUAUCAUGUGACAGUGAGUUUGGGAACCAUACAAAUGCAUGUGUUAUUUUUAUCAUGCUACAUAGAAAGUUUGAAAUCGCUUCUGUGAUGCAAUGGUGAAAUGUAAACUAUUCAAAAUUUGCAUACUGUAAAAUAAUAAUGAUAAAAUAAAAAUACACAUGCACUAAAAUGAUCAAUUGAAAAUAUGAUUGUACCCUCAAAGUUCAAUUUUCUUUAACUAAAACCCACCAUAGUAUAUUCUCCUAGCAAAAACUUAAUAACAAGGCUCCAACUCAGAAAUUUUCUUAAUUAAGUUUGACUUUUGCACAAUUUUGUAUUUUUGGAUGCCUAAAAUACACCUAAUAACUUAUAUCGGAUUGAACACAAUAUUUAAUGUCAUGAUUUCAUUGCAUAUUAGUAAUAUAAUGAUACGAUACUAGGGAUUUCAUCCGUCUUAUUUAUUUCCUUUUAAACUCCUUAGUUGCUUUUGGUAUAUACAUGAAAUUAGGAUUGCUUUUGGUUUAGUUUUUCCCUUUUCAAAAUGUGUGAGGAUUACGACAUGAUUGUAAUACCAUACACGUGUAAGAUGAAUGACAUGUUUGUAGAAUGAUACGUGUAAUAUUGAUCAUACACAUGUAAGCUAAAUAAUAUUAUGAUACACUAGCUAGCCGCAACUAAUGUAAGCUGAAUAAUAUGAUCAUUCACUAUAAUGUCUGAUAUUAAUUCAUAAAAUCUGGUUUUCCCCUAAACGUUACGGAAAUCAUAUUUAUCUAGGCAUGCUUAAUAUUUGAUAAAGAAAAAACAUUUCUUAAAUAAAUGUCCACUCACACUUCCGGCUAGCUCUCCCUUGAGGAGCCUUGUCUACCAAAUAGGUAAGUUCAAGCAACUUCAAGAGAGAGUUUCCUCCACAUUAAGUCUUAAACAUCUACUGGACAGCAGGCAAUUCAAAACCAAAGCUGCUGAAUACAACUAGAAUAAACAAGGAAUCGGGCUAAGCUAUUGUCUUCAUCAUAACAUGAUUUUGGCCCCCAUUUUCUAAUUUCGUUCCACAUUUUCACAUUCUUUCCAUGAAUUUUAUAAUUCCUAUGCAACAGAGUUCAUUCAUUGCCUAUUCACAACAUUACAAGGUUCUACAGAGUUCAAUCCCACACCAUGUUAUAGACAUGCUUCAACUAUCAACCUGGAACGUAAUCGUUAGGGUUUCAACAACUUCAGAGAUACAACAAUUACCAUAAGUCUCAUCUCCGACAUUCAUACAGAAAAUCGAAUACAAUUCGAAAUCAAGAAUUAAUCCCAAAACUGAAAGUUGAAAAUUCGGAAAAAGAACUUACAUUGGAGAACAGCCCACGAGAAGAGGAUCAUUUCUACGUCUUAGGUCGAGGUCCAAUUACUGCGAUAUUGGCCGGAAGUUGGAUGGAAAACCCUGGGUCACCGUUUCUUAAAUUGGAAAUUGCGGAAAACCGCCUACGAAUUUAUAGAAACGAACUUGGGGAUUGGAUACAGGACGGCAAGAGCAUUCAGGAUGUGUAGUUUGACAGCCUUUGGUGACCUGUGGACGACAGAGCUGUUGCGUUGGCAGUCGUCGGCUUGGGCCGCUGUUGCAGCGUGUGAAAGAGAAGAGGGAGCGAGGAGAGACAAUGGGUUUCUCCCACUUUUUGGAUCUUAAUUCUUUUCCACAUUUUUUUAUAUAGAAUAAACCAUAUUAUUUAUCACUAAAAGUGCGUUUGGUAUGUAAGAUGGGACGGAACACGUUUUGAUGAUAAUAAUAGCUAGAAGUAAUAAUGUAAUAUAGUUCAAAUUCGUUUUUGAUAAUAAUCAAAUAUAAAAGAGAAUUGUUAUUAGCAUUCCAAAAAUCUCAUUAUACACUCCUCACAAGUGUAUUUUUCUUUCUAAUUAUAGAAAGUUUGGAGUGCCAAAUAAGAUUUUUAAAUUGCUAAUAACAAUUUCCUAAAUUCUCUCACUUAUAAAUUACAAGUAAAGAAAAAUACUAUUAAAAUUUUUCCACUUUUAAUACACAUCUAAAUAAAAAGAGACAAAAUGAAAAGGAAAAGAAAUAAAAUAAUUUGAAAUAGAAAUAAAAAUUAAGGGUAAAUCUCAUAUUACUACCCUCAUGUUUCAUGGUUUUCAACAUUUAGUACAUCAAGUUUUUUCGUCCCAGAGUCAUACCUAAAGUGUAAAUUUUGGGACAGUCUCAUACAUCCGUUAGUCAAACUGUUAAGUCUCCUGUUAACUGAUGACAUGGCGCCCAUGUGGACAAUAACUGAGUUCCACGUGUCAUUAAGUGGUCCACGUGGUUUUUUUUUUUUUAGAGAAAGAGUUUUAAAAAAAAAUUUCCUGCCCAAAAUUUUUAACCCAUAAUCGUGUACCUUACAUUUUUCCCGCCAAAUUUUUUUGGAAAAAAAAUAAAAUUAAAUAGGGAAAAAACCCCAACUUUCAACUCUAAAUCUACAAAUUCAAUUCCAAAAAAACUUUGAAUUCUAACUCUGCAAAUUCAUCAUUUAAACUACCAACUACCAACAAAGUUCAAUUGUCAACAACUUUCAAUUCAUAACAAAUUUCAAUAUACACCCUCCAAUUCACACGAAAGUAUCAAAAGACCACAACUUUAACAACUAAUGGGUCAAGGUGUUCUUCCAAAAACCAAAAUAAGAGUACCAAAAACACCAAAGAUAUGUCCAAAACACUAAAAUCUGUCAGAAAGUUGUUUCCAAAAAACCUAAGGGCAUAUUCAACUAUAACAAAAUGAACCCUUAAACAACCUAAAGCAUUAAAGCAACAUCAUGGAACAUUCCUCCUCCUUUUCUAACCUCUUGCGGUAGACUUUGAAGUGGUUUGAGAGGCUUGAGUUGGCUGAGAUAAAGGUUGUGGAGCUUUCUGAAUGCAUGUUGGCUGUGAUGACUGAGAGGGUUAUGAUACCUUAGAUGUUGAGGCCCAAGUAAUGAACCCAAAUAGCAUUAGCAUUGACAGAUACUACACUUCACAAAUAACAAAUUCACUUAAGAAAUGAAAAAUCAACAAAAAAAUAUCUAAAUUAUACCUCAUUUUUCUUGCUUUUUCUUCCUUUUCUAGCAGUUGAAGGAGGAUGAGUGGUUAGGCAUCUGGCCUUGUUGUGUCCCGAGUCCUUGCAAACACUACACUUCACACUUUUUUUGCCCUCUCUUGCUUAACUUGAUUCAUUUUCAUCAUCCUCCCUAUUCUCCUCUUUUUUGGUUUCCCAGGUUGCCUUUUAAAAGUUGGAGGAAGAAUGCAUUUGUUUUCAGAUGGCUCCUAAAAUUUCAUGCCUUGGAUGGGUUGAAUCAAGUUUUCGUAAGCUUCAAAGUACUUCUCCUUCUUGUACCAAGAGGAAACAAAUUCCUCAGGUUAUCUCCUUGCAUAAUAGAUGGCCGAGCAACCAUGUAUACAAGGAAAGUCUGUCAAAUCUUAUCUUCUACAUAAGCAAGUGCAACCAUUCAAAUCCACCACAAAUAUAUUGCCUCUGCCUUCAUCCACUUCAAAAUUUUCUCCUAGUGUGUGAGCUUUUCAGUUUGUACUCCUCCAACAUCUUCUGGAUUUUUUGGCAGAUAGCUUCUUUAUCCUUCCACAUUGCAUCUCUUCUUAACCAUAUCCUCUUCAUCAAUAAAACUCUUAUAGUUUCCAACAUGGUAAUAAUAGGCUUGUCCCUAGACCUUAGGAUAAAAGAAUUAAAGCUCUCUCAGAGGUUGUUUAAGAGAAUGUCACACUGAGUGUGUGUCUCAAAGUGUGAUCUACUCCAAUACAAGGCUGGUCUCUUUACCAACCGUUUAUAAGCUUCGACAUUCAACCUAUUCACCUCAGUCAUACUCUCUCUAAAAUCAGUGAUGGUUAUUACGUUGGCAGCAUUCCACAAGGCAUCCUGUAAUCAUUUCCCUUUAAACCCAUCUGCCUUGUAGUUGGUGUAUAAGUGCCUAACACAUAACCGAUGAUUACAAUUAGGAAGCACUUUCUCAAAAGCUGGUAUUAAACCUUUUUGUUUGUUAGAAAUGAAAGUCUAAGCACGCUGAUUCACAAUUCCCAAGUCAGCAGCUAGCAGCUCCAGAAACCAAACUCAACUGUCCUUGUUCUCGAGCUCUACUAUGGCAUAUGCAAUAACCCAAGUUUGGUUAUUUGCAUCUAUUCCCACUGUAGACAGUAACUGGCCCUUGAACACUCCCUUCACGUGACAACCAUCCAACCCUACAAGCUGCCUAUAUCUAUUCUUAAAUCCAUUUUUGCAAGCCCUUAAACAAAUAUAAAUCCUCUGAAAUAUCACAUGAGCAUCAUCAUAGGGCAGCACCUUCAUCUGAACUGUACUACCCGGGUUUGUCCUCCUAAGCUUAUCACAGUACUCCCACAACUUUGUGUAUUGAUCCAUGUUACUCCCCUCAAGGAUUUUCAAACACUGUGCUAUCACUCUGUAUGCUGUCUUAAGGUGGAUCUCAACCAUUCUUGCCUCCUUCAUUGUCUCUAUAAAUGUAGUGAUGGGCAUGCUUGGGUUGAGUCUGAACUUGUCUACAUACCUCUUCACAAGCCAUGCCACUUUGCAGUUAGGAUUUUCCCUCCAAAUCCUCGGACAUUCCUAUUUCCCAACAUAGGUUUUCACUUGCAUUGAAUCUUCAUUGUACAUCCUGGAAGCAUACAAUCUCCAUAUACAGUUUUUCUCACACCUUGCACUAAUAUUCCAUUUCUCAUUCCUUUUUAGCUUAAUAGAAAGUGCACCAUGCUUAAUGGAGUGAGACCACACUGCCUCUCUCAACUGUGUAGCAUCUUUGAACUUCAAUCUCUUUUCAAACUUUGGAUCAUCUUUGUCAGCUUCUUCAUUAAACUCAGGGUAGAUGACAUUCUCAUCACAUUCUGAACCUGAAUCGUCAACACUGUGCAGGCCAUCUAAGUUUUGUCUCUCAUCAUCAAGGAGAACGUCUUCUACAUACCUUGCAUUAAUAACGUCUUAUGGAUGUUGAUUCCCAAUCCCUUCACCCCUUUCAGCAUCUCCAAUAACACUUUCUACAGCCCUAUCAUCUACUGCAAGACGAUCAUCAUCUUCCUCUACAUUUACUACCACAAACAAUGCAUAUUUGUUAAAAACAUAAACUUUGCAAAAAUAAUUGAAUACUAAAGUUAAAAUUGUUAAAAUAAAUGUUUCAAAAUUUUACCUUUAUUAGCUUCUACUUUGGCCCCUUCAUUAACUUAUUCAGCUUCGUGACCUUCUUCCGUUUCAUCACUUUCAUUAUCAGCAUUGAGAUGACCAUCUUCAGCCUCAUCUCCAUUUCCUUGUUCUCCCUCAGUUGCUUCAGCCUCAUGUUCAUCAUCACCAUUGUAUGCUAUGUCAUUCAAAAGACAUAGCCGUUUUUCUAAGUGAUCCGCACCCCUUUUUGCUCUACCCUUCUUCAGUUUUGAUCUACUUCCCUUUGUAAUCGAAAUCGCCACCCUCGAUUCCUCAAUAUCUUCUAUAAUGACACCUUUUUAAUAUGCCACUCUCAUCUAGAUUCAUCAAAAGCUUAUGUUUCAAGGCAGCUUGCUUUGGACUUAGAUGUUCUAGGUACAUUUCUAUUUACCUAGCCCCUGGAACAUACUUGCACAUUUCACCCACAUCUUGGUCCUGUUCAAUAAGCCUUAAUCCCUCCCUAUAAGACAUCCCAAGAAUCCUAUAGUGAUACAACAUAAACCCAUCAUAUCCUAACUCCUUAACCAUUUCAUCAAUCUCGAAAAAAGACAUGAAGUCUUUGUCUACGUAAUCAAACUAAGCCUCAAACCCUCCUGUAUAUGCAUUUUCAGACCACUUCCCACCGUGGUUGAUUUUAAGGCUAAAUAAUUCGGGCAUGCCUGCAAAGUCAAGGAGAAAGGUUAAAAUAUCGUAAAAUUUUAAGGUUUUAAAACCCAAAAAGUUAACCUAAAACACUAGUAGGACCAUGAGGAAAAAUGGUGAAAACAAAACCAUGGGGAUCAUGAAUACAAGGUUUUUUAAAGGUUGCAAUUGGGACCACGAUUGAAGACAAAACCACAUGCAAAUUGAAAACAAUUAACAAUGCAGGAAACCCACUACAAAACACAAUUCCAGAAACCAUAGAAAAAAAGGGAUUGGAACUAACAGAUCCCCCUAAUCCCUAAAAUUCAAAAUUGAAAAAUCGGAAAACCUAAACCCAUAUCAUCUACACUUCGAAAAAAGGUAGGUUACUUACAAUAAACUAGUGUUUCACCCACUUCAAUCCUCCUUUUUUCCCACCCCAUCGCCAGCGAUGGCUUCACGACAACCUUGCCCAGAAACGGUGCCUCUUCUUUGAUGUGCAAAGGUGUGCGCAACGUACGACGGCGUGUGAGGUGGAGUGACGGCGAGGUCGAGUGAUGGGGAGUUUGGUAGGGUUUCGGACGGAGAUUGGGGGUCGCGAUUUAUGGGGGAGUGAAAAGUGGUUUUCACUUUUCACUUUUUCACUUUUACCUAAUCCCCUCUAAAAAAUAAAUAAAAAAUCCACAUGGACCCUUAAUGACAUAUGGUGCCCAAUCAAUGUCCACAUGGGCACCACGUCAUCAGUUAACGGGAGACUUAACAGUUUGACUAACGGAUGUAUGAGACUGUCCCAAAAUUUACACUUUAGGUAUAACUCUGGGAUGAAAAAAACUUGAUGUACUAAAUGUUGAAAACCACGAAACAUGAGGGUAGUAAACUGAGAUUUACCAAAAAAUUAAAGGUAAACUAACAACAUAAGGUAAUCAGCCAUGGUAAUACAAAAUUAUUAUAAAACUUUGUAGGGCUGUGGAAUCUUCAUUUUAGUUCUGAAUUUCGUUCUGCUUGCGCUCACACGUUCAUAUUGAUGAGCAUUACGAGAAAAUAUUACGAUGAUAUGUCAUACGUGAGUUUUCGCUGAAAAUUUUUUUUGAUGGAUUUUGCAAUAUGGCAGCCAUGAUUUGCAGAGCCCACCAUCGUAAGGCAGGCGAAUUGGAGAUAAUAUUAUGCUUUUGAAGGAGUUUCUUAAAAAUUACCAUAGAAAUAAUGGUCCUCCUAGAUGUGCCUUGCAGGUGGACAUUCUGAUAGCUUAUGAUACCUUGUUGGAAAAUGGGGUUACUAGGAUUAGGCUGGUUCAUAGUUCGAUUCCAUUUAAUUGUAAUUGGAAGAAGAAAAAAAAAUUACUAAAAACACUUUCAAACGAAUUCGUACAAAAUUUAUAUGUUACGACUAAUAGUAAGCCUACUAUUGUUCAAAAUCGAUUACCAAUUCUAAUUGUGAUGUUUGUACCGUGAAACAACGUGAUGCCACGAAGAAGAUGGCUCAAGCCAUGUAUUGUCCUUUGAGAAGUUGGGGUUGGGAAGCAUUGCAUCUAAUUUUCUUUCACUUUAUCCUUUUCUUGUUAAAGAGAAUACCAAAUGGUUCGUGAGCAAAGCAUCCAAAUCUUUUUCACUUUUUUCUUGAUAAAGAGAAACACAAAAUGGGUUCGAAAGCAAUACACCACAUUCUCCUUCACUUUGUCUUUUUCUUGUUAAAGGAGGAUGAAAAUACCUUACUUUAGAAUCACCUCCUCUUGAGGUAUUGCUUGUUAGAUAUAUUUUAUUGCUUCUCUAUUUAUAUUGUUAGAAAACUCUUAUUAACCCUUCCCCAUUGAAGUUAUCUGCUCAUAUAUUUGCAUUGUUGAGGUAACAUAAUCUGUCCUCUUUGUGCAUGAUACCAUUCAACAUUCAUAUUUUCUAGCAAAUUCGUGAAGUAUCAAUACCAGUACUAGACACAUGAGUUGUUGCUAAAUAAAGCAUAGAUUUCAGAAUUUCAUUUUUGUUCUGCCGGACAAUUACAUUGAGUUGAUUUACAAUACAGGUACAUAUGUACAUCUUGGAAACUUUAUUUCUUUUCAAUAUUUAUCGUUUUAGGUGUUUCUUUUUACCCCUGUGUGACUAAGAAACUAAAGUGUUGGAUUUACAUUAUAUUUUCUAGCAAAUUCGUGAAGCACCAGGUCUAGUACCAGACAUAUUGUUGUUGAACAAGGCAUAGAUUUCAGAAUUUCAUUUUUUUCUCUGCCGAACAGUUGCAUUGGGUUGAUUUACAAUACAGGUACGUAUGUACUUCUUAGAAACUCCAUUUCUUUUCAAUAUUUAUUGUUUUAGGUGUUUGUACUAUAUGUUAUUGUGUUUUGAUGUUCAACCACGUCAGCUAAUCCACCCUUACAAUCGAAAUUUUUAUUUUUCUCAUCGCAAUACAAAAAGUUUGAAAUCGCUUCCGCUAUAUGGUGGUGAAAUGUACACUAUUUGAAAUUUGCAUAUUGUAAAAUAAUAAGGAGUAAAUAAAUAUACACAUGCACUGAAACCAUCAACUGAAAAUAUGACUUUAUCCCUUAAAAUUCAAUUUUCUUUUACUAAAACUCAUCAUAUUAUAUUUUCCUAACAAAAACUCAAUGACUUUACAUGUAUAUUUUUUUUUGCUUCUCCUGUUUAUAUUGUUAGAAAGCUCUAAUUAACUCUUCGCCAUAGAAGUUAUCUGCUCAUAUAUAUUUGCAUUGAUGUGCAUGAUCUGCCCUCCUUAUGCAUGCUAACAUUCAGCAUUCAAAUUUUCUAGCAAAUUUGUGAAGCACCACUACCAGUACCUGACAUAUGACUUGUUGCUAAACAAGGCAUAGAUUUCAAAAUUUCAAUUUUAAUUUGCCAGACAAUUGAUUGCGUUGAUUUACGAUACAGGUACGUACGUACUUUUCGAAACUCUAUUUCUUUCCAUUAUUUGUUGUUUUAGACGUUUGUUUUUACCCUGCCUGACCAAGAAACAAAAGUGUUAAUUUAACAUUCUAGUACCCGCCAAAUAUUGUAUUUCGGCUGAGCUCCAACACUAUGACUAGGCGCCAACUCAACAAUUUUAUUGAUUAGCUUUGACUUCACAUAGUUUUGUAUUUUUAGAUGUCUAAAAUACCCCUAGUAACUUAUGUCAAAUUAAAAACAAAUUUUAAAAUCAUGAUUUCAUUGCAUAUUAAUAAUAAUAGGAUAUGAUGCUAGGGUUUUCAUUUGUUUUAUUUUUUUCCCCUUUAAAUUCCUUAGUUGCUUUUCAAAUUUGCAUAAAUUAGGAUUUUUUUUUUGGUUUAGUUUUUCCGUUUUCAAAAUAUGUGAGCAUUAGUUACCAACAAAAUAUAAGAAUGUUAUUUUUUUUCCAAAAUUAUUUAAUUAUAUUCUAUAUAAAUAUAGGUAAAUUAUUUCUCUACACAUAUAUAAUAACAAUAAAAUGUGGUUAAUGUAUGUAAUAAUACAUGCAAAAUAAUUUACCUUCAACAUAAAGGAUGUGAUUUGGUUCAAGAUUUAUUUUACCUAUAUUUCACAUAUAGGUAUAGGUAAAUUAUGAAAGAUUCAUUUUUUUUUUAAUUUUUUUUUAUUUUUAUUUUUGUCUUUUGGCUUAACAUAUAUAGAUAAGUAAAUCAUUUUUUGUCAUUUGGUUUGAUAUAAAGGAUGUCAUGUGUCAUUUGGUUCAAAAAAAUAUAAGUAAAUUAUUUUAUGAAGAUUAUCAUUAUAUAAUAAUAAUAAAAAGGAGAAUAUAUAUAUAUAUAUAUAUAUAUAUAUAUAUAUAUAUUGUUUCAAUUAUGUAAAUAGUUUGUAAUAUGAGGUUAUUUCUUUGUCUACAUGUCAAUGGAUUUAGAUUCCGUUUACAAGAGUUAAUACCAAACAUACAAUUUCAGUUGCCCUUGGACAGAAGCCACUAAAUGAGUAAAGGACAACGGGACGAAACAACCUUCUACCUGGCCUAUGUACCUUGCCACUUUCAAUAAAAACAGGUGUGUUUCAAUUUGAUAUUUAAAUAUAUGUGGAUUUUGGGCUGCCCAUUGUGUGACUUUACCGAACUCCCCCUCCCAUUAAUGUAAAAAUAUCGAUGUACUAAAAAAUAUAUAUGUGGAUUUUUGUUUAAAAAGUAAAAUUACAAAGGUCUAUUUCUAAAGAACCCUAUGUAUCAACAACAAUUUCAACUAAUUCAAGUCCAGCAGCACAAUAAACUCAAAUAAAAAUUCAAUUAUUUUAAACACAGUGAUGAUCUUAUAUUCAAAGAUAAUUUUGAUCUAGGUGCUUGAUUUUUGAAUUUGAUAGACCCAACAUCCCUAGCUUUUAGACUUUUUAUUAAACUACUUUCUACAAUUUUGGUGCCACGAUUUUUAAAACGUCCUCUUUCUAAAAUUCAAAAUAACAUGAACUGUCAUUAAUCCACCAAUUUAUUCCAGAAACAAUAUCCAAAGCUCCUAAAUCUAGCCUUCUUUAAACCAAAAUUAUUAUUAUUACUCCAACAUAAAAAUACAUAAUUAUUAAGUUAUCAAUCAAUGAUAUGUACCAAAAAUUAAAAUUAUACAUACCAAAAACUAAAAUGAAACGUACCAUUAACUAAAAUAAAACAUACCAAAUACUAAAACUAAACAUACCAAUCAAUGAUAUGUGCACAACUGAACAUACCAAAAAACAAAAUUAAGUAUGAAAACCAAUAAUAAACGUACCAAUAAUGUAUACAAAAUAAUUCUCUUAAUAAAAUGUAUAUAUAACAAUUUAAAAAAUAUAAACAUCCACCAUUUUCGUUAUCUUGAACGUAAAAUUAUAUUUUAAUUUUAGGAGAAAAAAUAUUUUGUACGAAAAAAUUAUUAAAAAGAGAAUUGGAUAAAUAUAUUGAAUGAAAAACCAAGAUUAUCUCCAAAAAAAAUCGCUUAACUAAUUAAAGGACAAAUUAAGAAACCAAUAUACAGUGAGGUAUAUGGUAAUGGCAUGAGGAUGAAUGAAAAAACAACGGAAUAAAAAAAAAUAAAAAAAAAUUAAAACUAAAAAAUGGCCACGAUAUAUUCCGUUAUCAUAUUGUGAAAUCUUACAAUAUUGGGGACAUCGUGAUAUUAUAUGAUAUCUCGCAAAACAGUUUUCGUGAUGUGAUACUAGCUAAUUGUAAUACUUUUGUAAUAAUAUAGUACUAAAAACUGAAGUAAACAUACAUGUAAUAGUUCAUUUGUCACACAAGUCUAUACUUGUCAUGGAUAUUUUUUGAUAGAUCUUUGUGACUCAUUUCGAACUAAUACUAACUAAUUGUUAGUCAAGUGAGAAAUUUUCUAAUUAGAGAAAAAGGGCCUAAAUUUGAAUCGUAACUCCAGCUUUGAUAAAAUAAAAAUAAAAAUAAAUACCACUUAGAUUUAAACAGGACAAAAAUAUCUAAUAUUGUGUUGGGGUAGUGCUUCUUUGGUUUUAGGUAGUAGAGCACUGAGCACGAGACUUAAAAAAGCUACCAACAAAGAGGAGCAUUCAAGCCAUGGUCUUUGAUUUCAGAAGGAAAUGGAAAUUAUAAUUGCAAUUGCCUCAAAAAUUGGAGAGUCAUUGGUCGCACCAAUAGGAACAGAGUCUGCCUAUUUGAUUAAUUACCAUUCCAACCUAGAAAAUCUUAAGCGUGAGAUAAAAAAGCUCUGUGACAAGAAAAAUGGAGUGCAGGGAUGGGUAAAUGCUGCCAAAAGGAACGGUAAAUUUAUCCACCCUGAUAUUCAGAGUUGGCUAAAGAAUGUGGACGAAAUGAUCCAAAAAGUGUCGCAUUUUGAGGUUGAGAUUAACAGGAAAAGGCGAUGUAUGUAUCGAUGGAGCUUGAGUCGGAAAGCCUAUAAGAUUACACAACAUGUUCUCCAGCUCCAAAACGAAGGAACAUUUGAAAAUGUGGCCCAUGCUGCUCCUUCACGAGAGAUAUGGUCAACAUUCAAAGACGGAUUUAAACAUUUCAAGUCCAGAAUGGAAAACAUGAAUGAGGUGAUAGAGGGUUUGAAGAGGGAAUAAGUAAGAAUGAUCGGGAUUUGUGGAAUGGGGGGUGUGGGUAAAACCACACUGGCGAAAGAAAUCAUCAAAAGAUUAGCAGAACUGAACAUGUUUGAUAAAACUGUAAUGGCAACUGUGUCUCAAAGCCCAAGUAUUAAGACGAUCCAGUUGGACAUUGCAGCACAAAUAGAUUUGAAAUUUGAUAAGGAUUCUAAGUCCGGAAGAGCACUAAAGCUGCAUGACAGACUCAUGGAAAUAAGGAGGAUCCUGAUUGUGUUAGAUGAUGUAUGGACAGAGCUUAAUUUUGAGGCUAUAGGACUUCCUUAUGCACAUACUCAUAAAGGGUGCAAAAUUUUGUUGACAUCACGGAAUUUGGAAGUCUGCGAUGCGAUGGAAAGUCAACAAAUUAUUGCGGUCCCAACUUUAACAACAGAAGAAUCACGGGAGCUCUUUAGAGAAAUCGUAGGUGAAUCCUUCGAUGAUCCAGAUUUCCAUUCCAUUGCAGAAGAGGUCGUGAAUGAAUGUGGAGGUUUACCUAUUGCUAUUGUAACUGUUGGAAAAGCCCUAGAAAAGAAAAAGAAGCACGAAUGGGUUAAUGCCCUUAAUCAGCUGCGAAAGUCUAUCCCAAAGAACAUCCCUGGACUAGACGACAAAGUUUAUUCAAGCAUAAAAUGGAGUUAUGAUGGAUUGGAGAGUGAUGAAGCCAAGCCAUGUCUUUUACUUUGUUGUUUAUUUCCAGAAGAUUAUAACAUUCCAAUUGAGGAUUUGGUUCGAUAUGGGUGGGGUCGAGGAUAUUUUAGCAGCAGCGAUACUUUGGAAGAAGCAAGAAAUAAAGUGCAUUCUUUGGUUGACCAACUACAAAGAAGGUUUUUGUUACUAGAUGGUGGCAGGAGUGAGACAAUAAAAAUGCAUGACAUAGUUCGCGAUGUUGCCAUAUCAAUUGCUUCAAGAGAUCCACAUGGAUUUCUGAUAAGAAGUAAUGCUGAAAAUAAAGGGUGGCCAAAUUUAGCUACAUAUGACCAUUGCACUACAAUCUCACUUGUUGGUAAAUUGGAGAUUCCAGUUGGUUUGAAAUGCCCAAAACUUGAGUUUCUACAGACGAUGAAAGGACGUUUUUCAGAAGGUAGCAUGGACAUCAUUUGUGAUGCGAUGAAAGAACUGAAGGUUUUAGCUUUGGUGGAAAUGGAAGACCUAGGCUCAUCAAGAUCACUAGGAUUACUGAAGAACCUGCGGACCUUGUGCCUAGAUGGGUCUAAAUUUGAUGGCACGUCUGCUGAUGUUAUUGGGAGUUUGGAGAAUUUAGAAAUCCUCAGCUUUCGGGAUUGUGAUUCCAUGCGUGAGUUGCCGAGGGAAAUUGGACGACUUAAACAGUUGAGGUUGUUAGAUACGACAAACUGCGAGGAACUUGAGGUGAUUCCACAUGGUAUCUUCUCCAGCUUAUGUAGACUUGAAGAGUUGUAUAUGGUUAAUAGCUUUAACGAAUGGGAAAUUGGAAGAGGAAGAGAAGAAAAGGGGAUGGCAAGCAUUUCUGAGGUGAUGUCUCUGUCCGAUCAUUUGAAGGUUCUAGCCAUAGAGAUACCCAGUGUCAUCCACUUGUUGACAAAAGACAUAGUCUUGAAAAGCCCAACAAUAAGAUUCCUUAUACGCUGUGCAACAUGGGUAGGGCAUUUUUCGGAGAUGAGUACUUAUGCAUUCGAAAAUUGUUUGGAGAUUAGUGAAAGUGAUGCAAGGGAGUUGGAGGAGAGUCAAGCAGUCAGACUUUUGUUGAAAAAAUCUAAAAAAUUGUAUUUGUCGGAGGUUAAGAAUUUCUCUGUCCUCACUGAUUUAGACCAAGAAGGAUUUCAAGAUUUGAAAGAUUUGGAUCUUUGGUAUUGUCCACAUAUCGAGUAUCUUGCAAAUGGAACAAGUGGGUUUUUGACCAACCUAAGAUUCCUUAAAUUGGGAAGUUGUGGUGUCUUAAAAUAUGUAUUUUCACUAUCAGCAGCGAGAAACUUGGUACAACUCCAAGAAUUAAACAUUGAUGGAUGUGAUCAAAUGGAAGAAAUUGUAUCGAAGCAGGGGAGGGAACAUGAGGAGGAAGCCGAUAUGAUACCUUUCCAUAAAUUAACCAAUUUGACUCUCGAGGGUCUAGGGAGUUUGGUUGGUUUCUUCCAAGCCAAGAAGCUAUACUCCAACCAAGAGGUAUGUCCCACUCUCCAAUCUCUAUGAUAUGAGGAGGCAGCCGAUAUGUGGAAAUUUGAAAUUGUGUUAACUGAUAAUGAUUUUUCUUUUUCAGGAAACAACGGCAAGGGUUGAGCAUCAAUCUGCAGGCAUAUUUGAAAAAGCAAUAUUCCCAUCAACGUGCAUUUCAUGGUUUCCAAGUUUAGAAAAGGUGAGAUUGGGAUUUAUGGAGUUUGAAGGCGUGCUAUUUGAUCUUAAAAUCCAUGUUAUGGAUGGGCAGGCAGCUCCAACUUUUCCCCAGUUACGUGGGUUGGAGAUAAUUUUUUGUUCGUUUACACAUUUGUGGAAAAACAUUCGGUCUGGAUUUCAGGAUUUCCGAAAUUUGAGAUGUUUGGAUAUAAGAGAAUGUUGUGGGCUAAAAUAUGUGUUCUCGCAUUUAAUUGCCCGAGAACUUUUGAAUCUUGAAGAGGUAAAGAUAGCAAAAUGUCCGAACAUGGAAACUAUAGUCAGAAUCACAGAGCAAAAUGAAGAAGAGGCGACAAAAUACAUGAUUUUGUUUCCGAAACUGAACACAUUUGAACUAGAAGACCUGCCUCGUCUCACAAGUCUUUGUCCAGAGGGAUUUACAUUUCUAUGGUCAUCCACAAAAAAAAUGCACGUGAAAAGAUGUGAAAAUUUGAAGACAUUGGGUGCUGUAAUUCCACAAAGAAAGAAGUUGGAGAAUAACUUGAAGAAGGAUUCAACAAGUCAUGAUUUUAGCACUUCUCCAACACGUUCAUCAAAUUGGUGCCCUGCUGGAUGUGGAUGCGCACCGUAUUCAAGACCAAACGCCCACCGCCCCAUUGAAAUAUUGCCACGUCCAAUUAACCUGGAGGUAAGCUUUUAAAUCAGGUUCAAUUAACCUCUAUAAGUACAACUUUUAAUCAGUAUUGUAUCAUCUUGUUGAUCGUGCUUAAUUUUCUAGGUUACACCAACUAAUCUUGAGGACUCAAAUGAUGAUGAUAAUCUCGAAAAUCUUACUGUAAGUGACUGUAAUUCGAUGGAAGUGAUUUUCCAACUCAAGGGACCGAAGCAUGAAGAAAGUAGUCACUCCAUUGAAGCAUUCAAUAAAUUGAGUUCCUUGCGGUUAGAUAGAUUGCCAGGUUUAACGCGUGUUUGGGAGACGGGUAGUUCACAACCGAUGUUGACAGGAAGCAGCUUCGGAAACUUGAAAUCGCUGGAGGUUGGUUUUUGCAACCAGUUGAAAUACUUGUUUUCAUCGUCCAUAGUCAAACUUCUCGUGAGUAUAGAGGACAUAGAAGUUCAUAACUGUGAGAAGAUGGAAGAAAUCGUUGCCGCAGAAGAAGAAACUGAUGAAACAAUUACAUUACCUAAAGUGAAGUCCAUCAAGCUUGAAAGUCUGCCAAAACUCAAGUAUUUUUGUGGUGAAGCUUAUACUUUGAAGUUGCCGUCUUUGGAGUUAUUGGAGUUUGAUGACGUGCAAAACUUAAGCCUAUUAGCUCCAAAGCUUAUUGCCACACAUCCCCGAUUGCAAGUACGCACCGCGUUGGGAGUGGCUGAAUGGAAGGGGGACCUCAAUGCCACUCUAAGGAAUAUUUACGUCACAAGGUAUGCUUUAAUAUAAGGUUUUUAAUUUCCAAUCAUUUAUGGCAAACACCACAAAAAAUUCGACAACAAAUUUAGGCAAAGCAUAAUCAACAGUUCAGAUUUAGUUUGACGAAAGUGUAAUCAAAAUUUAGUCAAAAACCAUAUACACACACACACACACACAUAUAUGUAUAUAUGUAUAUAUGUAUGUGCGUAUGUGCACACUAGAGUGUAUUUAGAUAUGUUUUUCUUCUUUUGAAAACUCAAUUAUAUCUCAAGAAAACUUCUGUCUUUUAUUUCUAACACAGGAAGGGUGAAGAUGAUGAAAUCGACAGGGAGGACGAACACAAUUAAUUGAUCAAGCACAAAGGUUAACAUGUCUCCAUCUUCAACUUCUUCUAGGCUUAGAAACUGCUAUUUUCGGAAACACAUAUACAAUAAGCAUAACCGUUUCAACUUAUUUGAGUUUCAGUGAUUUCUAAUAUUCUCCAAUGCAUGCAGGACAACAAUUCAAAGAAGGUUGUGGCUUCAACAAUUCGUUUACCAUCUCAUAUGUACAAACCAAUAAAAUGUCAUUUGUUGCAUCAGACUUUCAUUCCAAAAUACUAUUUAUGUUGCUUAUUUUAUGCAUGUAUAAUAAAUUUCGAGUGUGAUUGUUACUGUUUGUAUCUAAGUUCGCAUUAUUAAUGUAUGUUUAUUUGCACCAAGAAAUGAGAAAUGCUUAUGUAAAAAUAAAUGAAUAAGAUUAAACAAGAAAAACUUUACGCUACUCAAACUUGCAAACACUCAAACUACAAGCAUUAUGAAUAAACACGGAAUCAGGCUACGCAAUUGCCUUCAUCAUAACAUGAUUUUGGCCCCCAUUUUAUAAUUUCCUACCACAUUUUCACAUUCUUUCCAUGAAUUUUAUAAUACAUAUGCAAAAGAGUUCAAUCUAGGGGCUCCAAAAAUAUCACAGACAGAACAAUUAACACAAAUCGAAUAAAAAUUUGAAAUCAUGAAUCGAUCCCAAAACUGAAAGUUGAAAUUUUUGAAAAGAACUUACAUCGGAGGACAGCCCACCGGGACAGGAUCAUUUAUACCUCUUGGGUCGAGAAUAUUGGCCGGAAAACCGCGGUCACCGUUUCUUUGAUCUGAAAUUGAGGAAAUUUGGCUACGAAUCUGUAGAAACUAACUUGGGAGUUGGAAAGAGGACGGAAAGAGGAGUCUGGAUAUGUAAUUUGACGGCCGUUGGUGACCGGUGGACGAAAAUAAACUUCAUGCGAAAACAAGACCAGAUUGAGGUAAGAAAGAAAAAUACAUACGCAGAAAUAACAUGUCAGUCAGGCAAGACAAGUAAUUGCAACCAUAACAGAACACAAUGAAGAAACAUACCAUGAGGAUUUUGAACAAACAUAAUGAAGUGUAACCAACAGCAUACAAAUAUCAAAAAUAUAGAAAAGAAUGCUAUACAAUCACUAUAAGUGAUUUCAAAGGCCAUCUUCUAUUUCUGUUUCUGGGAAAAAGUCAUGUCGUCAAGAUAUCAUUCCAUUUCCUUACCAUGAUGAGUAAAAUGAAAUUUGAACUUGCUUGCUGUUCUUGCAUAUCUUCUCCUCAUCCUGGUUACCAACCCAGCAAGUCUUCACCAAUCCAUCUAUGAUGUACGUACGUCAUUGUAAUAUCAUGUGAUGCAGCUUACCUAGAUUAUAUUUCCUGUAGCCUAAGUUUAGAUAUUUCCUUUGCAGAGGGUAUAGCGUGCAAGGUCCUAAGAACUUUACCAAAUUAUCAUCCUUCGAGUAUAGAAAAUCUUCCAAAUGUAUAAACGAAAUAAACUUGUGACAGAACCAAAGAAUGCAAAUGCUUAUCAUCAUUUACUAAUCCAUAUGCAUAAUUUAAACAUUUUCAUAUUCAUUAGAAGCAUACAGAAAAGAUACAUGGCACACAAGAUAUGUACUUUUCGACGUAGGAGCUCAAUUCUUGUAUACAGACACACUUCCUUUAGCUUGCAUUGGACCUCGUACUUUCCACUAAUGUAAAUGCCACAUCAAAAGUGAAAGAGCGACUCCGGAAACCAAUUACAUCCAUGUGCUUGCACUUCAAUGCAGAAACAGAACAAAACAUAAUCCUAAAGUUUUCGGACCAUCAUUAAACACGCAAGCAUAACAAACAUUCACAAUCCAGCAAAUGGGUGUUCAUAAUUUCAAGCAGAAACACCAAAAGUCAAAGAAAAUAAUGAAUUAAAUUAUGAAAAAUUUUGUACUCAAGUAUCUCCCGUGAACUUGAACCAAGUCUCAGCACAUUGCUUAUAAGCAGCACCCAAAUCCCCCUUGCAAGAACACCCCAAGUCAAUCGGGACCCCAGAGGCAGGGUCGGUCCCACCACCUCCCUCCAAACCCAAGUGGCAAAUCCUGCAAUUUCUCUCAACUUUACUCAAAUGCACCACCUUCUUCACCUUCGAAACCCCACUCUCUCCACUGAACAGCAUUGGAUGUCGUCAGAGUCAUCCGAGUCCGACGCACCGCUGCCUCCGGUGGCCAAACGGCGGUGGUGGGUUGUCUCGGGAGCUGACAUUCGUGAAACCCAGAAAGAGAAAUGGCGUGAAAUGGUAAAGUGUUAAAGUUGCGGCAUUCGGAGAUCAAACAUGGUGGGGUUAUAGAGCAGGUGGAGAUGUUUUUUCUCUAUCCUCAAUCAAAAUAUCAAUCUGCAGGCAUAUUUGAAAAAGCAAUAUUUCCAUCAAAGUGCAUUUCAUGGUUUCCAAGUUUAAAAGAUGUACGUUUGGAAUUUAUGAAGUUUGAAGGCGUGCUAUUUGAUCUGAAAACCCAUGGCCAGACAACUCCAAUAUUUCCCCAGUUACGUGAGUUGCGGAUAUUCGAUACUUCGUUUACACACUUGUGGAAAAACAUUCCGUCUGGAUUUCAAGGCUUCCAAAAUUUGAGAUAUUUGCACAUAAGUUAUUGUUCUGGUCUAGAAUAUGUGUUCUCGCAUUUAAUUGCCCGAGAACUUUUGAAUCUUGAAGAGGUAGAGAUAUCAACAUGUCUGGACAUGGAAACUAUAGUCAGAAUCACAAAGGAAAAAGAAGAAAAGGCGACAAAAGACAUGAUUUUGUUUCCGAAACUGAACACAUUUGAACUAGAAGACCUGCCUCGUCUCACAAGUCUUUUUCCAGAGGGAUCUACAUUUGUAUGGUCAUCCACAAAAUAUAUGCUGGAGAAUAACUUGAAGAAGGAUUCAACAAGUCAUGAUUUCAGCACUUCUCCAACAUGUUCAUCAAAUUGGUGCCCUGCUGGAUGUGGAUGCGCACCAUAUUCAAGACCAAACGCCCACCGCCCCAUUGAAAUAUUGCCACGUCCAAUUAACCUGGAGGUAAGCUUUUAAAUCAGGUUCAAUUAACCUCUAUAAGUACAACUUUUAAUUAGUAUUGUAUCAUCUUGUUGAUCGUGUAAUUUUCUAGGUUACACCAACUAAUCUUGAGGACUCAAAUGAUGAUGAUAAUCUCGAAAAUCUUACUGUAAAUGACUGUAAUUCGAUGGAAGUGAUUUUCCAACUCAAGGGACCGAAGCAGGAAGAAAGUAGUCACUCCAUUGAAGCAUUCAAUAAAUUGAGUUCCUUGCGGUUAGAUAGAUUGCCAGGUUUAACGCGUGUUUGGGAGAUGGGUAGUUCACAACCGAUGUUGACAGGAAGCAGCUUCGGAAACUUGAAAUCGCUGGAGGUUGGUUUUUGCAACCAGUUGAAAUACUUGUUUUCAUCGUCCAUAGUCAAACUUCUCGUGAGUAUAGAGGACAUAGAAGUUCAUAACUGUGAGAAGAUGGAAGAAAUCGUUGCCGCAGAAGAAGAAACUGAUGAAACAAUUACAUUACCUAAAGUGAAGUCCAUCAAGCUUGAAAGUCUGCCAAAACUCAAGUAUUUUUGUGGUGAAGCUUAUACUUUGAAGUUGCCGUCUUUGGAGUUAUUGGAGGUUAUUAAUGUGCAAGACUUAAGGCCAUUUGAUUCUAAGCUUGUUGACACGCAUAAUCCCCGAUUGCAAGUAAAACCCACAUUUCGACAGGAAUGGACAAGGUAUGCUUUAGAUUAAUGUUUCUAAUUUGCAUUCACUUUUGUGUCCACCUGAAAGACCGCAUCAUCAAUAUACAACCACUGAACCAACAAAGAUGACGAAAUCGACGGCAAGGAUGACGAUGACAAAAUCGAUGGCAAGGAUGAAGAUGACGAAACCAACAGGGAGGACGAACACAAUUGAUUGAUCAAGCACAAAGGUUAGAAUGCUUCCAUCUCCAACUUCUUCUAGGUUUAGUAAAAACUGAUGAAAAUUAUCUAUAUAGUACUCACAAAAAUAUUCUACCAUGUUUUAUAUAAUAUAUACAUACAUGUAUAGCACUUAAAAAAAUUGAACAGUUUGGAUCUAAAACCACAAUCUGCUACCUGUUUCAUUUUUUCGAGGUACCUAAUAGCAAUUAAGGUGAGAGGAAGAAGCAUUUCAGAUUACCAACUGCCUCAAGAGAAACCUUUAUCAGAAACACAUAUACAAUAAACAUAACCGUAGUGCUAAGUGGCCUAAAAAUUAAUUUAUCCUUAAACCGCUAUUUUUGGAAACACAUAUACAAUAAGCACAAGCGUUUCAACUUAUUCCAAUUUCAGUGAUUUCUAAUAUUCUCCAAUGCAUGCAGGAAAAGAGUUUAAAGAACGUUGUGGCUCCAGCAAUUCGUUUACCAUAUCAUAUGUACAAACCAAUAAAAGGACAUUUGUUGCACCAGAAUUUCAUUCCAAAAAUACUAUUUAUGUUGCUUAUUUUAUGUACCAUAAAUUUCGAUUGCGAUUAUUACUGUUUGUUUCUAAAUUCGCAUCAUUAGUGUUUGCUUAUUUGUGCUCGAGGUUGAUUAUACACGUGUAAGCUGAAUCACAUGUUUGUAGAAUGGACAAGCUGAAUAAAAUCUGUUUGCCCCCUAAAUGUAAUGGAAAUCAUAUGUAUCUAGGCAUGCUUAAUAUUUGAUAAAGAAAAACAUUUCUCAAAUAAAUGUCCACUCACACCUCCGGCAAGCUCUCCCUUGAGGAGCCUUGUCUACCAAAUAGGUAAACAUCUACUGGACAGCAAACUGCUGAAUACAACUAGAGUAAACAAGGAAUCAGGCUAUGCAAUUGCCAUCAUCAUAACAUGAUUUUGGCCCCCAUUUUCUAAUUUCCUACCACAUUUUCACAAUCUUUCCAUGAAUUUUAUAAUUCCUAUGCAACAGAGUUCGUUCAUCGCCUAUUCACAACAAUACAAGGUUCUACAGAGUUCAAUCCCACACCAUGUUAUAGACAUGCUUCAACUAUCAACCGGGAACGUAAUCGUUAGGGGUUUCAACAACUUCACUGAUACAACAAUUACUAUAAGUCUCAUCUCCGACAUUCAUACAGAAAAUCGAAUAAAAUUCGAAAUCAAGAAUCAAUCCCAAAACUGCAAGUUGAAAAUUUGGAAAAAGAACUUACAUUGGAGAACAGCCCACGAGAAGAGUAUCAUUUCUACCUCUUGGGUCGAGCUCCAAUUCCGGCGAUAUUGGCCGAAAACCCCUGGGUCACCGUUUCUUAGAUUUGAAGUUGAGGAAAAUCGCCUACGAAUUUAUAGAAACUAACUUGGGGGAUAGGAUAAGGGACGGCAAGAGCAUUCUGGAUGUGUAGUAUGAGAGCCUUUGGUGACCAGUGGACGACAGAGCUGUUGCGUCGGCACUCGGCAGUCUUCGGCUUGCUGUUAAAUGGGGCUCCUGUUGCAGCGCAACGCAAAAGAGAAGGAGGAGAGAGGAUACGGGAGAAGGAGAGAAAAUGGGUUUCUCCAACCUUUUUCAUUAGUUCUUUUCCACAUUUAUUUAUGGAAUAAACGAUAAUAUUUAUCAUCAAAAGUGUGUUUGGUACGUGAGAUGAGAAGGAACAUGUUUUGAUGAUAAUAAUGGCUAAAACUAAUAUAGUUCAAAUUUUUUUUAGUGAUAAUUGAAUAUAAGAUUUCUCUUACAAGUUACAAAUAAAAAUGAAUAUCAUUAAUUUUUUUUCACUUUUAAUACACAUGUAAAUAAAAAGAAACAAAAUGAAAAUGAAAAGAAAUAAAAUAAUUUGAAAUAGAAAUGAAAAAUAAAGGUAAAUUGACAGCAUAAGGUAAUCAGCCAUGGUAAUACAAAAUUAUUAUACUAUCCUUAAACAUUGUAGUGCCAUGGAAUCUUCAUUUUAGCUCUGAAUUUCCUUCUGCUUACGCUCACGCGUUCAUAUUGAUGAGCACUACGAAAAAAUAUUAAGAUGAUAGGUCAUACUCAUACGUUCGUUUUUGUUGAGAAUUUUUUUGAAGGAUUUUGCAAUAUGGCAACCAUGAUUUGCAAAGCCCACCAUCGUAGAGCUCGAUAUCGGCUUGACUUGUGGAGCCACCAUCGCAAAGAAGAACCUGGAAAGCUCAAUCCUUGUCUUUUUCUUAUAUAAGUGUCAUUUUGGUGAACCAAAUGUUCCGAUUCCAACAUCCAAAAUACCACAAUGUGAUUUUUUUUCAUACUACAAUUGGAUUGCAUCUUAAAAUUAUGAAGUCUUGGAGCAUUGGUCAUGCCAUCAUGCUGAUUUGUGUUGGAUUUCGUUAGAGAUCGUAAUUAAUCAAUCACCCUUUUUGUGUCUCCCUUCAAAAGCUCAAAUUGAAAUCUGAACUCCCUAGCAAAUAAGAGCCCAAUUUGACAACCAAAAUCUUCAUCGUUCGAGCAUCAAUGUUCUCUUAAAUUCACUACGAGCAAACCGCCAUGAAAUCUCCUUCAUGGACAUCUCAUAAAAUUAGAACGAUACAAAGAAGAUUAGUGUGACUCCUAAGCUAGGAUUACACGUAUGAAUCGUAAAAUAGUUCCUCCUCCACUAUUUGAUUCUCUCUUUCACUGGCUAACAAUAUUUUGCUCUACCUUUUCACCCUAAGUAAGAAAUGAGCAUUUUGUUAGCAUCUUUUUGAAAAUUUCAAAUUUGAUCCUAAUAUAUCUCUUUUGCACUAUUUGACUGAACGACAAAUUUUGAUUGUCUAAAUAUUUAUAUCAAAAUACAAAUAAUAUUGAUAUUAUAUAUUUAUAAUGUGACUGGAAUUGUAGUACCCAACAUAUCUAUCUUGAAAUAAAUUUUGUUGUCUAUGAAGUGGCCAACUCGACCCUCUCCUAUACUCUUUGAGUUUGUAUAAAUAUAUCAUUGUUUAACAAUUGACAUUCAGUACUGCGAUUUAGUGAUAUUCAUUAUCAGGUUCGAAUCUUAGGAGUAACGAGUUUGUGUAAAUAUAUCAUUGUAUUAAAGAAAAACAAAAAAAUAAAAAAUAAAACAAAAUAUUUUUUUUUGGUCUGACAAAAACACGAAAAUGCCCUUAAUGCCCAAAGUGACCCCACUACUGACACACCCCGAUCCAGAGGAUCCAGGCGUGCUGGCCGUCACGUGAGCGUGACGUAACCAUAAGUGCGACACGGAAGCGAAACAACAACAUACAUAAGAAGGAAUUCAAACCAAACUCUAGCAGAACAACCUACUAGAAUAACAGGACGAGUUAUAAUGUAAACACAUAAAUUCAGAGCAUAGGUUUAAGUGCAGUCAAGUAGGACUAAAAUAAAAGUACAUCGCUCUCAGGUGAGUCCUACAUGUCAAGAGUUUGUCAGAAAGCCGAAAUAAGACCUCGAGAGUCACAAACUGCUAACUAGAACCUGGAGGGGCGCAAAACAAAAUGAGUGGGUCAGUAAAACCAAAGAGUUUUCCAAAACAGUUCAUUUAAAACAUUUCUAACCCCUCACCGUAAAAACCUGUAUACUUCCCCAGAAAAUAGUAUAUAAACAUAUAUAUAUAUAUACACGCAACAUCAAAACUCAACUCAUAUCCAUCAUUACAACAUCUCAGAAAUGAUAUGCCAUGCACAAAAUAUAAUCAGAAUGCAUCAAUAUCAAUCAGGUGAAAUAAUACAUCAACCGGAGAUCCUACAAUGGUCAUGUACGGCUGAUUCUAAAGCUCAACAUCUAAUCCAACCGGAGUCACCUCGGUGACCUGUACGGUCCAACUCUGCACGUCACUCGGAACUACAUAUAGUAGUCUGUACGAUGACAGGUGUAUAAAUACGCUCUAGUGCUUCUCUCAUCAAUCAACAGCGCGCAUAACUAAGGUCACCCACUAGUCGGAAUCACAUCUAGUGAUAUGUACGACUAGCAUGUCAGAACCCUCACAUGGUCUGUACGACAUCCACCUACUUGGAUCCAAGACGAGCGUGCGGUGUGGUGAAUAACAAUAUAAGCACUAACACCUAGGUGCAACUUAUGAGCUUUCAAUGCAAUUCAUAUAAAAUAACUCAGCUGAAUAAUAAUAAAACUCACAUGUGCGUCCACCGCGUCAAUUCACAUAUAUAUGCAUCAAUUAUCAAACUAAAUAUCUCAACAAUUGCAUGCAUGGCAAAUAAAUUCAUAAUUUUCACAUAAACGUAUUUUCUGGGAAAAACAGUUGUAUAUAGGUAAUACGAAAUCAGAACUGCCCACUCACUGAUAAGUCGAUGGAUCGUAACCCCCGUGACGUCCUUGGAUGCACUCGUCCUCGGGAUAGGUGUCACCUAUAUGCGAAACAACUAUAAAAACGUUAAUUUUAAACACAUAACCAUUAAUUCGAAAUAACUUCUCAUACGAUGCUCAAUUUGGGUAUAUGAAUAUACCACAUCGACCUACUCGACGUCACGGACGUCGAGGAAUUUUUAGAAAAAAUUUUAGGCUUGCCACGCGCCCCCACGCGCCGUGGGUGGCACAGGUCCACGCGCCCCCACGCGCAUCAUCUUCAACCUCAGCUCGCCGGACUGGUUUUUCCGGCGGUCGGUUUCUGGCGAACUUUGAAACUCUUUGUUCUCCUUCGUUUCUCAACCAUUUUCUUCGUAUUUUAUACCAAAAUGAAGCCCCAAACAUGUAGAAUCACGAUAGACUAGUUUAAGGCUCUAAAAAUCAAGAAAUCUCACCAGAAAAUUUCCAAGAAAAUCGGCCAAAGUUGAACCACGUGAUCCUGACGUCCAAAUCCUUCAAACGAAGUACUCCGAGCCUCCUUGGGACCUUACUAAGCUCACUACAAGCUUAGAAUUCCCUAAAAAUAAACAUUUUACGUUUGCAUGAAUAGUGACCAAAAAUGAAGGUUCGGGUUUCACGUGAUUCCGAGGAUUUCACUUCCUAAAACUAGUACCAAUCAACUUAAAAUGACUCAAGGAUGAAGAUGCAUACCUUGGUUGCCUCGAUCCACCGAGAUUUGGGAGGUUUUGGGUGUGUCCGUACGUAUGGGUGUGUGUGAGAGAGAGGGAGUCGAGAUGGAGGAGAGAGAGAGAGGCUACAGGAAUGAGAGGGAGAGAGAGAGGGUUUGUGAUGUCCAAAAACAAUCCCCACCAUCCAUUUUACAUCCCUAACCAAAAUAACAAAAAAUCAAAUUAAAGUCAACUUAUCUUAUUAUUUUCUUCCAACACAUUACUAAGAUUAGACUAAAAUAAUGUCACACACCCAAGUACCUUAAUGCCCGUUAAGGGCAAUUUCGUCAUUUCACAUUCCCGUCAAAUGUACCUCCGGGACGGGCUGUGACAACUACCCUGCCGCUGCCUACAAGUUCCUUCCUCGCCCCCGUUUCUACGUCCAAUUAAUUAAUCUGGAGGUAAGCUUUUAAAUCAGGUUCAAUUAACCUCUAUAAGUACAUCUUUUAAUUAGUAUUGUAUCAUCUUGUUGAUCGUGUUUAAUUUUCUAGGUUGCACAACCUAAUCUUGAGGACUCAAAUGAUGAUGAUAAUCUCGAAAAUCUUACUCUAAUUAACUGUAAUUUGAUGGAAGUGAUUUUUCAACUAAAGGGACCGGAGCAUGAAGAAAGUAGUCACUCCGUUGAAGCAUUCAAUAAAUUGAGGUCCUUGCGGUUAGAUAUAUUGCCAAGUUUAACGCAUGUUUGGGAGACGGGUAGUUCACAAUCGAUGUUCACAGGAAGUAACUUCGGAAACUUGAAAUCGCUACGGGUCGUUGCACCGAUGAAAUAAUUACAUUACCUAAAGUGAAGUCCAUCAAUCUUAAAUGUCGGCCAAAACUCAAGUAUUUUUAUGGUGAAACUUAUACUUUCAAGUUGCCGUCUUUGGAGUUAUUGGCGGUUACUGACGUGCAAAACUUAAGCCUAUUAGCUCCAAAGCUUAUUGCCCACAUCCCCGAUUGCAAGUACGCACCGCGAUGGGAGUGGCUGAAUGGAUGGGGGACCUCAAUGCCACUCUAAGGAAUAUUUACGUAAUCACUUAUGUGUGCAUAUGCGCACACUAAAAUAUGUUUUUUUUUUUUUUUUUUUUUUUUUUAGAAACUCGAAUUAUAUUUCAAGAAAACAUCUCUCUUUUAUUUCUAAUACCGAGAAGAAUGAAGCUGACGGAAUUCUACUAGACACCAUAUAACGAGGAUGUUAACAAUCACAAAAGGUUGUGGCUUCGGCUAUUCGCUUACUUUCAUAUGUACAAACCAAUAAGAUGUCAGUUCGCCAAAAAAAAAAAAAACCAAUAAGAUGUCAUUUGUUGCACCAGAAUUUCAUUCUAAAGAUUCUGUUUCCGUUGCUUACUAUAUGUAUAAUUAAUUUCGAUUGCGAUUAUUACUGUUUGAAUUCAUCUCUCGACUGCCUAUGGGGACGUCAAGGUGGACACCAAAAUGGAGGCGCGAUGACCUGCAUCCGGAAAGUGACGUAGCCAUAACGUGCAUGCAAAUAUAAUUUAAUAAAAUAACUUCAAAUGAUCUACUGAAAAAUCGGCAUAGUCUCCUUUGGAAUUAGGUUUUGGCCCCCAAAUUUAAAACCUGCUGAAAAAGUUAUAAUUAUUUCAAAACCACAUCCCCGUCACCUAAUGGGUUAUCAACCCUCUACUACAUGCACGUAUACUCCAAUAUACUUACUGGUGGUUAGGCCUGGCAAUUCCUGACACGAUCCGAUAACCCGACACGACACGACACGAAAUUAACAGGUGUCCGGGUCGACACGAUAACGAAACGGAUCAUUAUCGGGUAACCCGAUAAGCACCUGUUAAGAUAACGGGUUUGUUCGGGUAUACACGUGGGUAACACGAUACACGAUAAGCAAAAUAUUAAUUUAAUAAUUUAUAACCCUAAAAAAAUACUAUAAUAAUUAUAUAUAUAUAUAUAUAUAUUAAUUUAACAAUUUUAUACCCCUAAAAACUAUAAUAAUUAUAUAUAUAUAUAUAUAUAUAUAUAUUAAAUUAACUAUAAUAAUUAUAAUAAUUAUAUAUACUAUAAUAAUUAUACCCAACAUAUUAACUAUAAUAAUUAUAUAUAUAUUAAAUUUUAUACCCCUAAAAUCUAUAAUAAUUAUACAUACAAAAUAAAUAGAUUUAAAUCUACUUAAUAAAUAAAUAUAUAUAUAUACACACACACACCAUUGAACUUCAUGGAAUACGAAUUAUACAAAACUAAUUUCAACGAUCCAACCGUCAAACAUGUUUGUAUAUACUUCGUAUAUACUUCGAGAUUGCAUACGCCAAAAAUUGCAAAAAACAAACAUUUAGAGAGCAAAUAACAUGACAAAACUUUUCGACGGUUAUAAACGAAAAAUCACGAUUUAACAGUCAUUUUAACUCCGAUUUUGAUGAUUUUUUACAACCACACUCCUUGACCCUAUAUGAAUACAAUGAUUGAAUUCGAUCUUCAAUUUAAAAUAUUUACACUAGUGGAUACCACAAAAUCUUAUGUUAUACUUAAUAAAAGUAUGAAUAAACUCUUAAGUAUUAGUGAAUCUAUUGUUUUGAUGGGAUACUCAUUCUACAAAACUAGUUUCAAUGAUCCAACCGUCAAACAUGUUUGUAUAUACUUCGAGAUCGCAUACGCCAAAAAUUGCAAAAAACAAACAUUCAGAGAUCAAGUAAUGGGACAAAAGUUUUUCGACGGUUAUAAACGAAAAAUCACGAUUUAACGGUUAUUUUAACUCCGAUUUUGAUGAUUUUUUACAACUACACUCCUUGACCCUAUAUGAAUACAAGUAAUGAAUUCGAUCUUCAAUUUAAAAUAUUUACACUAGUGGAUACCGCAAAAAAUCUUAUGUUAUACUUAAUAAAAGUAUGAAUAAACUAUUAAGUAUUAGUGAAUCUAUUGUUUUGAUGGGAUACUCAUUCUACAAAAACUAGUUUCAAAGAUCCAACCGUCAAACAUGUUUGUAUAUACUUCGAGAUCGCAUACGUCAAAAAUUACAAAAAACAAACAUUCAGAGAUCAAUUAACGGGACAAAAACUUUUCGACGGUUAUAAAAAGAAAAAUCACGAUUUAACGGUCAUUUUAACUCUGAUUUUGAUGAUUUUUUGCAGCUACACUCCUUGACCUUAUAUGAAUACAAUGAUUGAAUUCGAUCUUCAAUUUAAAAUAUUUACACUAGUGGAUACCACAAAAUCUUAUAUUAUACUUAAUAAAAGUAUGAAUAAACUAUUAAGUAUUAGUGAAUCUAUUGUUUUGAUGGGAUACUCAUUCUACGAAACUAGUUUCAAUGAUCCAACCGUCAAACAUGUUUGUAUAUAUACUUCGAGAUCGCAUACGCCAAAAAUUGCAAAAAACAAACAUUCAGAGAUCAAGUAACGGGACAAAACAUUUUCGACGGUUAUAAACGAAAAAAUCACGAUUUAACGGUCAUUUUAACUCCGAUUUUGAUGAUUUUUUACAACUACACUCCUUGAUGAAUAUGAAUACAAUGAUUGAAUUCGAUCUUCAAUUUAAAAUAUUUACACUAGUGGAUACCACAAAAUCUUAUGUUAUACUUAAUAAAAGUAUGAAUAAACUCUUAAGUAUUAGUGAAUCUAUUGUUUUGAUGGGAUACUCAUUCUACGAAACUAGUUUCAAUGAUCCAACCGUCAAACAUGUUUUUAUAUAUUUCGAGAUCGCAUACGCCAAAAAUUGCAAAAAAACAAACAUUCAGAGAGCAAGUAACGGGACAAAACUUUUCGACGGUUAUAAACGAAAAAAUCACGAUUUAACGGUUAAUUUUAACUCCGAUUUUGAUGAUUUUUUACAACUACACUCCUUGACCUUAUAUGAAUACAAUGAUUGAAUUCGAUCUUCAAUUUAAAAUAUUUACACUAGUGGAUACCACAAAAUCUUAUGUUAUACUUAAUAAAAGUAUGAAUAAACUCUUAAGUAUUAGUGAAUCUAUUGUUUUGAAUGGGAUACUCAUUCUACGAAACUAGUUUCAAUGAUCCAACCGUCAAACAUGUUUGUAUAUAUUUCGAGAUCGCAUACGCCAAAAAUUGCAAAAAAAAAAAAAACAUUCAGAGAUCAAGUAACGGGACAAAACUUUUCGACGGUUAUAAACGAAAAAUCACGAUUUAACGGUUAUUUUAACUCCGAUUUUGAUGAUUUUUUACAACUACACUCCUUGACCUUAUAUGAAUACAAUGAUUGAAUUCGAUCUUCAAUUUAAAAUAUUUACACUAGUGGAUACCACAAAAUCUUAUGUUAUACUUAAUAAAAGUAUGAAUAAACUAUUAAGUAUUAGUGAAUCUAUUGUUUUGAUGGGAUACUCAUUCUACAAAACUAGUUUCAAAGAUCCAACCGUCAAACAUGUUUGUAUAUACUUCAAGAUCGCAUACGUCAAAAAUUACAAAAAACAAACAUUCAGAGAUCAAUUAACGGGACAAAACUUUUCGACGGUUAUAAAAAGAAAAAUCACGAUUUAACGGUCAUUUUAACUCUAAUUUUGAUGAUUUUUUGUAGCUACACUCCUUGAACUUAUAUGAAUACAAUGAUUGAAUUCGAUCUUCAAUUUAAAAUAUUUACACUAGUGGAAACCACAAAAUCUUAUAUUAUACUUAAUAAAAGUAUGAAUAAACUAUUAAGUAUUAGUGAAUCUAUUGUUUUGAUGGGAUACUCAUUCUACGAAACUAGUUUCAAAGAUCCAACCGUCAAACAUGUUUGUAUAUACUUCAAGAUCGCAUACGUAAAAAAAAAUUACAAAAAACAAACAUUCAGAGAUCAAGUAACGGACAAAACUUUUCGACGGUUAUAAACGAAAAAUCACGAUUUAACGGUCAUUUUAACUCCGAUUUUGAUGUUUUUUUACAACCACACUCCUUGACCCUAUAUGAAUACAAUGAUUGAAUUCGAUCUUCAAUUUAAAAUAUUUACACUAGUGGAUACCACAAAAUCUUAUAUUAUAUACUUAAUAAAAGUAUGAAUAAACUAUUAAGUAUUAGUGAAUCUAUUGUUUUUGAUGGGAUACUCAUUCUACGAAACUAGUUUCAAUGAUCCAACCGUCAAACAUGUUUAUAUAUACUUCGAGAUUGCAUACGCCAAAAAUUGAAAAAAACAAACAUUAAGAGAUCAAGUAACGGGACAAAACGUUUCGACGGUUAGAAACGAAAAAUCAUGAUUUAACGGUCAUUUUAACUCCGAUUUUGAUGAUUUUUUACAACUACACUCCUUGACCCUAUAUGAAUACAAUGAUUGAAUUCGAUCUUCAAUUUAAAAUAUUUACACUAGUGGAAACCACAAAAUCUUAUGUUAUACUUAAUAAAAGUAUGAAUAAACUCUUAAGUAUUAGUGAAUAUAUUGUUUUGAUGGGAUACUCAUUCUACGAAACUAGUUUCAAUGAUCCAACCGUCAAACAUGUUUGUAUAUAUUUCGAGAUCGCAUAUGCCAAAAAUUGCAAAAAACAAACAUUCAGAGAGAACGUAAUGGGACAAAACUUUUCGACGGUUAUAAACGAAAAAUCACGAUUUAACGGUUAAUUUAACUCCGAUUUUGAUGAUUUUAUACAACUACACUCCUUGACCUUAUAUGAAUACAAUGAUUGAAUUCGAUCUUCAAUUUAAAAUAUUUACACUAGUGGAUACCACAAAAUCUUAUGUUUAUACUUAAUAAAAGUAUGGUAUAGUACUAUUGUUUUAUUUUUUUUCAUAAUUAUUUUGGUAAACUUCUCAUAAUUUGAAUAAUUUUUAAUGUUUGGUUUUUCUAUGCUUAGUUUAUGCAGAAGAUAGUUAUGACGUGGAAAACCUUACUGAAAAGGUCAUCAACAUAACUCUUGAAGGCAAUAGAUCAAGCCAAAGUUCCAAUGCAAUUUCAUGAUGAUCGAUGUAAAUCGAUGAUUUUGUAAAUUGAGGUUUAAACUUUUGAGAAAGAUUUCAUAACCUUGAAAACAAAAACUGUUUCAUUUUGCAUAUCCUUGCACAUAUAAAAUUUGUAAUAGAUUAGUAGUGUAUGUAUUAUUUUUUUAUUAGGCUCUUAUUUUCGAGUGUAGAUGUAGUACUUAAACGACAAAUGUGUUUUAAUGUUUUGAAGUAAUAUUUAUGUGGCAAUGUGUGGUAUGUGCAAAUUUAAGAAAAAAAAAAUAUUUUUCUUAACGGGUCAUAACGGGUCGGGUCACUUUACCCGUUGGGUAAAGUGACACGACCUGUUAAGGACCCGUUAAGAUAACAGGUGUGACACGACACGACCCAUUAAGAUAACAGGUGUUAUACGAAAACGACACGAACACGACUGACACGACCCGUUUGCCAGGCCUACUGGUGGUAUAGCAUACAAUUUCAUACACUAGUGAUAACUAGUGUAAGCUGAAAAUUUAACCAUACACUAGUCAUAGUUAGUGUAAGAAAUGCAAAAGAUUGGGGAGAUGCGAAAGAACUCAUCUCUGGUCCUGGAAAUAUUGCAUACAAUAUUGCUCUACCAAUUAAACCAAAUCUUAUGACUCUAGUGACAAGCUAGAAAGCCACAAAAGAAUAAACAAGGAAUCAGGCUAUGCAAUUUCCUACCACAUUUUCACAUCAACGUGAUUGUUAGGGGUUUCAACAACUUCACAGAAUAACCACAAAUCUCAUCUCCGGCAUUCAGGCAGAAAAAUCAAAUAAAAGUUUGAAAUCAAGAAUCAAUCCCGAAACUGAAAGUUGAAAUUUUGGAAAAAUAACUUACAUCAGAGGACUUUCCAUGAGGAGAAGAUCAUUUUUACCUCUUGGGUCGAGGACAUUCCACGAUGAGCCUGCAUAAAUGAACCAAUUAAACAAAGAAAUGAAAACCGAAUAACUCGGAAGCUAAAGUAUCACAGAUAGAAAAUUGCAUAUACCUAACUAAAAAUGCACAACCUAACGAGAUGUGGUAGUCUAAGUGUAUAACACAAGGGUGAGAAGUACUCUAGUGCUCACAAACUGAAGCCACAAGACUACCAGAUAAUGUAGCUUCAGAAAUAUCAUUCGUUCUUUUGCGCACAAUCAUACAUGCUCAUCAGAACAAAGUAUGAUCUCCAACGGAAAUAGAAGUGACACAGGUGAAAGUCAAAAUAAACAAACAAAUAAUAGUGAACGAGAAGGCCCUAAAGAAUUGCUCUAACUAGGAGACAAGCUUAAAUUAUUCAGAUAAUAAGCCUUGCACAAACCCAACUUUCAAAAAACUAGAUUAGUAUGCCGUGAUAUUUAACAAUGCCGUCAAAAACUUGCUUGUUGAACUACUCAACCCUGUAUUCCAUCUCCUUCUCUGCCAUACCAAAAAUUUGCACAAUUGUUUAAAACCAAAUUAAGGUCUUUCGAAAACCCACCAGAGAUUAUUUGAAAAACACGAAUUUAGAACAAUAAUUCAAAACCAAAGAACAGAAAAUCCAUCACACCAGAGUAAAAAUUAACCAUCUUGUUGCUUCCUAACUCUCAAGAAAUAUCCACGUCUCACUUUUACUAAUGUCAAAACACUGCCAUCAUUGAUCAAUUAGACAAAUAAGACCCAAUUCGAUUACGCCCAAACUCACAGAACACCCAGAUUCCCAACAUCAAUUGAACAAUCUAACCAUGAAUUUCCAAAACUUUCCCCAAAAUCCAGUCUUGGGCAUGCAUUAAAUCCAAUCUAAAACUUGAAUUCAUUUUUAGAGAACAAAAAGUAAAAACUUUGGAACAAUGAAGCAAAAGGGUAAUUACCUGUUCCUUGUCCAAAACCGUCGGCGCAUUGUUGGGGGCAGCCAUUAGAACCUGGACAAUUCGCAAAUUCGCAAAUUAAUUUACACAAACUUCUUCGAAACCGAAUGAAUUAGCAGAGAGGGUUUAAGUAAUCUUACUCGGUGGGAUGGAAUCGAACGCGCUGAAAGUGGUAGCUCUAAAUGCAGAGGGGUUUAAGCGUCCGAUUUGAAGCGAAAGCAGGAGAAAAUAAAAAUCCCACUGAGCUAAUAAUAUACGAAUUAGGGUUUUAGGAGUUAAUAUAGCGUGUAUAUGCGAUGGACGGUUUUGUUUUUCGGGGGGAUUUCAACCGGAAAAGUUAGUGGAUUAUUGCCCUUUCUUUUCUCCUUCCCAAAGGCCCUGUAUGGUGGGCCGUCGUAUAUAAUUGUCCUUUUCUUUCUUAUUUUUUGGAUUUUUUUAUUUCUUUUCUAACUCAUAGAUCAUCGGGGCUCAGGUUCAGUUGAUUAAAGUAGUAUGUUUCUUUUGUUAUGCUAUAGUUUGAAUAUUCAUUCAAAUGAUUUAGAUUUCUUGGUGCAAAGUAUCAUUCAAUUAAAGAAAAAACUCGUAUUAUGUUUGCUUACAACCAUUGUAUGUUUGCUAACAACAAAGGAUUUGAGAGGAAAAAAACGUGAAUCCACAUUGAAAGGAAAAAAAUAUGUGCUAGAUUACGCACUGCAAAUGGAAACAAGUUGUCACCCCUAUUUAUCCAAAAAUAAUAUACUUGUUAUAGAAUAUUAUAUUACGAAGGGCGGAGAGCGUGUGUACGGCAAAUUAGGAACGGGUACAGCAACGUAGCAGCACAAGCAAGACGAUGAUUGGAACUGCAACUUACCCCACACAUUCACAGAAGCCUUUUUCUUUCCCCUGCUGGUGUUCAUGAAAGCACUUUGAAGUGAAAAAGCCAUGAAAUUACGAAGGCAAGGAUCAUGCAGACAAGAAGGAAAUUCAUAAUGCAGCGGCCAUGCCACAUGGUUCAGGUUUCAACCUGGAUCAUGGGUGGUGCUGGUACUGAUGCGGCUGUGGCAGUACUGCUAUUUGCCUCGUUAAUCUGGUCACCUGAAAUGUUGAAUGCAGUUACUCCACAGAUCUCGCAGGUUCUGCAAAUCAUAUGAAUAAAAUUAUGCAUAGGCAGAAAAUAACAUAUCAGUCAGACAAGACAAGUAAUUACAACCAUAACGCAACAUAAUGAAGAAAUGUACCAUGAGGAUUUUGAACAAACAUAAUGAAGUGUAACCAACAGCAUACAAAUAUAAAAAAUAUAGAGGAAAAUGCUAUACAAUCACUGUAAGUGAUUUCAAAGGCCAUCAAUCUUCUAUUUCUGUUUCUGGAAAAAAAGUCAUGUCAUCAAGAUGUCGUUCCAUUUGCUUACCAUGAUGAGUAAAAUGAAAUUUGAACUAGCUUGCUGUUCUUGCAUAUCUUCUCCUCAUCCUGGUUACCAAGCAAGUCAGCCUUGACCAAUCCAUCUAUGAUGCAGCUUAUCUAGAUUAUAUUUCCUGUUGCCUAAGUUUGGAUAUUUCCUUUGCAGAGGGUAUAGCGUGCAAGGUCCUAAGAACUUUACCAAAUUAUCAUCCUUCGAGUAGAGAAAAUCUCCCAAAUAUAUAAGCGAAAUAAACUUGUGACGGAAUCAAAGAAUGCAAAUGCUCAUCAUCAUUUACUAAUCCAUAUGCAUAAUGUAAACAUUUACAUCUUUAUUAGAAGCAUACAUAAAAAAUACAUGGCACACAAGAUAUCAACUUUUCGACCUAGGAGCUCAAUUCUUGCAUACAAACACACUUCCUUUAGUUUGCAUUGGACCUCGCACUUUCCACUAAUGUAAAUGCCACAGAAAGUGUGACUGUAAAAACUUUAAACGUAGAACGAUCGAUAUGUUUGAGUUCAGAUGGACUGUAAUAUUGGUGACUACAAGAUUUGUUCUUUUACUAGAUUUUCUCGUAUUUCAUAUGAGCAUACGCAUUCUACUAUAUACGUGAUCUGCCUCAUUUAGCAUUCCAGUAAGAAGCAAAAUGAUAAGAACAAUUGUGACAAUUACAUCAAAAGAAAGAAGCUAAUUAGCAAGUAAUCAUUCGAAUAAGCUGAACUCACAGAAGCAGAAACCUAAACACUAUCAAGAUGGUCUCUGUUGUAGCAUGCCCAUAGUAAGAUCAUAGUUUGAAGUAUGUUAGGAUGCCACUUGUCAUCAUCUCAAUAUGACAAAUGUAAGGUUGAGAUGCUCUAGUAGUAGAUAAGAUGGUUGUAAGUUGUCGGAUGAUAGCUUACAGAGGAAGCUAAGUAGUUUACAUAUAAGGAAGUCGGUUGUAAUUGGGAGGGGGUCAUUGGAAUAAUCUCUGUGUAAUACAAGAAAGUACUAUGCAAUUGUGAAGAAGCCGAGCAAGGUUUUAACAUUGGUAUCAGCCAGUGUCGAUUCCUCUCAAUCCUUCAUUGUUGUAUGCCUCGCCGACCCCGGAACACCAUGGAAUCGCGAGUGUCGACUUUGGAAACCAUGCUCGCCGAUCUCAAAGCUGAGUUCAACUAACAGCCAAGAGAUGAUCAUGAUGCAGCUGCAAUCAUGAUGCAGAUGGAUGCAUUAUUUGUGGCUUUUAUCGUUAUUGAAAUCUUGUUGGAAUUUCGACAUUUAUUGAUCAUAAUGCAUCCAUCUGCAUCUCCGUUGUAUCAUUACCCUGUACAAAGAAAGUGGCUCGAAGUCUUGAGAAGCAACAUAACCAACAAUCACACCACGGCAUUUGGGUGCUCCAUUAGAAAUGGUGGGACUACGACCAGGAAUCCCAGGUACAUUACGUCUUGCUACAGUUAAAAGGGACAAGUGCUCAAAAUCAAAUACAUAUUCGUGAUAUAACUUUGGCACUCUUAUUUCUGAUACAUAGUGACUGAGCAGAUAAUCAUAGAUAAAAUCUUUAAAAAAAAAAAAUAUCACAAUUUCAACCAGAAAUUUCAAUGGCUCUGACGUCAACGUUCUUCAACUCCGCCUUCGGAACAGUGACACUCAGAACUCCAUUCUCCAUGGCAGCCUUAAUCUGAUCAACCUUUGCGUUCUCCGGAAGCUGAAACCUCCUCAAGAACUUGCCGCUGCUCCUCUCCACUCUGUGCCACUUGUCGUUUAUAUCCUCCUUCUCCACGUUCCUCUCUCCGCUGAUCUUAAGCACCCUGUCGUCUUCCACCUCCACCUUCACCUCCUCUUUUUUCAGCCCUGGAACGUCCGCCUUGAACACAUGGGCUUCGGGGGUCUCCUUCCAGUCGACCCUAGUGUUCACAAAAGCCGAAUUCUCCCGAGAAAAUUCAGGAAAUGCGGAGAGUGAUGAGGAGGAAGGGAACGGGAAAUCCUUGAAAGGGUCCCACAGAUUGAGGGAGAAUGGGUCGAAGACGCUGCUGCUUCCUCCUCCGGAGUUGGGAAUUAGCGACAUUCUGAAAAACCGAUGGGGUUGGUUUGGAUGCAGAGAAAUUUGAGAAUUAUUACAGAAAUAUUGCUUUUGCUGGACUGAUUGCAGAAAUAGCGGAUUUGAUAUAUUUAUAAGGAACCGAAGAAUUUUCUAGAACAGACUUGAGGAUGAGGCUGGAAAAGUAUGUGUGAGUUUCUCGAACUUUCUAUGAUGCUUGAGAAUAAUUGGAACUUUCUCAGGACGCUUAAGAAUAAUCCGACGUUUGUGUGAGUUACUCACACAACACGGUUGACUUCAUGAUGAUGAAUGGUGGACCCAAAAACCUAAGUGUGGGGGUUGUAUGGGCCGUUCGAUUUAAUCGGACGGUUAAAACUGAAGAUACUGUGCAAGUUAUAAGCGGGGCGUUUGAAUCUUUGAUAUGUAUUAUUUGGACUUAUUGAUAAAUAAUAAUAGUUCCAUUAAAUUAACAAUAUCAACUAAAUAUCAAUAACAUUUAACAUCUCAUGAAGUAGCUUAUCUAAAGGUAAAGGGAGUUAUAGCCCAAACAAGCAAAUUACGUACCAACAGUUAAGUAAUAUGAUGGUUACUUAGUACUAUAUUUUAAUGAUUUUUUUUAUUUGUGAGUAAGAAAUCUUAAAUUCGAUUUUAAAUUUUAAAGCUUUGAUUGGAUCAGUUUGAAUGAAAAGUGUUAACCAAGCUUCUAAAACUGGAGAAAGGAUUUCUAGGCAGCAAAAGGCAAGACCCAUGGCGUACAAUUGAGAUUUAAAAAAAAAUGGCUUUGAGAUUUUGUUGGUUAGGAUGUCCUUCCCUCAAUUGUGAGCAGCUCUUAAUUUGCUUUCUUCGCAGGCAGGCGAAUUGGAGACAAUAGUAUGCUUUUGAAGGAGUUUCUUAAAAAUUACCACAGAAACAAUGGUCUUCCUAGAUGUGCCUUGCAGGUGGACAUUCUGAUAGCUUGUGAUACCAGGUUGGAAAAUGGGUUACUAGGAUUAGGCUGGUUCAUAGUUCGAUUCCAUUUAAUUGUAACUGGUAGAAGAAAAAAAAACACUUUCAAACGAAUUUGUAUAGAAUUUAUAUGCUACGACUAAUAGUAGCCCUACUAUUGUUCGAAAUAGAUUAUCAAUUCUAAUUGUGAUGUUUGUACCGUAAAAUAAUGUGAUGCCACGAACGAAUAAGGAUGGCUCAAGCCAUGUAUUGUGCCUUGAGAAUGUGGGGUUGGGAAGCAAUGCAUCCAAUUUUUCUUUCACUUUAUCCUUUUUUUUUUUUUUUGUUAAAGAAAAUACCAUAUGGUUCGUAAGCAAAGUAUCCAAAUCUUUUUCACCUUUUUUUUUGAUAAAGAGAAAUACAAAGUGGGUUCGAAAGCAAUGCAUCCCAUUCUCUUUCCCUUUGUCUUUUUCUUGUUAAAAAAGAAUAACCUUUGUCUUUUUCUUGUUAAAAAAGAAUAAAAAUACCUUACUUCAGAAUCACCUCCUCUUGAGGUAAUGCUCGUUAAAUAUAUAUUUUUUGCUUCUCUAUUUAUAUUGUUAGAGAACUCUUAUUAACCUUUCCCCAUUGAAGUUAUCUGCUCAUUGCAUUGCUGAGGUAACAUAAUCUGUCCUCCUUGUGCAUGAUACCAUUCAACAUUCAUAUUUUCUAGCAAAUUCGUGAAGUAACAAUGUCAAGACCAGACACAUGAGUUGUUGCUGAAUAAGUCAUAGAUUUCAGAAUUUCACUUUUACUCUAGCAAACUGUUGCAUUGGGUUGAUUUACAAUACAAGUACGUACGUACAUCUUGGAAACUUUAUUUCUUUUCAAUAUUUGUUGUUUUAGGUGUUUAUUUUUACCCAUGUGUGACUAAGAAACAAAAGUGUUGGUUUUACAUUAUAUUUUCUAGCAAAUUCGUGAAGUACCAGAUCCAACACCAGACAUAUUGUUGUUGAACAAGGCAUAGAUUUCACAAUUUCAUUUUUUUCCCCUACCGGUUAGUUGCAUUUGGUUGAUUACAAUACAGGUACGUAUGUUCUUAGAAACUUCAUUUCUUUUCAAUAUUUGUUGUUUUAGGUGUUUGUACUAUAUGUUUAUGCAUUUUGAUGUUCAUCCACGUCAACUGAAAUUGAGCUAAUCCCCCCCCCCCCAUAAUCGAAUUUUUACUUUUCUCACUCAAUACAAAAAGUUUGAAAACACAUCUACUAUAUGGUGGUGAAAUGUAAACUAUUAGAAAUUUAUAUGCUGUAAAAUAAUAAAGAGUAAAUAAAUAUACACAUGCACUGAAACCAUCAAUUGAAAAUAUGAAUUUACCCCUUGAAAUUCAAUUUUCUUUAACUAAAACUCAUCAUAGUAUAUUUUCCUAACAAAAACUCAUUGACUUUACCUCUUGAGAAAAAAAACAGGGCCUUCGGGUUUUUUACAUAUAUUUUUUUUUAACACUUCUCCUAUUUAUAUUGUUAGAAAGCUCUUAUUAACUCUUCCCCAUUGAAGUUAUCUGUUCUUAUAUUUGCAUUGAUGUGCAUCAUCUUUCCUCCUUGUGCAUGCUAACAUUCAACAUUCAAAUUUUCUUGCAAAUUCGUGAAGCACCACUACCAGUACCAGACAUAUGAUUUGUUGCUGAACAAGGCAUAGAUUUCAAAAUUUUCAAUUUUACUCUGUUGGACAAUUGCAUUGCGUUGAUUUACGAUACAGGUAUGUAGUACUUCUCUUAAACUCUAGUUAUGUCCAAUAUUUGUUGUUUUAGGCGUUUGUUUUUAUCCUGCUUGACUAAGAAACUAAAAUGUUAGUUUUACAAUCUAGUGCCCACCAGAUAUUCUAUUUCAGGAUCCAGAUCAACAAUUUUAUUGAUUAGGUUUUGACUUCACAUAAUUUUGUAUUUUUAGAUGUUUAAAAUAUCCCUAGUAACAUAUGUUAGAUUAAAAACAAAUUUUAAUAUCUUGAUUUCAUUGCAUAUUAAUAAUAAAAGUAUAUGAUUCUAGGGUUUUCAUUGUUUUAUUUUAUUUUUUUCCUUUUUAAAUUCCUUGGUUGCUUUUCAAAUUUGCAUAAGAUUAAAUAAGAUGUUCUUGACCUCCAAAACAAGGGCUUUGAAAAUGUGGCCCAUCCUGCACCUCCACCAGAGAUAUGGUCAACAUUCGAAAAAGGUUUUAAGGAUUUUAAGUCCAGAAAGGCAAACAUGAAUGAGGUGAUAGAGGGUUUGAAGAGGGUAGAAGUACGAAUGAUUGGGAUUUGUGGAAUGGGGGGCGUGGGUAAAACCACAAUGGUAAAAGAAAUCAUCACAAGAUUGGCAAAACUGAACCUGUUUGAUAAGAUUGUAAUGGCAACUGUGUCUCAAAGUCCAAGUAUUAGGACGAUCCAGUCGGAAAUUGCAGACGAAAUAGGCUUGGAAUUUAAGGUGGAAUCCGAGCCCGGAAGAGCACGAAAGCUACAUGAGAGACUCAUGGAAAUAAAGAGGAUCCUCAUUGUAUUAGAUGAUGUAUGGACAGAGCCUAAUUUUGAGGCUAUAGGGCUUCCUUAUGGAGAUACUCAUAAAGGGUGCAAAAUUUUGUUGACAUCAAGAGAUUCGGAAGUCUGCAACAGGAUGGGAAGUCAACAAAUUAUUGCAGUCCCGACUUUAACAACAGAAGAAUCACAGGAGCUCUUUCGAGAAAUGGUAGGUGAAUCCUUCAAUGAUCCUGAUUUACGUUCCACUGCAGAAGAUGUCGUGAAGGAAUGUGGAGGUUUACCUAUUGCUAUUGUAACUGUUGGAAAAGCCCUAGAAAAGAAAAACAAGCGUGAAUGGGAUGAUGCCCUUAAUCAGCUGCGUAAUUCCAGGCCAGAGAAUAUCCCUGGAGUGAACGACAAAGUUUAUUCUUGCAUAAAAUGGAGUUAUGAUAGAUUAGAGAGUGAUGAAGCCAGGUCAUGUCUUUUACUUUGUUGUUUAUUUCCAGAAGAUUAUGAUAUUUCAAUUGAGUAUUUGGUUCGAUAUGGGUGGGGUCGAGGAUAUUUUAGCAGCAUCGUUACUUUGGAAGAUGCAAGAAAUAGAGUGCAUUCUUUGGUUUACCAACUAAAAAGAAGGUUUUUGUUGCUAGAUAGUUAUGUGAGUGAGGCUACGAAAAUGCACGACGUAGUUCGUGAUGUUGCCAUAUCAAUUGCUUCAAGAGAUCCACAUGGAUUUCUGAUAAGUAAUGCUGAAAAUAAAAGGUGGCCAAAUUUAGCUACAUAUGACCAUUACACUACAAUCUCACUUGUUGGCAAAUUGGAGAUUCCAGUUGGUUUGAAAUGCCCAAAACUUGAGCUUCUACAAAAGAUGAAAGGACGUUUUUCAGAAGGUAGCAUGGACAUCAUUAGUGAUACGAUGAGAGAACUGAAGGUUUUAGCUUUGGUGGAAAUGAAAGACCUAGGCUCAUCAAGACCACUAGGAGUACUGAAGAACCUGCGAACCUUGUGCCUAGAUAGGUCUAAAAUUGAUGGCAUGUCUACUGAUGUUAUUGGGAGUUUAGAGAAUUUAGAAAUCCUCAGCUUUCGUGGUUGUGUUUCCUUGCAUGAGUUGCCGAGGGAAAUUGGACGACUUAAACAGUUAAGGUUGUUAGAUACGACAGAUUGCAGGAAUCUUGAGGUGAUUCCACAUGGUAUCUUCUCCAGCUUAUGUAGACUUGAAGAGUUGUAUAUGCUUAAUAGCUUUACGAAAUGGGAAAUUGGAAGAGGAAGAGAAGAUAAGGGGAUGGCAAGCAUUUCUGAGGUGAUGUCUCUGUCUGAUCAUUUGAAGGUUCUAGCCAUAAAUAUACCCAGUGUCAUCCACUUGUUGCCAAAAGAUAGAGUCUUGAAAAGCCCAACAAUAAGAUUCGGUAUAUGCUUUGGAACUGGGCAAUGCGUUUUUGGAAGAUGACAAUUUAUGCAUUCGAAAAUUGUUUGGUGAUUGAUGAAAGUGAUGCAAAGGAGUUGGAGAGUCAAGCAGUUAGACUUUUGUUGAAAAAAUCUAAAAAAUUGAUUUUGAGCAAUGUUAAGAAUUUCCGUGUCCUCACAUAUUUAGACCAAGAGGGAUUUCAAGAUUUGAAAAUUUUGCUUGUUUUGAAUUGUCCAACUACCGAGUAUCUUGCAAAUGGAACAAGUGUGACCCAGCAAAAACUCUUUCCUCUCAUACAGUCAGUUAGUCAGCUUGCAGAUAGCUUUUUGAGCAACCUAAGAUUCCUAAAAUUGGCAGAUUGUGGUAUCUUAAAAUAUGCAUUUUCACUAUCACUAGCGAGAAACCUGGUACAACUCAAAGAUUUAUAUAUUUAUGAAUGUGAUCAGAUGGAAGAAAUUGUGUCAAAGCAGGGGAAGGAACAUGAGGAGGAAGCCGAUAUGAUAUCUUUCCAUAAAUUAACCAAUUUGAGUCUCUGGGGUCUACCGAGUUUGGUUGGUUUCUUCCAAGCCAACAAGCUAUACUCCAACCAAGAGGUAUGUCCCACUCUCCAAUUUCUAUGAUAUGAGGAGGCAACCAAAUUGUGGAAAUUUGAAAUUGUUACGAAAUGCUUAAGUUGGUGUAUAAUUUUUCUUUAACUGAUAAUGAUUUUUCUUUUUCAGGAAACAACGCCAAGGGUUGAGCAUCAAUCUGCAUGAAUAUUUGAAAAAGCAAUAUUUCCAUCAAAGUGCAUUUCAUGGUUACCAAGUUUAGAAAAGGUAGGAUUUGUUUGGAUUAAAACUUGACUUUGGGCUCAAGAUAGAAGCUGGCCCAAAAGGAGGCCUGAAGGAAUAGAAGAUCAAGGCCCGGCCGAAACCUAGGAAAGCAGAGAAGGGCUUUUUCUGACUUGAUACAAUUCAUAAGGACCACUUCCUUACCUACCCAAGGACCAAGUGGUAUAGACUGACCAGACUGCACAGCCCAUAAAGUACUUUAUGGUGGCAUUACAUGUAAAAAAGCUGAUGAGUCAUUACCCUCAAACUGCAUUCGGGCAAGGCUGCUGCUACAGGAGGCCAAACCAAGUUGUCUAUAAAAGGAGGAAGAGAAGACAAGAAUAAGGACACUCAAUCAAACAAACAAAUACAAGCCCAAACUCUGCUCAAAAACCAUAUUUGCCUUCAAAACGAAGCUGUAGUCAGCCCAAGCCUUCAUCCCAUUCGGGACAAGCCUUUAUCCCCCGCGGGAUAACCUUCUCUUCAAACCUUUGUAAUAGCUCUGCUACCUUGUUCGAACUUGUUGUAGUAUCGAUUCACUUUUUGUAUCUCCCUCUCCCCCCUCUCUCCCUCUAAGCUUUCAGACCUUUGACAAAACUACAAAGAUAAGGACCUGUAAGACGAUCAGCCUUAACUGAUAAGGUUUAACCUUGCCCGACCUUCUUUGCUUUGUCUUUGUCUUUUCAUUCUUUAAAGCCUAGCAAUAUGUUGUAUACUUCCAGUUAUAUGCAAGUUGUUUCUAGCAAAAUAAUGAUGAAAAGGCUUUCUCAGUAUUUGGAUCCGAUUUGAAUAUAUCUUCAGUGCUCAAAUCAGAUCCAAGUCCUAAGCCCUCGGGCAUGUAAAUCUGAUCAGUUUAAAAGUCCUUAGCCUCAAGGCAUAAAAAAGAACUUUAUGUGGACUUAACCCAUCCACGACAGUCCUUGAUAAACGAGAAGUCCGAAGUUACUUGGGGCGCAAGUAAUCGACCUACCUCUUGGUUUUGUUUCUAUUAUAUUAUGAUUAUCAUAGAACGCUUAAAUAUGGAAUAGAUUCUGAUAGGAAGCCUCAAGGCCUACACCUAAGGCCCCACAAAGGCACCUAUUUGGAUUCAUUCUAUUCUGCGGUCUAGACUGUUCGAAGAACGAACUCUAAUGGGAAGCCUCAAGGCCUACACCUAAGGCCCCACAAAAGCACCCAUUUGGGUUCGCUCUACCUCUCGGACUCGGGUAAUCAGAAGUAUAAUGGUGAGAAGACUUCUGCAAUCAUAAAGAUCAAAUAUGAUGUGUUCGAGCACUGGUUUAGUUUGAGAGAAAGCCUCAAGGCUUACACCUAAGGCCCCACAAAGGCACAUGUCAUGUCUAAACACGGUUUCUUGGGCAUAUACAUAUUCACAACUAAAACUCGACAUCCAUUCGACAUCUACCAUACUGAAGAUGGCAGUGGCACGCCUGAGCACCUCAAAAGUUAAUCUUGAUUGUGAGCCUCAAGGCCUAUACCUAAGGCCCCACAAAGGCACCUUUCAAAUUAACUCUGUCAUUCUCUUUCAGCACUGCCCGACGAGCCUUGCCCGAAGAGUCUUGCCCGAUCAAGACUUGCCCGACAAAGCCCGAUAGGAAAGCAGAAGCCCGACAGCAGCCCUCAACCGGCGCCAACCUCCCGGGGAGCUGUGUGCUUGUUGGCCAGGAAGACAUCCCCGACGGAAAUUCCUGCGACGAACAGGAUUGACAUAUAUUAUGAUGUUUGACGGCGUGAUAUUUGAUCUUAAAAUCCACAUAGUUACGGAUGGGCAGACAACUCCAAUAUUUCCUCAGUUACGUGAGUUGGCAAUAAGGAGUUGUUCAUUUACACACUUGUGGAAAAACAUUCCAUUUGGAUUUCAGGGUUUCCAAAAUUUGAGAUAUUUGAAAUUAAGAUAUUGUUAUGGUCCAGAAUAUGUGUUCUCGCAUUUAAUUGCCCGGGAACUUUUGAAUCUUGAAGAGGUAAAGAUAUCAAAAUGUUCGGACAUGGAAACUAUAGUCAGAAUCACAGAGGAAAUUGAAGAAGAGGCGACAAAAUACAUGAUUUUGUUUCCGAGACUGAACAGAUUUGAACUAGUAGACCUGCCUCGUCUCACAAGUUUUUGUCCAGAGGGAUUUACAUUUCAAUGGUCAUCCACAAAAGAUAUGCACGUGGAAAAAUGUGAAAAAUUGAAGACAUUGGGUGCUGUAAUUCCACAAAGAAAGAAGUUGGAGAAUUAUAAGUCUGAGAAGGAUUCAACAAGUCAUGAUUUCAGUACUUCUCCAACACGUUCAUCCAAUUGGUGCCCUGCUGGAUGUGUAUGCAUACCAUAUUUAAGAGCAAACGCCCACUGCUCCAUUGAAAUAUUGCCACAUCCAAUUAAUUUGGAGGUAAGCUUUUAAAUUAGGUUCAAUUAACCUCUAUAAGUACAACUUUUAAUUAGUAUUGUAUCUUGUUGUUGAUCAUGUUUAAUUUUCUAGGUUACACCAACUAAUCUUGGGGACUCAAAUGAUAAUGAUAAUCUCGAAAAUCUUAUUGUACAUGACUGUGCGUCAUUGGAAGUGAUUUUCCAACUCAAGGGACCGAAGCAUGAAGAAAGUAGUCACUCUGUUGAAGCAUUCAAUAAAUUGAGGUCCUUGCGGUUACAUAAGCUCUAAGUUUAACGUGUGUUUGGGAGACAGGUAGUUCACAGCCGAUGUUCACAGGAAGCAGUUUUGGAAACUUGAAAUCGCUGCAGGUCGAUUUUUGCAACCAGUUGAAAUACUUGUUUUCGUCGUUCAUAGUCAAACUCCUUGUGAGUAUAGAGGAAGUAGAAGUUAAGAAGUGUGAGCAGAUGAAAGAAAUCGUUGCCGCAGAAGAAGAAACUGAUGAAAUAAUUACAUUACCUAAAGUGAAGUCCAUCAAGCUUCAAAGUCUGCCAAAACUCAAUUAUUUUUGUGGUGAUGCUUAUACUUUGAAGUUGUCGUCUUUGGAGUUACUGGAGGUUAAGAAGGUCCAAAACUUAAGGCGAUUUGCUCCUAAGCUUGUUGACACACAUCCCCGAUUGCAAGUACGCACAGCGUUGGGAGUGGCUGAAUGGAAGGAGGACCUCAAUGCCACUCUAAGGAAUAUUUACGACACAAGGUAUGCUUUAAUGUAAGGUUUUUAAUUUUCAGUCAUUUAUGUGCGUAUUUAAUGUAAGAAUGCGAGCUGGAUGGAUGAAGUGUAAGAAUGCAUCCGGCGUAUUGUGUGACCGUCGUAGGCCACUGAAGCUCAAGGGAAAAUUUUAUAGGACGGCAAUAAGGCCGCGAUGUUGUAUGACACAGAAUGUUGGGCGGUGAAGCAUCAACACGUACACAAAAUGGGUGUAGCGGAGAUGAGGAUGCUUCGUGGGAUGUGUGGGCACACGAGAAAGGAUAAGAUUGGGAAUGAGGAUAUCCGAGGUAAAGUAGGAGUAGCCGAAAUUGUAGGAAAGAUGAGAGAAAAUCGGCUCCGGUGAUUUGGACAUGUGCAAAGAAGGCCGAAUGACGCUCCGGUUCGAAGAUGUGACUACGGGACAGAGGUUCAGGGCCGAAGGGGCAGAGGAAGACCUAGGAAAACUUUGGAAGAGACUCUAAGAAAAGACUAAGAGUACUUGGAUCUAACGGAGGACAUGACACAAAACCGAGCGCAAUGGCGUUCUAGGAUUCAUAUAGCCGACCCCACUUAGUGGGAAAAGGCUUUGUUGUUGUUGUUGUUGUUGUAUGUGCGUAUUUAAAGAUGUUUUUUUUUUUAAAACAUCUAUCUUUUAAUUCUUGAUGUAUACGUGGGAUUUCUAAAGUUUUUACAAAAGACUGAAUAAUAGCGUACAUAUAUUAAUGUAUAUGUGUGUGUAUAUGCGAGUAUGUGCACACUAAGGUGUGUGUGUGCCUAUAUAUAUAUAUUUUUUUUUAACUCAAUUGUAUCUCAAGAAAACAUCGUCUUUUAUUUCUAAUACAGUAAGGAUGAAGAUGACGAACUCGACAGUGAGGAUGAAGAUGACGAACUCGACAGUGAGGAUGAAGAUGACGAAAUCAACGGCGAGGAUGAAGAUGACGAAAUCGACAAUGAGGAUGAAGAUGAGGAAAUCGACGGCGAGGAUGACGAUGACAAAAUCGACGGCAAUGAUGAAGAUGACGAAAUGAACAGGGACGACGAACACAAUUGAUUGAUCAAGCACAAAGAUUAGCAUGUUUCCAUCUCCAACUUCUUCUAGGUUUAGUAAAAACUGAUGAAAAUUGUCUAUAUAGUACUCAAAAAAAUAUUCUACCAUGUUUUAUAUAAUAUAUACAUACAUUUAUAGCACUUAAAAAAAUUUAACAGUUUGGAUCUAAAACCAGAAUCUGCUACCUGUUUCAUUUUUUCGAGGUACCUAAUAGCAAUUAAGGACCUUUGUCAGACACGUAUACAAUAAACAUAACCCUAGUGCUAAGUGGCUUAAAAAUUAAUUUAGUCCUUAAACCGCUAUUUUUGGAAACACAUACAACAAGCACAAGCGUUUCAACUUAUUCCAAUUUCAGUGAUUUCUAAUAUUCUCCAAUGCAUGCAGGAAAAGAGUUUAAAGAACGUUGUGGCUACAGCAAUUCGUUUACUAUAUCAUAUGUACAAACCAAUAAAAGGACAUUUGUUGCACCCUAAUUUCAUUCCAAAAAUACUAUUUAUGUUGCUUAUUUUAUGUACCAUAAAUUCCAAUUGCGAUUAUUACUGUUUGUUUCUAAAUUCGCAUCAUUAGUGUUUGCUUAUUUGUGCUCGAUGUUGAUUAUAUUCUUGCAUUUCCAUUCAUAAUGAUAAUUUGGAAGUCUUGUCUCUAGCUAACUAAUAUUUGCAUUUCAAUUGAUAAUGAAAAUUCUAUGAUACCAUACAAGUGUUAGCUGAAUGACAUGUCUGUAGGAUGGAAAGCUGAAUAUACUGUAAUAUUGAUCACACACAUAUAAACUGAACAAUAUUAUGAUACACUAGCUAGCCGUAACUAAUGAAAGCUGAAUAAUAUGAUCACACACUAUAAAGUCCGCUAUUAUAGAAACUAACUUGGGGAUUGGAUAAGGGACGGCAAUAUUGGCCCAAUUCCGGCGAUAUUGGCCCGAAAACCCUGGGUCACCGUGUCUUAGAUUUGAAGUUGAGGAAAAUCGCCUACGAAUUUAUAGAAACUAACUUGGGGAUUGGAUAAGGGACGGCAAGAGCAUUCUGGAUGUGUAGUUUGAGAGCCUUUGGUGACCAGUGGACGACAGAGCUGUUGCGUCGGCACUCGGCAGUCGUCGGCUUGCUGUUAAAUGGGGCUCCUGUUGCAGCGCAAAAGAGAAGAAGGAAAGAGGAUACGGGAGGAGAGAAAAUGGGUUUCACCCACUUUGUACAUUAAUUCUUUUCCACAUUUUUUAUGGAAUAAACGACAUUAUCUAUCAUCAAAAGUGCGUUUGGUACGUGAGAUGAGACGGAACAUGUUUUGAUGAUAAUAAUGGUUAGAAGUAAUAUAGUUCAAAUUCAUCUUUGAUGAUAAUCGAAUAUAAAAUCCCUUACUUACAAGUUACAAAUAAAGAUGAAUGCCAUUAAUUUUUUUUCCACUUUUAAUACAUACCUAAAUAAAAAGAAACAAAAUGAAAAUGAAAAGAAAUAAUAAUUUGAAAGAGAAAUGAAAAAUAAAGGUAAAUUGACAGCAUAAGGUAACCCCACUACCCCGCUGCUGCCCGCAAGUUCUUUCCUCGCCCCUGUUUCUACGUCCAAUUAAUCUGUAGAAACUAACUUGGGAGUUGGAAAGAGAACGGAAAGAGGAGUCUGGAUAUGUAAUUUGACGGCCGUUGGUGACCCGUGGACGAAAAUAAACUUCAUGCGAAAACAAGACCAGAUUGAGGUAAGAAAGAAAAAUACAUAGGCAGAAAUAACAUGUCAGUCGGGCAAGACAAGUAAUUGCAACCAUAACACAACACAAUGAAGAAACAUACCACGAGGAUUUUGAACAAACAUAAUGAAGUGUAACCAAGAGCAUACAAAUAUCAAAAAUAUAGAAAAGAAUGCUAUACAAUCACUAUAAGUGAUUGCAAAGGCCAUCUUUCCUCGCCCCUGUUUCUACGUCCAAUUAAUUAAUCUGGAGGUAAGCUUUUAAAUCAGGUUGAAUUAACCUCUAUAAGUACAUCUUUUAAUUAGUAUUGUAUCAUCUUGUUGAUCGUGUUUAAAUUUCUAGGUUACACAACCUAAUCUUGAGGACUCAAAUGAUGAUGAUAAUCUCGAAAAUCUUACUCUAAUUAACUGUAAUUCAAUGGAAGUCACAUAAAAUUAUCAGAUUCCACAAUAGUAUUGGAAAUAACCUUUAGUCCUUAAACAGCUAUUUUCAGAAACACACAUUUCAGUGAUUUCUAAUAUUUUCCAAUGCAUGCAGGAGUUUCCCGAAAGAAAAAAAGAAGGUUGUGGCUUCGGCUAUUCGCUUACUUUCAUAUGUACAAACCAAUAAAAGGUCAUUUGUUGUACCAGAAUUUCAUUCCAAAGAUACAGUUUCCGUUGCUUACUAUAUGUAUAAUUAAUUUCGAUUGCGAUUAUUACUGUUUGAAUUCAUCUCUCGACUGCCUAUGGGGACGUCAAGGUGGACACCAAAAUGGAGGCGUGAUGACCUGCAUCCGGAAAGUGACGUAGCCAUAACGUGCAUGCAAAUAUAAUUUAAUAAAAUAACUUCAAAUGAUCUACGGAAAAAUCGGCAUAGUUUCCUUUGGAAUUAGGUUUUGGCCCCCAAAUUUAAAACCUGCUGAAAAAGUUAUAAUUAUUUCAAAACCACAUCCCCGACACCUAAUGGGUUAUCAACCCUCUACUACAUGCACGUAUACUCCAAUAUACUUACUGGUGGUAUAGCAUACAAUUUCAUACACCAGUGAUAACUAGUGUAAGCUGAAAAUUUAACCAUACACGCUAGUGUAAACUGAAGAUAAAACCAUACAUUAGCUGUAGCUAGUGUAAACUGAAAAAUAUAAUCAUACACUAGCCGUAGCUAGUGUAAGCUGAAUGGGCAUGCUCAUAGUAGGGACAAGAUGACUAUACUGUAGUAUAAAUCAUAAACGUGUAAGCUAAAUAAAAUUAUCAUACACUAUAAGGUCUGGUAUUAAUUCAUAAAAUCUAUUCUUCCCCUAAACGUAACGGAAAUCAUAUGUAUCUAGGCAUGCUUAAUAUUUGAUAAAGAAAAACAUUUCUGAAUAAAUGUCCACUGACACCUCCGGCUAGCUCUCCCUUGAGGAGCCUUGUCUACCAAAAAGGUAAUUUCAAGCAACUUCAAGAGAUAAUUUGACCACGUUGCGAAAGUAUGACACCAAACGGUUGAGACCCAGAAGACAUCCAAGAGUUUUUGGAGAAACAGAACGCUCACUGAAGAUAUGUGUUCUAUUUCUAUAGCACGUUUACCCCAAACAAAACACAGGUUAUGGAAAGGAAAAUAACAUUAAGAAAUGCAAAAGAUUGGGGAGAUGAGAAAGAAGUAGUCUCUGGUCCUGGAAAUAAUGCAUACAAUAUUGCUCUACCAAUUAAACCAAAUCUUAUGACUCUAGUGACAAGCUAGAGAGCCACAAAAACCCCAAGUCCUUGCAGGGAACCCAAAACCAAAGCAAACUACCGAAAUGAACCCGAUUCGAGCCAAGAAAUGACAAAUGCUUAUGUAAAAAUAAAUUAAUCAAAUCAAACAAGAAAUGACAAACCCCGAUUCUAGUUGAAUACAACUAGAAUAAACAAGGAAUCAGGCUAUGCAAUUUCCUACCACAUUUUCACAUCAACGUCAUUGUUAGGGGUUUCAACAACUUCACAGAAUGACCACAAAUCUCAUCUCCGGCAUUCAGACAGAAAAAUCGAAUAAAAGUUCGAAAUUAAGAAUCGAUCCCAAAUCUCAUUUUUACCUCUUGGUUCGAGGUCCAAUUCCUGCGAUAUUUGGCCGGAAGUUUGCCGGAAAACCCGUGGUCACCGUUUCUUUUGAUCUGAAAUUGAGGAAAUGCCGCUUCGAAUUUGUAGAAACUGACUUGGGGGUUGGAAAGAGGACGGGAAGAGAGAAUUCUGGAUGUGUAAUUUGACGGCCGUUGGUGACCGAUGUUAGCAGACGUCGCUGUUGCAAUUACAUCAAACCUUCAACUCCACCACUUCAUCUUCUUCGUCAAGACCUAGAUGGACGACAACGUCGUACACAGAGUCUUCCAAGAAGGAGGCCAUGGCUAUUUCCAACAAUGACCCUCCACUUUCUCUUCCUCCGACGUCGUUUCAUUGAUUUUGAGAUCUGGGUUUUGUUUGCGGUGUGAGGUAUUUUAAAAUCUGGCAUCGUGGAGCUUGCUGGAGAAGAAGAUGUGGGCUGAUAUUGUUCGAAUUCAGGGACCCCCAACUCGAAUUGUAAAGCUUGGUUAUGGUUUUGGGAAGGGGUGUGGGCUGGCGAGCGCUGUAAUGAGAACCGAGUCGUCCGAAUCCAAGCAUUUCUUCUUCAAUCCCGAUUCUUCCCAAAGAACCACAACUAAGGUCGACACAAUCCCACCGUUGGAUAGGAGCUGCACCCAAUUCCUUUGCCCACCCUCUUUGAAAUCGGUAUCGCCGCGUCGCUUCUUGCCUUCCCGGACCUUGGUCAGCUUCGACAAUGUAAAGAACACCCGCAACAGAGCUCCACCAUGGCCAGGUGGGUGGGAAGAACAAGCGAGAGAAGAAACGACAUUUUUCGUUUUUCAUUUUUUUUCUUAAUUUUUUUAAUAUUUAAUUAUUUUUAUUUGCCACGUCAUACAAAGAUGUGGACUCUAUAUUUACUAUGUCAACAUUUAAAGGUCAAAUUAACGGUUUGAUUGACGGAUAUAUGAAAUUGAAAUAAAUUAUUAGUAAUUAUAUGAGUUUGAAAUAUUUAUAAAUGUUGUAUGAGGUUCUAAUUGCAUUUUUGAUAUGAGUAAUUAUAUGAGUAAUUAUAUGAGCAGAUGUGAUAAAAUGUAAUUUAACCUAAAAAUAAAAUGAAAAAUAAAAAAUAAAGGUAAACUGAAAGCAUAGUUAAUCACCCAUAAUAAUAGGUAACAUUAUCAUAUUGCCCUUUGUUGAUGCACAAAACCGGAGGUUUUGGAACAACGUAAAUCCGACCGUGAAUCUACAUAAAAUGUAAAUAACACAAGAGUUAUCGUGGUUCACCCCAAUGUUUGGGCUACGUCCACACUGAUUGUAUUAUAUUUCUCUGAGAAGUGAGGGGGAGAGAGAGCUCUAGAAGUGAGAGCGUUGAAAGGGGUGAGAAGGCUCCAGAAAUGGCCUCUAAGAGUGAGAGUGAGGCCUCCCUUAAUUGUUAGGGUGAGGAGUCCUUUUAUAGAAUAAGGGCUCCUCACUUAUUACAUAUUUGCCCCUUCCUUUAUCACAUAAUUAUAUUUAAGUCCCCCGAGUAUUUCUACGAUAUCUAAAUACGAGGCCCUAAAUAUGGUAUAAACAGUAGUCCCCUAAGUCUUCAGUCAAGAGAGUCUUUUGGCUGGAGACUUGAAAUUCAGUCCAUGUGUGGGCCGAAGUAACUAGAUGUCGUCUUGAACUGGUACUUGAUAUGAGGCGGUGCUCAAAGUGAAAUGAUGCUCAACUAUAAGUAGCACAUGUAGCGAGGCUGCUCGGCUUGUGGCUUAUGUUGCCUUAGUUAGCUCGGCUUGUGGCGCUUGAAGGUGAGGGGGUCCCUUUUAUAGAAUAAGGGCUCGCUCCUCAAUACAUAAAUGAUGGGCUAGAGUUGAUGCUCGCGGCGAGGCAGUUGCUCAGUAGGCGGCGAUGCUCUCUAAUGGUGGUGAGUGGAUCCUUUUUAUAGAAUAAGAGCUCGUUCCUCAAUACAUAAGUGAUGGGUUAGGAGUAAUGCUCGCGGCGAGGCGGUUGCUCAGCUAGCGGCGUUGCUCUCUAAUGAAGGUGAGGGAGUCCCUUUUAUAGAAUAAGGGCUCGCUCCUCAAUACAUAAGUGAUGGGCUAGGAGUGAUGUUUGCGGCAAGGCGGUUGCUCAGCUGGCGGCGUUGCUCUCUAAUGAAGGUGAGGGAGUCCCUUUUAUAAAAUAAGGGCUCGUUCCUCAGUACAUGAAUAAUGGGUGCUCUCUAAUGAAAGUGAGGGAGUCCCUUUUAUAGAAUAAGGGCUCGCUCCUUAAUACAUAAAUAAUGGGCUAAGUCCCCCAAAUAUUUUUCAUGAGGCCCAAUAUAUGGUACAUAAUGUAGUCCCCCAAGUCUUCGGUCAAUAGAGUCUGUUGGCUGGAGACUUCAAAUUGAAUCCAUGUAUGGGCCGAAGUGGUGGUUGUUCGGAGGCGGUAUUUGUAUACCCUGCACUGAAGCUUUGUAGGUGAAGCUUUGCAAGUGAAGCUUUGAAGCUAGAGCUCUGUAAAUGAAGCUUUCGAAGCUGGAGCUUUUAUAAAUGAAGCUUUUGAAGCUAGAGCUCUGUAAAUGAAGCUUUUGAAGUUGAUUGACAUGAGUGAUGCUCAUGAAUGUUUAUGUUGAUUGACAUGAGUGAUGCUCAUGAAUGUUGUCAUGAGUGAUGCUCAUGAAUGUUAACAUGAGUGAUGCUCAUGAAUGUUGACAUGAAUGAUGGUCAUGAAUGUUUAUGUAUGAUUGUCAUGAGUGAUGCUCAUGAAUGUUUAUGUAUGAAUGACAUGAGUAAUGCUCAUGUAUAAUUUGGAAUACUGGGCGUACUUUUGAUCACCUAGUUGGUGGCAUGAAGAAGAGUAGGGGUUGUACAUUUCAUCACCUGGUUGGUGGCAUGAAUGGCUAGUUGCCAAAUGAUAUUAGAGUACGGGUUGUACAUUUCAUCACCUGGUUGGUGGUAAAAGCGGCAGGUUGCCGAAUAAUUUUGGAGUACUGGGCGUACUUUUGAUCACCUGGUUGGUGGUAAUAGCGGCAGGUUGUCGAAUAAUUGUGGAGUACUGGACGUACUUUUGAUCGCCUGGUUGGAGCUAUUUUGGGCUUAUGGGCCUUCGCCCUUUACACAACAUUCCAGCCCAUUUAUUUUGGGCUUUGUCGUUUUUUUUUUUUUUUUUUAUACCCUCUGAUGGGGUUUAUACAGAUGUCUUCGAAAGAUAAGAAAAAUAAAUUACAUCAUACAAGAAAAGGAAAUCACUAGCAGGGUGUUUUAUUCCUUGAUUUUGCUUUCUCUUUUGCUUUCGCUUUCUUGGAUGACCGCUCUUUUUAGGAAUAAUGGUGCUCGGUGUCUUGUCAAUCCAACGUCCCAAGGUACUGACAUAAGGAGAUGCUGGGACCUUGUAAUGGGAUGGUAACAGCUUGACAUCAUUAGACAUCUGAAUUCCUUUAUCAUCGUGGUCGCGGGACCACUUUGCAGCUGUGUGUUUAAAGAAACCUGCUUUACCUUUACUGCUUUUGUUUCUGUUUCUUUUGACAAGCUGAUGGACGGACAGGAUGGCAUGGGUCGGAUUUAGCACAUGCGAAAAGUUAUUCCUUUUGUCCAAGUGGGUUGUUGAAGAUAACCCAUUACUGCAUUAUUCUCAGGGCUGUGAUGAUGAUGCAGUUGAAGAUUGUGCAGAGAUACGGAAGACCAAGAAGAAGACUUGGCUCUCAGCUUUGUACGAAAUGGGAUUAUCACUGCAAUACGCAAGCUUUGCAGUAGAAACAUAUAAAACUCCCAUGACUGGACUGAUGUGGACAAGUAACAUGCAAAUGAAUUUUGAAGUUGCUCCUCGGGAGUUGUCUUAAAGGUUGAUCGAAAAAUCUUCUCGUAACCACCUUCUGCUAGAACCUUUGUUCCUAGUGCAAUUCUUCCCAUGGCAGCAUCAGCAAAACUGGGGCUUGUUUUUAAGAGCUGCCACGUGUUUCCGGCGAGGUCCUCCGCCUUCUUCGUAGGUUCCCCCACCGACUUCCUCCACCUCCCAAACACGUUCCGCACAGUCUCCACCGAAUCUUUGAAUGAGAGAGAUUGUGAGAGCGUCGGGGAGGGAGCCACGUAAGUAUUGGAUCCCUGAUGGGAAGACUGAUCCGACGUGGCAGCGUGCGACUUAGACAUCAAUUCUGGGUUGGUGCUUCUUCACGCUGUUUACGAACCUAUUGGAGCCAUCCCUCUUCUUCGCCACCACUCGCUGGACGGAGCACGGUCAAGGACUUGCCGAUAUUCUCCUUCCCGCUUCCAUUGUCUCAUCUCAGAUUCAUUCUUCUUUGCUGCCAAAGCAGCUUGUAUGCCUUGCUCAUGCUUCAUACUUGUGUACAUCUGAAGAUGGUUUUUAACGUGUGAUAUGUUAAGGCCCUUCACAUUCAUGGUCUGUAAAACCAUCUUUGGAGUGGCUCUUUGAUCUCCGCCAAGCCUUUCAACCGAGUAGAUGACGACGGGGAUGAUUUCGACAAGCUGCCGAUCAUCUGACGAUGACUGGCGCGGGCCGGAAAAUGAUGGUGGUAGCCGUGGACGACUAGAUGCUUCCCUUGAGCUGUGCUUCUAUUAGGAGUAACACCAUCAUCGUCGUCAAAUGAUGACGAGUGGGGUUUCUGACCACCUGCUCCGAGUAGCUCUCUCCGUGUGUAGAUUCCCGCUCAUGUGAUGACUGGGGACCAUCGAAGCCGGCGGCGGCGGGUACCUCAGAUUAUCCGUGGAUUUUUUAGAGAGGUUGAAAAGACAGGGAUUUGAGGAGAGAGAGAGAGAGUCCUCAUUUCGCUAUCUUGAGCUCUAAAAUCCAUGGAUUUUUUUAUAUUAGUUUGUAAGAAAAAUGAGAGAUAGAAACAGCAUCUUCAGCAUGACUGCUUGAACAUCUCUAUGGUUUUAGAGAGAGAGAGAGAGUGGUGUUCUUGGUUUUUUGUGAUUUUUGCAGAUUCACAGUGGAGGUGAAAAAAAUGAAAGAGAACCGACACAACUUUUCGUAUCGAUUCCCACAGACGGCGCCAAAUGUUGAUGCACAAAACCGGAGGUUUUGGAACAACGUAAAUCCGACCGUGAAUCUACAUAAAAUGUAAAUAACACAAGAGUUAUCGUGGUUCACCCCAAUGUUUGGGCUACGUCCACACUGAUUGUAUUAUAUUUCUCUGAGAAGUGAGGGGGAGAGAGAGCUCUAGAAGUGAGAGCGUUGAAAGGGGUGAGAAGGCUCCAGAAAUGGCCUCUGAGAGUGAGAGUGAGGCCUCCCCUAAUUGUUAGGGUGAGGAGUCCUUUUAUAGAAUAAGGGCUCCUCACUUAUUACAUAUUUGCCCCUUCCUUUAUCACAUAAUUAUAUUUAAGUCCCCCGAGUAUUUGUACGAUAUCUAAAUACGAGGCCCUAAAUAUGGUAUAAACACCCUUAUACAUUUUUGAUAUGAUAUUGCCCUUAUACUCUAUAGUUAUGUAUAAGCUCUAUUUUAACUUUGAAUUUUGUUUUGCUUGCGCUUACUCUUAAGUAUUAACAAAUACUACAAAAAAAUGUUGUGAUAAUACGGCAUAUGUGUCACUAGCUCAAAGGUUAACCGAAGUCAACACUUUCUCUUCUAAAGACAUUUUCGUAUAUAAGUGAUUAGUGACUACAAGAUUGUUCUUUAACUAGAUUUCUCGUAUUUCAUAUGAGUAUACGCAUUCUACUAUAUACUGAUGAAAUUGAGGUUCCAUCAUGAAACCAAUUGGCAAUAUGAGGGGUAGCCCGAUACCUUUGAGUUCAGAUGGAUUGUAAAAGUAAUGACUACUAGAUUGUUCUUUUACUAGAUUUCUCGUAUUUCAUAUGAGUUUACGCAUUCUACUAUAUACUGAUGAAAUUGAGGUCCACUAUAAAAUCAAUUGGCAAUAUGAGGAGUAGCCUAAGAUCAUAUAAGCACAUAGCAAACAUUAUCCCUCACCGAUGUGGGACAACUCUCAACACACCCCCGCAUGUGUGGCUGAUAACUCUCAACACACCAUCGCACGUGUGACGGAUUUUCAAGCCUACACGUGGACAACAACUGGGUGACGUGGAGCGAGUGUGGCCGUUGGGCUUCACACAUGGACAACCUUGCUGUGAUACCAUGAUGAAAUUGAGAUUCCACCAUAAAACCAAUUAGCAAUAUGGGGAGUAACCCAAGAUCAUACAAGUACAUAACAAACAUUGUCCCUCACUGAUGUGGGACAACUCUCAACAUGCCCCGCACAUGUGACGGAUAAGUCUCAACAUAUACGUGAUCUGCCUAAUUCGGCAUUCCAGUAAGAAGCAAAAUGAUAAGAACAAUCGUGACAAUUACAUGAAAAGAAAGAAGCUAAUUAGCAAGUAAUCAUUCGAAUAAGCUGAACUCUCGGAAACAGGAACCUAAACACCACCAAGAUGGUAUCUGUUGUAACAUGCCCAUAGUAAGAUCAUAGUUUGAAGUAAACCACAUCAAAAGUGAGAGAGCGACUCCAGAAAACAAUUAUAGUCAUGUGCUUGCACUUCAAUGCAGAAACAGAAUAAAAUAAAAUCCUAGAGUUUUCAGACCAUCAUUAAACACCCAAGCAGAAGAAACAUUCACAAUCUAGCAAAUGGGUGUUCAUAAUUUCAAGCAGAAACACCAAAAAUCAAAGAAAAUAAUGAAUAUUAAAUUCAGAAUUUUUUUGUACUCAUGUAUCUCCCUUGAUCUUGAACCAAGUCUCAGCGCAUUGCUUAUGCGCAACACCCAAAUCCCCCUUGCAAAAACACCCCAAGUCAAUUGGGACCCCAGAGGCAGAGUCGGUCCUACCACCUCCCUCCAAACCCAAGUUGCAAAUCCUGCAGUUGUUUUCAACUUUACUCAAAUGCACCACCUUCUUCACCUCCAAAAGCCCACUCUCCAAAUCCACCUCAUUCACUGAACAAUCCGACCCACAGGACUUUCUCCAGACAUUGCUGGAGUCAGACAUUGAGUGCCAAGACUGGUUAUCAUCGGAGUCAUCCGAGACCGACGCACCGCUGUCUCCUGUGAUCGAACGAUGGUGGUCGGUUUUCUCGGGAGCUGACAUUCGUGAAACCCGGACAGAGAAAUGGCGUGAAAUGGUGAAGUGUUAAAGUUGCGGCACUCGGACAUCAAACAUGGUGGGGUUAUGGAGUAGGUGGAGAUGUUUUUAAUAUAUCCUCAAUCAAAAUAUCAAAGUCUCCAUCCUCCCUCGAUCACUAUCUUUAUUUAUGUGUCAGUUUCGAACAAUGACUAAGGGUGCAUUUGUUGUACUGGACUGUCUCGGAUUGGACUAACUUCAAGGGCUAAGCUGGACUGAUUUAGUGAAGUAUUUGGUGCAGUGUCGGACUAAAAAGCAUGACUCAUGUAUUAUAUUAUUAAAUUUAUAUUUACAAUAUUUUAUCAUUAAUUUAAUCUAUAUAUACUAAUAUUUUAUUAUUAAAUUAUCAUUUUCCCUUCUAGAAUCUCUUAAUUUUGUGUCCGCCCACUACAUCCUCUCAUCUUUCCCUGCCAUUUCAUAUUCCUCUCAUUUUUUUGUCCACCCACUGCAUCCUUUCCCUCUCUUAUUUCUCUGCCAUUUCAUCUCCCUCUCUCAUUUUUUUUGUCCGCCCACUGCAUCCAUCCCCUCUCCUUUUUCUCUGCCAUUUUAUCUGUGCCACUGUCUCUUUCCUCUUUCCCUUUUCUGGGUUCAAUUUUUCUGGGUUUUCUGGUUAUGGGAAGCAGGGAAAAAGGAGAUGUGAGGGGCAAAGCGGAGUAGAGGUAGCAAUGGAAGAGGUCAAGGAGGAUGGAGCCUGAAGUCAUUGCUGUUGAAAAUUGAAGUCUAGGAGGAAAGAGUCCAAUCGGAGGGCACGACUGAUGAGCUUGGUAUGAGCAGGGUGCGACCGAUGAAGCUCUUGAGUUCUCCGAUUGAAGUUCGAAUCAAGGUCUUUGUUCAUGAUUUAGGGUUGGUAAUGAAAAGAGAGGGAGAGAACGCGAGCAAAGAGAAGAGUAAGGGACGCAAGCAGAGGGCGACGAAGGGAUUAGCUAGUCCUAUGGUUCUCGACGUCUCUCUCUAAGACCGUCUAGCACGGUCCUUAGUCGAGGCAAGUCUGGCUUACUCCCACUAAAGCUAGUCUUGUGAAGUAACAAACAUGAGACUGGACUAACUAUUACUCUAGUCUAGUCCAAAGAGGGCUAGUGAAGGGAAACAAACAUGGCAUUAGCGAACAAGAGAAUGAGGAGUUCCGAAGCAAAUGCGAAUUAUGAGGAUGGUGGGUGGGGGCAGACUGCUCCGAUCAGAGAUAUUUGUAGGAUUACAAUAAAAGACUUGCAAUCUUUUAAGGCUGCCAGUUGUGUUACACUCACAGUCAGACACAUAUACACAGAGACAAAACACGAGUUAGACUUCCAAAAGACUUUGAGUUAGAGUUAGUAAAUUUAUGUAGGAUGGUUCGAGAUUUCAAAUUGAAAAUGAGAUUUCUACUUUUUAAUUUUAAUCUUAAUGUUCAUCUUAAAUUGCCACUUAGUACUACAAUUUAGUGAUAUUUCUCUUCAUUUGUAAGUAAGAGGUCUUAAGUUCAAUUAUAAUCAAAAGCGAAUUUAAACCAAAUUAUUGCUAGCACAUUGUAAGGGUGAGUUCAUCCCUUUUUUUUUAGUGAAACCCAGACAGAGAAAUGGCUUGAAAUGGUGAAGUUUUAAAGUUGCGGCACUCAUACAUUAAACAUGAUGGGGUUAUGGAGUAGGUGGAGAUGUUUUUAAUAUAUCCUCAAUCAAAAUAUCAAAGUCUCCCUCCUCCCUCGAUCACUGUCUUUAUUUAUGUGUCAGUUUCGAACAGUGGCUUUAGUGAACGAGAGAGGAAGGAGUUCCGAGCAAAUGCGAAUUAUGAGGAUGGUGGUGGGGGCAAACUGCUCCGAUCAGAGAUAUAUUUGUAGGACCACAAUAAAAGACUUGCAAUCUUUUAAGGCUGCCAGUUGUGUUACACUCACAGACAGAGACAAAACACGAGCUAGACUUCCAAAAGACUUUGAGUUAGAGUUAGUAAAUUUACGUAGGAUGGUUCUGUAUGAGAUUUCAAAUUGAAAAUGAGAUUUCUACUUUUUAAUUUAGACGAUCUGCACCAAAAAUUCUGAUCUCAAUGUUUAUCUUAAAUUGCUACUUAAUACUACAAUUUAGUGAUAUUUCUCUUCAUUUGUAAGUAAGAGGUCUUAAGUUCAAUUCUCGUCAAAAACGAAUUUAAACCAAAUUAUUGCUAGCACAUUGUAAGGGUGAGCUCAUCCCCUUUUUUUUAGUGUAAAUAAUAUCACUUGUUAAAAAAAUAAAAAUAAAAUAAAACCUUUUUGAAGUAUUCUUUUAAAAGAAUAAUACUUGCAUUUCUCCUUUGAAAAUGAGCUCAUUCUCCCCUACUUGCAAAUAGCAUAUCUUCAUUGUAGCAAUUUCAUAAUUAUAACCGUUCGAUUUCUUAAUUUUCCUUUAAAGAUCAUCACUUUCAUUGGAAAUGGAAAUCAUAUAGUCAUUCAUAUGCCACUCCGAUCAUUUUUUUUUUUUGAAGGUACGCAUUUUGAUGGAAUAAAUUCAUCCCACAAAGAAAAUGCAAAGUAUUAUUAUUUUUAAAACCUGAAAUUGACAAAAAUGACUUAUGAUUGUAAACAAUGAUGAAAACUGAGACCAAAUUGGUUAAAUCGAAAACGUUAACAUUGAAAUUUUACGUCACAGAAUGUAAAAUAAAGAUUACAAAAUCUGAUUAGUUCAUUUUUCUUUCAGCAGAAUUAUGCCAAUUUCGUUUUUGCAAUUGCCGUGAACCUCAUACAUUCAAUAACGAUAAAAGCCACAAAUAAUGCAUCCAUCUACAGCUCCUUCGUAUCAUUACCCUGUGGAAAGAAAAGUUGCUCGAAGUCUUGAGAAGCAACAUAACGAACAAUCAUACCGCGGCAUUUGGGUGCUCCAUUAGAAAUCGGUGGGACUACGACCAGAAUCGUAGGUAUAUGUAUUUGAAAAAAUGUCUUGCUACAGUUAAAGGGACAAGUACUCAAAAUCGAAUACAUAUUCGUGAUAUAACUUUGGCACUCUUAUUUCUGAUACAUAUUUGUGAGUGAGCAGAUAACAUAGAUAAAAUCUUUAAAAAAAAUCAGAAUUUCAACCAGAGAUUUCAAUGGCUCUUAUUUGUGAUACAUUUAUUAAGUAGAUGAUUUGUCCUAAAACAAACACAACCUCAAACAACUAAAGUUUAGAGAACAAACUCUGAGUAUCAAGAGUACUUGACUCAUCUCACUCUUUGCAUAAAACAUUUAAAAAACCAAAUGCCAAUUAUGAAAGUGGAAAACUGAAGUACUUGGCAAGGUUUUUCUUUUUAUCCAGACAUUCAAGAUGGUAAACAAUAUUUUUGAAAUACCAUUAAAAAAACAGAGUAUACUUUUAGGCAAAUAUUGUUCAAAAACCCAAAUAUAAUUCAUGAUACCUCAACAACAACAACAACAACAAAGCCUUUUCCCACUAAGUGGGGUCGGCUAUAUGAAUCCUAGAACGCCAUUGCGCUCGGUUUUGUAUCAUGUCCUCCGUUAGAUCCAAGUACUCUAAGUCUUUUCUAAGAGUCUCUUCCAAAGUUUUCCUAGAUCUUCCUCUACCCCUUCGGCCCUGAACCUCUGUCCCGUAGUCACAUCUUCGAACCGGAGCGUCAUUCGGCCUUCUUUGCACAUGUCCAAAUCACCGGAGCCGAUUUUCUCUCAUCUUUCCUACAAUUUCGGCUACUCCUACUUUACCUCGGAUAUCCUCAUUCCCAAUCUUAUCCUUUCUCGUGUGCCCACACAUCCCACGAAGCAUCCUCAUCUCCGCUACACCCAUUUUGUGUACGUGUUGAUGCUUCACCGCCCAACAUUAUGUGCCAUACAACAUCGCUGGCCUUAUUGCCGUCCUAUAAAAAUUUUCCCUUGAGCUUCAGUGGCCUACGACGGUCACACAACAACACGCCGGAUGCAUUCUUACACUUCAUCCAUCCAGCUCGUAUUCUAUGGUUGAGAUCUCCAUCUAAUUCUCCGUUCUCUUGCAAGAUAGAUCCUAGGUAGCGAAAACGGUCGCUUUUUGUGAUCUUCGCUAGAUUGCUCCGGUCAUUAGUGUGGAUAAGUAUAUAAAUAGAGAUAGAGAUAGGAAAGCAAAACACAAGAUGUACGUGGUUCACCCAGAUUGGCUACGUCCACGGAAUAGAAGAGUUCUCAUUAAUUGUGAAGGGUUUACACAAGUACAUAGGUUCAAGCUCUCCUUUAGUGAGUACAAGUGAAUGAUUUAGUACAAAUGACAUUAGGAAAUAUUGUGGGAGAAUGAUCUCGUAAUCACGAAACUUCUAAGUAUCGGAGUGUGGUGUCGUCUUGACUUGCCUUAUCUGUCUCAUAGGUAGAUGUGGCAUCUUCUCUGGAAGUACUCUUCCUCCAUCCAGGGGUGGUAUCUUUAACUGGUGGAGAUGCACAAGGUAAUGUAUCAAUUUCACUUGAAGCUUACUUGUAGUUUCAGGCUUGGUCAAGCGCGAUACAAACCAUGUAGUAGGAGUCCCCCAAGUCGCCGAGCUAGGGGGUCUGCUGAAAGAGGUGACAGACAAGGUAAGCAAUCAGAGCUCCGACUGAUUGUUCACCUUCUCCCCAUCUUGCAGCAGCAUGAAGGAUAAAGAGAAGAAAAAUGAGAAGAGAUGAUAUGAGAUACUUUUGCUUUUGAAGAAGUAACUUUCCACAGGCUUAUUCUUGAACUGAGCUGGAGGGUUUUCUGGUUUCCUCCAGAGUAUAAGGCCGACUGAAGAAUUUGAGGGUCAAAACAAGUCCAUCAAAUCUAGAGUACGUUCCACCCUGCUGAUAUGGGAUACUUUUGCUUUUGACAGAGUAAUGGAUGUAUCGGCACGUGUGCUGUUACGCUUGUCUCCACAUGCUUCCUUGUAUCCUUCGCACUUGCCCUAUCUGUUCCUCAAGCAGAUGCGGAAUCUUCCCUGGAAACAUAAGAUGUUGAAGAUGAGUACUCGAGAGCAAUGCCAGGUAAGUAAUCAGGUAAGGGGUUCCAGGCAGUCAGUUCCUGGCUGGAAGCUUGAUUCCAAGUGCUGACUGAUUGCUCUCUUUCUCCUUGUCUUGCAGGUAAAAACAAGGCCAAAGGAAAAGACAGGGAAAAAGCAUGAUAUGGGAUACUCUUGCUUUUAACCCUGAUGAUAUGAGAUAUUCUUGCUCUAGUAUAGCUUGUUUGCAGAGGUAUUAUCGGGGGGAAAGAAAGCUGAAUAUUUCGAAAGGCUUCGUUGGGAGUGCCUUCUCAGAUAUGAUGAAGGGUUGAGCAUUUUUGCAGGUCUGCCUGUCCGUUGGGGAUGGAGGUCGACAUAUAUAGGAGUCUCCCUAACAACAAGUAGUAAUGAUAUUCCUUUACCCUGCUUGGUCAUAGCACGGUAGUGGGAGCUGCCAGUUUCACAUGUUUUAACUCUGUCAGAGCACUUUGAAAAAGUGGUCUGUGGUAUCUGGCUCUCGAGAUUCGGAGAACGAUGCCUCUUCGAUUUUUGAGAAAGCAAUCAUGCUGGGGGUAUGGCUCUCAAGAUUCGGAGAGCAGUGUCUCUUCGAUUUUUAAGGAAGUAAUCAUGUUGGGAGUCUGGCUCUCGAGAUUCGGAGGGCGGUGCCUCUUCGAUUUUGGAGCAAGCAAUCUUGUUGGGAGUGUUGUCUCGAAUGUGAGUAAAGGUUGGGCAUGUUUGCUAGUCUACCUUGCCACGAAGCACAAAGGUUGACACACAGGGACUUUCCAAUUAUCCAGCAAUGGUACUGUUCCUUUACCCUCUCUUCGAUUUUGAGAAAGUAAUCAUGUUGGGAGUCUGGCUCUCGAGAUUCGGAGGACGGUGCCUCUUCGAUUUUGGAGCAAGCAAUCUUGUUGGGAGUGUUUUCUCGAAUGUGAGUAAAGGUUGGGCAUGUUUGCUAGUCUACCUUGCCACGAAGCACAGAGGUUGACACACAGGGACUUUCCAAUUAUCCAGCAGUGGUACUGUUCCUUUACCCUUGUGUGGUAAUAAUAUGGUAGCUAGACCUUCAAAAUUUAUGUGUCUAAACUUUGUUAGUGCUGUUUCUUUGCUAUUCUUUUACCUUUCUUGGUCAGAGCGAUGUAGUGGGAGCUGCAAGCUUCACGUGCUCAACUUUGGCAGAGAACUUUGGCAAAGUUAUCUGUGGUACCCAUGAGCUAUUGUUGCGUGUGGGAAGUGGGUGAUUGAACAGUAAGAUUCAUGUGCUUUCUACUUCACCAGAAGUCUUCGACAGAAUGCCCAUAAUUUCUGCAAAGCUGAGUGUGCGUGUGACAGGUGCUGACAAGGCUAGAAAAGUAGGUGCCUCUUCGAUUUCUGAGAUUGGCCCUCGUGGUCUCUGAGCAGCCCAGCUUUUGAGAAAGCGAGCGCCUCUUCGAUUGAUUCGGAGAACGAUGCCUCAUCGAUUUUUGAGAAAGCAAUCAUGCUGGGGGUCUGGCUCUCGAGAUUCGGGGAGCAGUGUCUCUUCGAUUUUUGAGAAAGUAAUCAUGUUGGGAGUCUGGCUCUCGAGAUUCGGAGGGCGGUGCCUCUUCGAUUUUGGAGCAAGCAAUCUUGUUGGGAGUGUUUUCUCGAAUGUGAGUAAAGGUUGGGCAUGUUUGCUAGUCUACCUUGCCACGAAGCACAGAGGUUGACACACAGGGACUUUCCAAUUAUCCAGCAAUGGUACUGUUCCUUUACCCUCUCUUCGAUUUUUAAGAAAGUAGUCAUGUUGGGAGUCUGGCUCUCGAGAUUCGGAGGACGGUGCCUCUUCGAUUUUAGGAGCAAGCAAUCUUAUUGGGAGUGUUUUCUCGAAUGUGAGUAAAGGUUGGGCAUGUUUGCUAGUCUACCUUGCCACGAAGCACAGAGGUUGACACACAGGGACUUUCCAAUUAUCCAGCAGUGGUACUUGUUCCUUUACCCUUGUGGGUAAUAAUAUGGUAGCUAGACCUUCAAAAUUUAUGGGUCUAAACUUUGUUAGUGCUGUUUUCUUUGCUAUUCUUUUACCCUUCUUGGUCAGAGCGAUGUAGUGGGAGCUGCAAGCUUCACGUGCUCAACUUUGGCAGAGAACUUUGGCAAAGUUAUCUGUGGUACCCAUGAGCUAUUGUUGCGUGUGGGAAGUGGGUGAUUGAACAGUAAGAUUCAUGUGUUUUCUACUUCCCCAGAAGUCUUCGACAGAAUGCCCAUAAUUUCCGCAAAGCUGAGUGUGCGUGUGACAGGUGCUGACAAGGCUGGAAAAGUAGGUGCCUCUUCGAUUUCUGAGAUCGGCCCUCGUGGUCUCUGGGGAGCCCAGCUUUUGAGAAAGCGAGCGCCUCUUCGAUUUCUGAGAUCGGCCUUCGUGGUCUUUGAGCAGCCCAACUUUUGAGAAAGCAAACGCCUCUUCGAUUUCUGAGAUCAACCCUCGUGAUCUCUAAGCAGCCCAGCUUUUUGAGAAAGCAAACGCCUCUUCGAUUUCUGAGCAGGCGCCUCUUCGAUUUCUGAAGCUCCGUCGAGUGCAGAUUUUUAUAGGGGCUGGCAUUAAGUUCCAAAGCACACUUGAAUCUCCACCAGUAGAAGCUUCAUUCUUGCACUUCUAAGAUCUUGAUUUGUCCGACCUCUUCUCUCUUCAACACCUUUGAAAAUGUCUGGCCCCUCCGACCGUCGUUUUGACUUGAACCUUGUUGAAGAGGCAGCCCCGCCUUCUCCAGACAACAUAUGGCGCCCAUCCUUCGUCUCCCCUACUGGUCCUCUUACCGUUGGGGAUUCCGUGAUGAAGAAUGAUAUGACCGCUGCGGUGGUGGCCAGGAACCUUCUCACUCCCAAAGAUAACAGACUACUUUCCAAACGGUCUGAUGAGUUAGCUGUUAAGGAUUCGCUGGCUCUCAGUGUUCAGUGUGCAGGUUCUGUGUCUAAUAUGGCCCAACGCCUAUUUGCUCGAACCCGCCAAGUUGAAUCAUUGGCGGCUGAAGUGAUGAGUCUCAAACAGGAGAUUAGAGGGCUCAAGCAUGAGAAUAAACAGUUGCACCGGCUCGCACAUGACUAUGCUACAAACAUGAAGAGGAAGCUUGACCAGAUGAAGGAAACUGAUGGUCAGGUUUUACUUGAUCAUCAGAGAUUUGUGGGUUUGUUCCAAAGGCAUUUAUUGCCUUCGUCUUCUGGGGCUGUACCGCGUAAUGAAGCUCCAAAUGAUCAACCUCUGAUGCCUCCUCCUUCUAGGGUUCUGUCCAGUACUGAGGCUCCAAAUGAUCCCCCUCCGGUGCCUUCUCUUUUCUGGGGCUCUACCGACUGCUGAGACUUCUCCUAAGCAACCUUUGUGAAGGCUCCCUCUUGUGUGUUUAUUUUGACUCAUGUAUAUGUACAUAUUUGUAGCUUAUCGGGGAUAUCAAUAAAUAAGCUUUCCUUCAUUUCAACGUAUUGUGUUAAAUACACCAAAGCCUUCUUCGCUAAGUUCUUUGAAUUUUCUUUUGUUGAAGCUUGUAUGUUGAAGCUUUCUGAGUGGAGCAUGUAGGUUGGGGUAGUGUUCCCUUAAUUUCCCGAGUGAGGAAAACUUCUCGGUUGGAGACUUGGAAAAUCCAAGUCACUGAGUGGGAUCGGCUAUAUGAAUCUUAGAACGCCAUUGUGCUCGAUCCUGUGUCAUGUCCUUCGUUAGAUCCAAGUACUCUAAGUCUUUUCUUAGAGUCUCUUCCAAAGUUUUCCUAGGUCUUCCUCUACCCCUUCGGCCCUGAACCUCUGUCCCAUAGUCGCAUCUUCUAAUCGGAGCGUCAGUAGGCCUUCUUUGCACAUGUCCAAACCACCGUAACCGAUUUUCUCUCAUCUUUCCUUCAAUUUCGGCUACUCCUACUUUACCCCGGAUAUCCUCAUUCCUAAUCUUAUCCUUUCUCGUGUGCCCACACAUCAUCCAACGAAGCAUCCUCAUCUCCGCUACACCCAUUUUGUGUACGUGUUGAUGUUUCACCGCCCAACAUUCUGUGCCAUACAGCAUCGCCGGCCUUAUUGCCGUCCUAUAAAAUUUUCCCUUGAGCUUCAGUGGCAUACGGCGGUCACACAACACGCCGGAUGCACUCUUCCACUUCAUCCAUCCAGCUUGUAUUCUAUGGUUGAGAUCUCCAUCUAAUUCUCCGUUCUUUUGCAAGAUAGAUCCUAGGUAACGAAAACGGUCGCUCUUUGGUAUUUCUUGAUCUCCGAUCCUCACCCCUAACUCGUUUUGGCCUCCAUUUGCACUGAACUUGCACUCCAUAUAUUCUGUCUUUGAUCGGCUUAGGCGAAGACCUUUAGAUUCCAACACUUCUCUCCAAAGGUUAAGCUUUGCAUUUACCCCUUCCUGAGUUUCAUCUAUCAACACUAUAUCGUCUGCGAAAAGCAUACACCAAGGAAUAUCAUCUUGAAUAUGUCCUGUUAACUCAUCCAUUACCAACGCAAAAAGGUAAGGACUUAAGGAUGAGCCUUGAUGUAAUCCUACAGUUAUGGGAAAGCUUUCGGUUUGUCCUUCAUGAGUUCUUACGGCAGUCUUUGCUCCUUCAUACAUAUCCUUUAUAGCUUGGAUAUAUGCUACUCGUACUCCUUUCUUCUCUAAAAUCCUCCAAAGAAUGUCUCUUGGGACCCUAUCAUACGCUUUUUCCAAAUCUAUAAAGACCAUGUGUAAAUCCUUUUUCCCAUCUCUAUAUCUUUCCAUCAAUCUUCGUAAGAGAUAGAUUGCCUCCAUGGUUGAGCGCCCUGGCAUGAACCCGAAUUGGUUAUCCGAAACCCGUGUCUCUUGCCUCAAUCUAUGCUCAAUGACUCUCUCCCAGAGCUUCAUUGUAUGACUCAUUAGCUUAAUACCCCUAUAGUUCAUGCAAUUUUGUACGUCGCCCUUAUUCUUGUAGAUAGGCACCAAAGUGCUCGUUCGCCACUCAUUUGGCAUCUUCUUCGUUUUCAAAAUCCUAUUGAAAAGGUCAGUGAGCCAUGUUAUACCUUUGGAUUCAUUUUCAUAAGGAUUCAACGUGAUCAUGGAGUGCUGGCUGUCGACUACCUGACGCCCUCCCCCUCCUCCUUUAUCCGGGCUUGGGACCGGCCAUGUAAGACAUAAGCGGAGUUAUAUUGGUGGAUGUGAUCAAAUGGAAGAAAUUGUGUCGAAGCAGGGGAGGGAACAUGAGGAGGAAGCCGAUAUGAUAUCUUUCCAUAAAUUAACCAAUUUGAGUUUCUGGGGUCUACAGAGUUUGGUUGGUUUCUUCCAAGCCAACAAGCUAUACUCCAACCAAGAAGAGGUAUGUCCCACUCUCCAAUCUCUAUGAUAUGAGGAGGCGGCCGAUAUGUGGAAAUUUGAAAUUGUGUUAACUGAUAAUGAUUUUUCUUUUUCAGGAAACAACGGCAAGGGUUGAGCAUCAAUCUGCAGGCAUAUUUGAAAAAGCAAUAUUUCCAUCAAAGUGCAUUUCAUGGUUUCCAAGUUUAGAAGACGUAUAUUUGGUUGAUAUGAAUUUUGAAGGCGUACUAUUUGAUCUGAAAAUCCCUAUAGUUAUGGAUGGGCAGACAACUCCAAUAUUUCCCCAGUUACAUAAGUUGGAGAUAUUCAUUUGUUCAUUUACACACUUGUGGAAAAACAUUCCAUCUGGAUUUCAGGGCUUCCAAAAUUUGAGAUAUUUGGAAGUAAGUGGAUGUUGUGGUCUAAAAUAUGUGUUCUCGCAUUUAAUUGCCCAAGAACUGUUGAAUCUUGAAGAGGUAAAGAUAACAGCAUGUCCGAACAUGGAAACUAUAGUCAGAAUCACAGAGGAAAAUGAAGAAGAGGCGACAAAAUACAUGAUUUUGUUUCCGAAACUGAACACAUUUGAACUAGAUGCCCUGCCUCGUCUCACAAGUCUUUGUCCAGAGGGAUUUACAUUUCUAUGGUCAUCCACAAAAAAUAUGCGCGUGAAAAGCUGUGAAAAUUUGAAGACAUUGGGUGCUGUAAUUCCACAAAGAAAGAAGUUGGAGAAUAACUUGAAGAAGGAUUCAACAAGUCAUGAUUUCAGCACUUCUCCAAGGAUUCAACAAGCUGGAUGUGGAUGCGCACCUUAUUCGUGACCAAACGCCCACCGCCCCAUUGAAAUAUUGCCACGUCCAAUUAACCUGGAGGUAAGCUUUUAAAUCAGGUUCAAUUAACCUCUAUAAGUACAACUUUUAAUUAGUAUUGUAUCAUCUUGUUGAUCGUGUUUAAUUUUCUAGGUUACACCAACUAAUCUUGAGGACUCAAAUGAUGAUGAUAAUCUUGAAAAUCUUACUGUAAGUGACUGUAAUUCGAUGGAAGUGAUUUUCCAACUCAAGGGACUGAAGCAUGAAGAAAGUAGUCACUCCGUUGAAGCAUUCAAUAAAUUGAGUUCCUUGCGGUUAUAUACAUUGCCAAGUUUAACGCGUGUUUGGGAGACGGGUAGUUCACAACCGAUGUUGACAGGAAGCAGCUUCGGAAACUUGAAAUCGCUGCGGGUCUAUUAUUGCAACCAGUUGAAAUACUUGUUUUCAUCGUCCAUAGUCAAACUUCUUGCGAGUAUAGAGGACAUAGAAGUUAGGAAGUGUGAGCAGAUGGAAGAAAUCGUUGCCGCAGAAGAAGAAACUGAUGAAACAAUUACAUUACCUAAAGUGAAGUCCAUCAAGCUUGCAAGUCUGCCAAAACUCAAGUAUUUUUGUGGUGAAGCUUAUACUUUGAAGUUGCCGUCUUUGGAGUCACUGAAGGUUGAUGACGUGCAAAACUUAAGCCUAUUAGCUCCAAAGCUUAUUGCCACACAUCCCCGAUUGCAAGCAUACACCGCGUUGGGAGUGGCUGAAUGGAUGGGGGACCUCAAUGCCACUCUAAGGAAUAUUUACGACACAAGGUAUGCUUUAAUUUAAGGUUUCUGAUUUUCAAUCACUUAUGUGUGCAUAUUUAAAAAUGUUUUUUUUUUUUAACGUCUCUCUUUUAAAUCUUGAUGUAUACGUGGAAUUUCUGAAGUUUUUACAAAAGAAUAUAUAAUAGCAUACAUAUAUUAAUGUAUAUGUGUGUGUGUAUGCGAGUAUGUGCACACUAAAGUGUAUUUAAAUAUUUUUUUUUUUUGAAAACUCAAUUAUAUCUCAAGAAAACAUCGUCUUUUAUUUCUAAUACAGUAAGGAUGAAGAUAACGAAAUCGACAUUGAGGAUGAAGAUGACGAAAUCGACAAUGAGGAUGAAGAUGAAGAUGACGAAAUUGACGGCAAGGAUGAUGAUGACAAAAUCGACGGCAAGGAUGAAGAUGACGAAACCAACAGGGAGGACGAACACCGUUGAUUGAUCAAGCACAAAGGUUAGCAUGUUUCCAUCUCCAACUUCUUCUAGGUUUAGUAAAAACUGAUGAAAAUUAUAUAUAUAGUACUCAAAAAAGUAUUCUACCAUGUUUUAUAUAAUAUACACAUACAUGUAUAGCACUUGAAAAAUUGAACAGUUAAUAUAUACAUACAUGUAUAGCACUUAAAAAAUUGAACAGUUUGGAUCUAAAACCACAAUCUGCUACCUGAUUCAUUAGUGUUUGCUUAUUUGUGCUCGAGGUUGAUUAUACACGUGUAAGCUGAAUCACAUGUUUGUAGAAUGGACAAGCUGAAUAAAAUCUGUUUGCCCCCUAAAUGUAAUGGAAAUCAUAUGUAUCUAGGCAUGCUUAAUAUUUGAUAAAGAAAAACAUUUCUCAAAUAAAUGUCCACUCACACCUCCGGCAGCUCUCCCUGAGGAGCCUUGNNNNNNNNNNNNNNNNNNNNNNNNNNNNNNNNNNNNNNNNNNNNNNNNNNNNNNNNNNNNNNNNNNNNNNNNNNNNNNNNNNNNNNNNNNNNNNNNNNNNNNNNNNNNNNNNNNNNNNNNNNNNNNNNNNNNNNNNNNNNNNNNNNNNNNNNNNNNNNNNNNNNNNNNNNNNNNNNNNNNNNNNNNNNNNNNNNNNNNNNNNNNNNNNNNNNNNNNNNNNNNNNNNNNNNNNNNNNNNNNNNNNNNNNNNNNNNNNNNNNNNNNNNNNNNNNNNNNNNNNNNNNNNNNNNNNNNNNNNNNNNNNNNNNNNNNNNNNNNNNNNNNNNNNNNNNNNNNNNNNNNNNNNNNNNNNNNNNNNNNNNNNNNNNNNNNNNNNNNNNNNNNNNNNNNNNNNNNAGUUCAUUCAUCGCCUAUUCACAACAAUACAAGGUUCUACAGAGUUCAAUCCCACACCAUGUUAUAGACAUGCUUCAACUAUCAACCGGAACGUAAUCGUUAGGGUUCAACAACUUCCAGAUACAAAAUUACUAUAAGUCUCAUCUCCGACAUUCAUACAGAAAAUCGAAUAAAAUUCGAAAUCAAGAAUCAAUCCAAAAUGAAAGUUGAAAAUUUGGAAAAAGAACUUACAUUGGAGAACAGCCCACGAGAAGAGUAUCAUUUCUACCUCUUGGGUCGAGGUCCAAUUCCGGCGAUAUUGGCCGGAAACCCCUGGGUCACCGUUUCUUAGACUUGAAGUUGAGGAAAAUCGCCUACGAAUUUAUAGAAACUAACUUGGGGGAUAGGAUAAGGGUCGGCAAGAGCAUUCUGGAUGUGUAGUUUGAGAGCCUUUGGUGACCAGUGGACGACAGAGCUGUUGCGUCGGCACUCGGCAGUCUUCGGCUUGCUGUUGAAUGGGGCUCCUGUUGCAGCGCAGCGCAAAAGAGAAGGAGGAGAGAGGAUACGGGAGGAGGAGAGAAAAUGGGUUUCUCCCACCUUUUACAUUAAUUCUUUUCCACAUUUUUUUAUGGAAUAAACGAUAAUAUUUAUCAUCAAAGUGUGUUUGGUACGUGAGAUGAGAAGGAACAUGUAGGAAAACUAAUGAAAAUGACUUGAAAAUUUUGAGUUUUAAUGAUAAGGACAAAAUAAAGAGUAAAGUGAAUACUACCGGAUUGACUUUUUAGUGUAAAAAUGUGGUUUUUCGUUAAAGUGAACAGUACUGGGUGCUUUUCGUUAAAGUUCCCAACAUGUUUUGAUGAUAAUAAUGGUUAGAAGUAAUAUAGUUCAAAUUUAUUUUUGGUGAUAAUUGAAUAUAAGAUUUCUCUUACAAGUUACAAAUAAAAAUGAAUAUCAUAAAUUUUUUUUUCACUUUUAAUACACACGUAAAUAAAAAACAAAAUGAAAAUGGAAAGAAAUAAAAAUUUGAAUAGAAAUGAAAAAAUUAAGUAAAUUGACAGCAUAAGGUAAUCAGCCAUGAAUAAAAUAUUAUACCAUCCUUAAACAUUGUAGUGCCAUGGAAUCUCAUUUUAGUCUGAAUUUCCUUCUGCUUACACUCACGCGUUCAUAUUGAUGAGCACUACGAGAAAAUAUUAAGAUGAUAGGUCAUACUCAUACGUUCGUUUUUGUUGAGAAUUUUUUUGAAGGAUUUUGCAAUAUGGCAGCCAUGAUUUGCAAAGCCCACCAUCGUAGAGCUCGAUAUCGGCCUAACUUGUGGAGCCACCAUCGCAAAGAAGAACCUGGAAAGCUCAAUCCUUGUCGUCUUUUUCUUAUAUAAGUGUCAUUUUGGUGAACCAAAUGUUCCGAUUCCAACAUCCAAAAUACCACAAUGUGAUUUUUUUCAUACUACAAUUGGAUUGCAUCUUAAAAUUAUAAAGUCUUGGAGCAUUGGUCAUGCCAUCAUGCUGAUUUGUGUUGGAUUUCGUUAGAGAUCGUAAUUAAUCAAUCACCCUUUUUGUGUCUCCCUUCAAAAGCUCAAAUUGAAAUCUGAACUCCCUAGCAAAUAAGAGCCCAAUUUGACAACCAAAAUCUUCAUCGUUCGAGCAUCAAUGUUCUCUUAAAUUCACUACGAGCAAACCGCCAUGAAAUCUCCUUCAUGGACAUCUCAUAAAAUUAGAACGAUACAAAGAAGAUUAGUGUGACUCCUAAGCUAGGAUUACACGUAUGAAUCGUAAAAUAGUUCCUCCUCCACUCUUUGAUUCUCUCUUUCACUGGCUAACAAUAUUUUACUCUACCUUUUCACCCUAAGUAAGAAAGUAAGAAAUGAGCAUUUUGUUAGCAUCUUUUUGAAAAUUUCAAAUUUGAUCCUAAUAUCUCUUUUGCACUAUUUGACUGAACGACAAAUUUUGAUUGUCUAAAUAUUUAUAUCAAACUACAAAUAAUAUUGAUAUUAUAUAUUUAUAAUGUGACUAGAAUUGUAGUACCCAACAUAUCUAUCUUGAAAUAAAUUUUGUUGUCUAUGAAGUGGCCAACUCGACCCUCUCCUAUACUCUUUGAGUUUGUAUAAAUAUAUCAUUGUUUUAAAAAUUGACAUUCAGUACUGCGAUUUAGUGAUAUUCAUUAUCAGGUUCGAAUCUUAGGAGUGACGAGUUUGUGUAAAUAUAUCAUUGUAUUAAAUAUAAAUAAAAAUAAAAAAAAUAAACAAAAUAUUUUUUUGGUCGGACAAAAACACGAAAAUGCCCUUAAAGCCCAAAGUGACCCCUCUACCCUGCCGCUGCCUGCAAGUUCUUUCCUCGCCCCUGUUUCUACGUCCAAUUAAUCUGGAGGUAAGCUUUUAAAUCAGGUUCAAUUAACCUCUAUAAGUACAUCUUUUAAUUAGUAUUGUGUCAUCUUGUUGAUCGUGUUUAAUUUUCUAGGUUACACAACCUAAUCUUGAGGACUCAAAUGAUGAUGAUAAUCUCGAAAAUCUUCCUCUAAUUAACUGUAAUUCGAUGGAAGUGAUUUUUCAACUAAAGGAACCGGUGCAUGAAGAAAGUAGUCACUCCAUUGAAGCAUUCAAUAAAUUGAGGUCCAUGCGGUUAGAUAUAUUGCCAAGUUUAACGCGUGUUUGGGAGACGGGUAGUUCACAACCGAUGUUCACAGGAAGCAGCUUCGGAAACUUGAAAUCGCUGCGGGUCGUUGCACCGAUGAAAUAAUUACAUUACCUAAAGUGAAGUCCAUCAAUCUUAAACGUCGGCCAAAACUCAAGUAUUUUUAAGGUGAAGCUUAUACUUUGAAGUUGCCGUCUUUGGAGUUAUUGGAGGUUGAUGACGUGCAAAACUUAAGCCUAUUAGCUCCAAAGCUUAUUGCCACACAUCCCCGAAUGCAAGUAUACACCGCGUUGAGAGUGGCUAAAUGGAUGGGGGACCUCAAUGCCACUCUAAGGAAUAUUUACGUAAUCACUUAUGUGUGCAUAUGCGCACACUAAAGUAUCUCGCAAUGUGCACACUAAAAUAUGUUUUUUUGUUUUUUUUUUUUGGAAACUCGAAUUAUAUCUCAAGAAAACAUCUCUCUUUUAUUUCUAAUACCGAGAAGAAUGAAGCUGACGGAAUUCUACAAGACACCAUAUAACGAGGAUGUUAACAAUCACAAAAGGUUGUGGCUUCGGCUAUUCGCUUACUUUCAUAUAACGAGGAUACUGUUUCCGUUGCUUACUAUAUGUAUAAUUAAUUUCGAUUGCGAUUAUUACUGUUUGAAUUCAUCUCUUGACUGCCUAUGGGGACGUCAAGGUGGACACCAAAAUGGAGGCGUGAUGACCUGCAUCCGGAAAGUGACGUAGCCAUAACGUGCAUGCAAAUAUAAUUUAAUAAAAUAACUUCAAAUGAUCUACUGAAAAAAUCGGCAUAGUUUCCUUUGGAAUUAGGUUUUGGCCCCCAAAUUUAAAACCUGCUGAAAAAGUUAUAAUUAUUUCAAAACCACAUCCCCGACACCUAAUGGGUUAUCAACCCUCUACUACAUGCACGCAUACUCCAAUAUACUUACUGGUGGUAUAGCAUACAAUUUCAUACACUAGUGAUAACUAGUGUAAGCUGAAAAUUUAACCAUACACGCUAGUGUAAACUGAAGAUAAAACCAUACAUUAGCUGUAGCUAGUGUAAGCUGAAAAAUAUAAUCAUACACUAGCCGUAGCUAGUGUAAGCUGAAUGGGCAUCCUCACAGUAGGGACAAGAUGACUAUACUGUAGUAUAAAUCAUACACGUGUAAGCUGAAUAACAUGUCCGUAGCAUGGACAAGUUGAAUAUUCUUUAAUAUUAACCAUACACAUAUGCGGAAUGACAUGUUUGUAGUAUGGACAAGCUGAAUAUACUGUAAUAUUGACUAUACACGUGUAAGCUAAAUAAUAUUAUCAAACACUGGUUAUGGCUAGCUAGUGUAAGCUGAAUAUGUUCAUACACUGUAAGGUCUGGUAUUAAUUCAUAAAAUCUAUUCUUCCCCUAAACGUAACGGAAAUCAUAUGUAUCUAGGCAUGCUUAAUAUUUGAUAAAGAAAAACAUUUCUGAAAGAAAUGCCCACUGACACCUCCGGCUAGCUCUCCCUUGAGGAGCCUUGUCUACCAAAAAGGUAAUUUCAAGCAACUUCAAGAGAGAAUUUGACCACAUCGCGAAAGUAUGACACCAAACGGUUGAGACCUAGAAGACAUCCAAGAGUUUUUGGAGAAACAGAACGCUCACUGAAGAUAUGUAUUCUAUUUCUAUAGCACGUUUACCCCAAACAAAACACAGGUUAUGGAAAGGAAAAUAACAUUAAGAAAUGCAAAAGAUUGGGGAGAUGCGAAAUAACUCAUCUCUGGUCCUGGAAAUAUUGCAUACAAUAUUGCUCUACCAAUUAAACCAAAUCUUAUGACUCUAGUGACAAGCUAGAAAGCCACAAAAGAAUAAACAAGGAAUCAGGCUAUGCAAUUUCCUACCACAUUUUCACAUCAACGUGAUUGUUAGGGGUUUCAACAACUUCAGAGAAUUACCACAAAUCUCAUCUCCGGCAUUCAGGCAGAAAAAUCAAAUAAAAGUUUGAAAUCAAGAAUCAAUCCCGAAACUGAAAGUUGAAAUUUUGGAAAAAGAACUUACAUCAGAGUACUUUCCAUGAGGAGAAGAUCAUUUUUACCUCUUGGGUCGAGGACAUUCCACGGUGAGCCUGCAUAAAUGAACCAAUUAAACAAAGAAAUGAAAACCGAAUAACUCGGAAGCUAAAGUAUCACAGAUAGAAAAUUGCAUAUACCUAACUAAAAAUGCACAAUCUAACGAGAUGUGGUAGUCUAAGUGUAUAACACAAGGGUGAGAAGUACUCUAGUGCUCACAAACUGAAGCCACAAGACUACCAGAUAAUGUAGCUUCAGAAAUAUCAUUCGUUCUUUUGCGCAUAAUCAUACAUGCUCAUCAGAACAAAGUAUGAUCUCCAACGGAAAUAGAAGUGACACAGGUGAAAGUCAAAAUAAACAAACAAAUAAUAGUGAACGAGAGGCCCUAAAGAAUUGUUCUAACUAGGAGACAAGCUUAAAUUAUUCAGAUAAUAAGUCUUGCACAAACCCAACUUUCAAAAAUACUAGAUUAGUAUGCCGUGAUAUUUAACAAUGCCGUCAAAAACUUACUUGUUGAACAACUCAACCUGUAUUCCAUCUCCUUCUCUGCCAUACCAAAAAUUUGCACAAUUGUUUAAAACCAAAUUAAGGUCUUUCGAAAACCCACCUGAGAUUAUUUGAAAAACACGAAUUUAGAACAAUAAUUCAAAACCAAAGAACAGAAAAUCCAUCACACCAGAGUAAAAAUUAACCAUCUUGUUGCUUCCUAACUCUCAAGAAAUAUCCACGUCUCACUUUUACUAAUGUCAAAACACCGCCAUCAUUGAUCAAUUAGACAAAUAAGACCCAAUUCGAUUACGCCCAAACUCACAGAACACCCAGAUUCCCAACACCAAUUGAACAAUCUAACCAUGAAUUUCCAAAACUUUCCCCAAAAUCCAGCCUUGGGCAUGCAUUAAAUCCAAUCUAAAACUUGAAUUCAUUUUUAGAGAACAAAAUGUAAAAACUUUGGAACAAUGAAGCAAAAGGGUACUCACCUGUUCCUUGUCCAAAACCGUCGGCGCAUUGUUGGGGGCAGCCAUUAGAACCUGAACAAUUCGCAAAUUAAUUUACACAAACUUCUUCGAAACCGAAUGAAUUAGCAGAGAGGGUUUAAGUAAUCUUACUCGGCGGGAUGGAAUCGAACGCGCUGAAAGUGGUUGCUGUAAAUGCAGAGGGGUUUAAGCGUCCGAUUUGAAGCUAAAGCAGAAGAAAAUAAAAAUCCCACUGAGCUAAUAAUGUACGAAUUAGGGUUUUAGGAGUUAAUAUAGCGUGUAUAUGCGAUGGACGGUUUUGUUUUUAGGGGGGGACUUUCAACCGGAAAAGUUAGUGGAUUACUGCCCUUUCUUUUUUCCUUCCACCACAAGUAGUGCGAUAAUUUCACAAAGGCCCUGUAUGGUGGGCCGCCGUAUAUAAUUGUCCUUUUCUUUCUUAUUUUUUUGGAUUUAUUUAUUUAUUUUCUAACUCAUAGUUCAUCAGGGCUCAGGUUCAGUUGAUUAAAGUAGUAUGUUUCUUUUGUUAUGCUAUAGUUUGAAUAUUCAUUCAAAUGAUUUAGAUUUCUUCGUGCAAACGAUCAUUCAAUUAAAAGAAAAACUCGUAUUAUGUUUGCUUACAAGAAAUGAAUAUCAUUCUCAUUGUAUGUUUACUAACAACCAAGGAUUUGAGAGGAAAAAACGUGAAUCCACAUUGAUUUUGCAUAUCUAAUACCUUCUCAUACCAAAAAAAAAUCAAGGUAUAAGAUUAUUAAGGGGGUUGUUUAAACUCAUGGAAAUGUGUUUUGAUGUUCGCCGAAUAACAAUUGUUUGUUCUCGAUUCAUUUCAAAUUUUAACAGAUGACUCGUAACUUAAGCAGUUAAGAGUUUUUUCUCGUGCUCUCAAAACUUGGCGUUACCUAGUGAAUCAUAUAAUAUUCAAUAAUGCCAUACCAUUUGAAUGGAUCGAAGAUUUCAAAUUGACAACAUUUGUGCCGGUAACCUGUGUAUUACAAGGAUCAUUGAGAAAAUACAUACUUUCACAUUGUGCCGGUAGCUUUCAUUAGCAAUGCUUCACAAUUUACAGGUACGAGGGCUUGACCAGCAUCUCCUCCGGAUCUUUCCACACUGGGAGUCCUUAACUGUACAAAUAAGAUUCACAUACGCAAAAUAUGUGCUAGACUACGCACUGCAAAUGGAAACAAGUUGUCACCCCUAUUUAUCCAAAAAUAAUAUACUUGUUAUAGAUAUCCGUGUAGAAUAUUAUAUUACGAGGGGCGGAGAGCGUGUGUACGGCAAAGUAGGAACGGGUACAGCAGCAACGUAGCAGCACAAGCAAGAGGAUGAUUGGAACUGCAACUUACCCCCACACAUUCACAGAAGCCUUUUUCUUUCCCCUGCUGGUGUUCAUGAAAGCACUUUGAAGUGAAAAAGCCAUGAAAUUACGAAGGCAAGAAUCAUGCAGGCAAGAAGGAAAUUCAUAAUGCAGCGGCCAUGCCACAUGGUUCAGGUUUCAACCUGGAUCAUGGGUGCUGAUGCGGCUGUGGCAGUACUGCUAUUUGCCUCGUUUAUCUGGCCACUGGAAAUGUUGAAUGCAGUUACUCCACAGAUCUCGCAGGUUCUGCAAAUCAAAUAAAUAAAAUUAUGCAUAGGCAGAAAAUAACAUAUCAGUCAGACAUGACAAGCAAUUACAACCAUAACACAACAUAAUGAAGAAACGUACCAUGAGGAUUUUGAACAAACAUAAUGAAGUGUAACCAAUAGCAUACAAAUAUAGAAGAAAAUGCUAUACAAUCACUGUAAGUGAUUUCAAAGGCCAUCAAUCUUCUAUUUCUGUUUCUGGAAAAAAGUCAUGUCGUCGAGAAGUCGUUCCAUUUGCUUACCAUGAUGAGUAAAAUGAAAUUUGAACUAGCUUGCUGUUCUUGCAUAUCUUCUCCUCAUCCUGGUUACCAAGCAAGUCAGUCUUGACCAAUCCAUCUAUAUUAUCAUGUGAUGCAGCUUAUCUAGAUUAUAUUUCCUGUGGCCUAAGUUUGGAUAUUUCCUUUGCAGAGGGUAUAGCGUGCAAGGUCGUAAGAACUUUACCAAAUUAUCAUCCUUCGAGUUUAGAAAAUCUCCCAAAUAUAUAAGCGAAAUAAACUUGUGACGGAAUCAAAGAAUGCAAAUGCUCAUCAUCAUUUACUAAUCCAUAUGCAUAAUGUAAACAUUUACAUCUCUAUUAGAAGCAUACAUAAAAAAUACAUGGCACACAAGAUAUCCACUUUUCGACAUAGGAGCUCAAUUCUUGCAUACAAACACACUUCCUUUAGCUUGCUUUGGACCUCGCACUUUCCACUAAUGUAAAUGCCACAAAAAGUGUGACUGUAAAAACUAUAAACGUAGAACGAUCGAUAUGUUUGAGUUCAGAUGGACUGUAAUAGUGGUGACUACAAGAUUUGUUCUUUUACUAGAUUUUCUCGUAUUUCAUAUAAGCAUACGCAUUCUACUAUAUACGUGAUCUGCCUCAUUCAGCAUUCCAGUAAGAAGCAAAAUGAUAAGAACAAUUGUGACAGUUACAUCAAAAGAAAGAAGCUAAUUAACAAGUAAUCAUUCGAAUAAGCUGAACUCACGAAAGUAGGAACCUAAACACUAUCAAGAUGGCCUCUGUUGUAGCAUGCCCAUAGUAAGAUCAUAGUUUGAAGUAUGUUAGGAUGCCACUUGUCAUCAUCUCAAUAUGACAAAUGUAAGGUUGAGAUGCUAUAGUAGUAGAUAAGAUGGUUGUAAGUUGUUAGAUGAUAGCUUACAAAGGAAGCUAAGUAGUUUACAUAUAAGGAAGUCGGUUGUAAUUGGGAGGGGGUCAUUGGAAUAAUCUCUGUUUAAUACAAGAAAGUACUACGCAAUUGUCAAGAAGCCGAGCAAGGUUUUAACAUUGGUAUUAGCCAGUGUCGAUUCCUCUCAAUCUUUCAUUGUUGUAUGCCCCGCCGACCCUGGAACACCAUGGAAUCGCGAGUGUCAACUUUGGAAACCAUGCUCGCCAAUCUCAAAGCUAAGCUCAAGAACAACCAAGAGAUGAUCAUGAUGCAGCUGCAAUCUAUGGCAGCCAAAGGCGGUUCUUGCAGCGGCGAAUCGUCCGAGGCAACACCGCUGAAUCCUCAGAUACAGGGCGAAGUACAAUGUGGUAGCCACGAUUUGGGUCUUCAAAAUUGCUGGGCAUUUCUGAAAAUGGACUUUCCAAGGUUCAUGGAAGGUGAUGAUCCUUUGGGUUGGGUCUAUAAAGGCGACCAUUAUUUCGAUUUCUACCACAUCGAAGAUGCUAAGAAGGUGAAAAUGGCUUCAUUCCACAUGGAAGGGGAAGCUCUUCAAUGGUUCCAGUGGGCCAAUUGUCUAACCAAUUAUCCUAAUUGGGAGGAUUUCACCAAGGUUUUUUGUCAAGAAUUUGGACCUUCCGAAUUCGAGGACUCUGCUGAAAGUUUGGUCAAGUUACGGCAAACUGGGACACUCCGAGAUUACUUGUUGGAAUUUUGACAUUUAUCGAAUCGUACCAAAGAUAUCAGCCUUGCUUUGUUGAAAUCUUGUUUCAUUGGGGGUCUUAGGCCGGAAUUGCAACUUGAUGUGAAGCUCUUCAAACCUAAGGAUGUGCUGGAAGUUGCUGCAUUAUCUCAGCAGAUCGAUGCCAAGCUUACAGAUCUCAAGGUGAAAACUUUCUAUAAAUCACCUACAAUUCAACCCAAUUUUAGAUCACCAGUUUUGCAGAAUGUUAGUAACCAAACAUUGGCUGAUAUUCGUACUAAAACUCCUAAUGUACGAUGAUUGACCCCAGAAGAAGUGGAUUAUUGUUGAAAUAAUGGAUUGUGUUUUCACUGUAAGGAGAAAUAUGUGAGGGGCCAUACUUGUGAAAAGAAACAGUUGCAUCUUCUUGAUGUUCAAGACUGUGAGAUGGGUGAUGAGUGUGCUGAGGAAGUAGAGAAUGAGGAACCAGAGAUAACUGUUUGUGCUAUUUUUGGCAUCCCAGCUCCACCUAUAAUUAAUACUAUGAAGGUCAAUGGAUUUGUUAAAAACUGUCCAGUCACUAUACUCAUUGAUUCUAGUAGUUCUCAUAACCUUGUUGAUUUGGGAUUAGUUAAAAGACUCAGGGGGUAUCUUGAUACUGCAUAUCUUUUCAAUGUUAAACUGCAAAUGGGGGACGAGUUGCUACGAAAGGAACAUUAGCUCCUACUGUGAAAAUUUAGGAUUUCAGUUGUAUAACUGAUCUCUAUGCCAUUCCUUUAGGGGGUUGUGAAAUUGUAUUGGGGGUACAAUGGCUUCGAACCCUUGGCCCCAUUCUCUGGGAUUUCGAUAAACUUUACAUGAAAUUCUUAAAUGGGUCUCUCAUACAUAUUGUAUUACAAGUCCAGGAUCUUCCUUACAUCAGCUUGAAGACAUAUCAGCAUUGCAGAUGCAAAAACUUUUGCAGUAGGAAAACACAAUAGGAGCAGUUCUUUAUCAAAUGGGACCUACUACUAUGCAAUGUUAUUCUCCGGAGCAAACAUUGGGGGAUCUAAGUUCUCAACAUCUCACUAAGCUGCAACAACAAGACUUAAAGUCCCUUUUGGGGGAAUAUGAGAUAUUGUUUGCAACCCCUAAUACCUUACCUCCUAAUAGGUUGCAUGAUCAUAGAAUUCCCUUGAUAGCAGGAAGAAGUAAACCUCCAAAUACGCCUUUAUAGAUAUGGUCCAGUGCAAAAAUCAGAGUUUGAAAAAUGUGUUCAGGAGUUUUUACAAGCUGGUUUUAUUAGGGAAAGUAAUAGCCCUUAUUCAUCUCUAGUAAUGUUAGUGAGGAAGAAAGAAGGGACAUGGAGGAUGUGUAUGGAUUAUAGGGGUCUGAAUGGCAUCACUAUCAAAGACAAAUUUCCAAUUCCUUUGAUUGAUGAACUUCUGGAUGAAUAGUUUGGUGUUCAAUUAUUUCUAGAUUUAAGAGCUGGUUAUCAUCAAAUUAGGAUGUAUCAUAAUGAUAUAGAGAAUACAGCUUUUAGAACACAUGAUGGCCAUUAUGAAUUUUUGGUCAUGCUAUUUGGUUUAACGAAUGCUCCUGCCACAUUUCAGUGUUUGAUGAAUGAAAUUUUCUGACCAUUUUUGAAAAAGUUCAUCUUGGUGUUUUUUGAUGACAUUUUGGUAUAUAGUGCUACUUGGGAAUUGCCCCUGCAACACUUGAGGGUAGUAUUUGAUCUGUUGAAAGCUCACAGUUUGUUUGUUAAGAAAUCGAAAUGUGCCUAUGGGAGGGAUAAAGUUGAAUAUUUGGGACAUAUUGUGUCCAAAGAUAGGGUAGUUGCCGACCCUACCAAGUUGGAUUCAAUUGCUAACUGGCCUAUCCCUACUACAGAAAGUUUAUUCCCCAUUUUGGCAAAAUUAUAGGUACCUUGAUUGCCUUGACCAAGAAGGACAGUUUUAUUUGGUCUGAGGAAGCUACACAGGCCUUUAACACUCUUAAAGUAGCCAUGCUUUCCCCUCAAGUUUUAGCUCUACCUAAUUUCAGUAAGCCCUUCAUUAUUGAGAGUGGUGCAUCUGGACAUGGCAUUGGAGCAAUAUUACAACAAGAAGGCAGGCCCAUUGCUUUUACAAGCAAAGCCCUUAGCCCCAGAAAUCAAACUAUGUCAGCAUAUGAACGGGAAAUGUUGGCAAUCAUUCAUGCAAUUCACAAAUGGCAGUCUUAUUUGGUGGGGAACCAUUUUAUAAUUCUCACACAUCAUCACAGCUUGAAAUAUUUCUUACAAGGAAGAGCUCACACACCUUUUAAGCAAAAAUGGGUGUCUAAACUCAUGGGCUUCGAUUAUGAAAUUCAAUAUAAGCAAGGCUGUGACAACCAAGCUGCUGAUGCAUUAUCAUGUAGUCCUUUAACUACUGAUCUAACUAUUGAGUUCCGGUGUGAUUCCAUUGUUUGUGCAGCUAUUUCCUACCCUUAUUCAACAUGGAUUGAUGACCUUAUGAGACAUGUUGAAAAAGACACUUGGGUGAUUGAAAAAACACAGAAAGUUCUUAGUGAUACCUCAGAUGGGGGACCACUUGGCAAUCUCAGGUUUCAAGUGGAUAAUGGGUUUCUUAAGUACAAUGGUCAAAUUGUACUCAGCCCUUGUAGUUCAUGGAAAUAAAAAAUCUUUGAGGAACAUCAUGCAACCCCACCUGAAGGCCAUGAAGGUUUUCUUAAAACCUAUGAAAGAAUCUCACGAUCAUUCUAUUGGGAAGGAAUGAAGAAAGACAUCAAAAAGUUAGUAGCAUCUUGUAGUGUCUGCCAACAACAUAAGUAUGAAACCUUAUCUCCGGCUGGUUUCCUUCAGCCAUUACCUAUUCCAUCCAAAGUAUGGUCUGAUAUCUCCAUGGAUUUCAUUGUGGGGCUUCCUUCUUGCAAAGGGAAAACAAUGAUCUGGGUUGUAGUAGAUCAGCUAUCCAAGUAUGCUCAUUUCCUAGCUCUAUCUCAUCCUUUCACAGCAUCCAUGAUUGCACAACUUUUCAUUGAUAACAUUUUUAAGUUGCAUGGUAUGCCCAGUUCUAACUCCGCCUAUGUCUUACAUGGCCGGUCCCAAGCCCGGAUAAAGGAGGAGGGGGAGGGCGUCAGGUAGUCGACAGCCGGCACUCCAUGAUCACGUCGAAUCCUUAUGAAAAUGAAUCCAGAACAAAAUCGCGCUAAAGCUAGGGCGUCACCCGUAAGUGGCGCGCUGUGUGGCCUGAGCACAGUGAUAAGUGAGCAAGGGUCGCUGUAUCUCCAUCGGCACCCGGAUGCAGUGUUAAAUGAGCAAGGGGGCCAUAGAAACUUCUUUUCGAACGACUCCACUCAAAGUUGUUUGGGAGCAUAUGCUCCUAUCAACUUUACCCGGGACACACAAAAAGAAGUACUUUGAUCCUAUUAGACGGGGGAGGGUGAAAGAAGCUAGGACAGAAGGGUAGAGUUCAAGAGAGCAAAAUGCGUUUAGGAACGUGGAAUAUAGGAACCUUAACGGGAAAAUCUAUGGAAGUAGUGGAAGUUAUGGUGAGGAGAAGGAUAAAUAUUAUGUGCCUACAAGAAACUAAGUGGGUUGGUAGUAAGGCAAAGGAUCUAGAAAACUCAGGGUUUAAACUUUGGUAUUCGGGCACAAAUAGAACGAGAAACGGUGUUGGCAUCAUCGUGGACAAGACCUUGGUACAAGAUGUUGUAGAUGUCAAGAGGGUAGGAGAUAGAAUCAUGGCAAUCAAGAUUGUAAUAGGACAAGAACUUAUCAAUGUGAUUAGUGCGUACGCACCUCAAGUAGGGUUGGAUACGAGUUCGAAGGAGAAAUUUUGGGAAGAUCUUGGAGACUUGGUGCAAGGAAUUGCUCAGACGGAGAAGUUAUUAUAUAGGAGGAGAUUUAAAUGGACACGUGGGCAGGGAGACAGGCAACUAUGGAGGUUUUCAUGGUGGCCAUGGUUUUGGGGAGAGAAACGAGGAUGGGGAAGCUAUCUUGGAUUUUGCAAUGGCAUAUGAUCUCUUCUUAGCCAACACCUUCUUUAAGAAGAGAGAAGAACAUGUGAUCACCUACAAGAGUGGGUCGUCAAAAACACAAAUAGAUUUUCUUCUAAUGAGGAAAGGGGAUCGUAUAACUUGUAAGGAUUGCAAAGUUAUACCAGGAGAGAGCGUGGCUAAUCAACAUCGCUUGUUGGUGAUGGAUGUACAUAUCAAAAGAGUAAGACAAAAGAACAAGACUUGGAAGUGCCCAAGGACUAGAUGGUGGAAUCUAAAAAGAAGAAAAACAAGCCAUUUUCAAAGAGAAGGUAAUCACCCAAUGUGUGUGGGAUAGAGAGGGGGAAGCUAGCCAAAUGUGGGAUUCCAUGUUGGAAUAAGAGCUAGUUGCAUCCGAAAGAGGUAGCAAAAGAGGUAUUAGGAGAGUCCAAGGGCUUUGCCCCACACCAAAAGGAAUCUUGGUGGUGGAAUGAGGAGGUACAAACAAAGGUGAAGGCUAAGAAGGAAUGUUGUAAAGCCUUAUACAAGGAGAGGACUGAUGAAAAUGGUGAAAGGUAUAGAAAAGCGAAGCAAGAGGCGAAGAAAGCUGUCAGAGAAGCUAAGUUAGCGGCUUACGACGAUAUGUAUAAACGACUAGAUACCAAAGAAGGAGAGUUGGAUAUCUAUAUAAACUAUCUAGAGCAAGGGAAAAGAAGACAAGGGACCUAAACCAAGUGAGGUGCAUCAAGGAUGAGGAUGAGGAUGGAAAGGUUCUUGCUACAGAGAACGCGGUUAAAGACAGAUGGAGAGGUUAUUUUCAUAAUCUUUUCAAUGAUGAAGGACAUGAAAUGAGUGCUUCUUUAGGGGAGUUGAGUAACUCAGAAGAGUGUAGAAACUACUCUUUUUAUCGUCGAAUCCGGAAGGAAGAAGUGGUUGUAGCUUUGAAGAAGAUGAAGCAUAAAAAAGCAAUAGGCCCAGACGAUAUACCAAUCGAAGUGUGGAAACUUUUGGGAGAGACAGGUAUAACAUGGCUCACUGACCUUUUCAAUAGGAUUUUGAAAACGAAGAAGAUGCCAAAUGAGUGGCGAAUGAGCACUUUGGUGCCUAUCUACAAGAAUAAGGGCGACGUACAAAAUUGCAUGAACUAUAUAGGGGUAUUAAGCUAAUGAGUCAUCAUACAAUGAAGCUCUGGGAGAGAGUCAUUGAGCAUAGAUUGAGGCAAGAGACACGGUUUCGGACAACCAAUUUCGGGUUCAUGCCAGGGCGCUCAACCAUGGAGGCAAUCUAUCUCUUACGAAGAUUGAUGGAAAGAUAUAGAGAUGGGAAAAAGGAUUUACACAUGGUCUUUAUAGAUUUGGAAAAAGCGUAUGAUAGGGUCCCAAGAGACAUUCUUUGGAGGAUUUUAGAGAAGAAAGGAGUACGAGUAGCAUAUAUCCAAGCUAUAAAGGAUAUGUAUGAAGGAGCAAAGACUGCCGUAAGAACUCAUGAAGGACAAACCGAAAGCUUUCCCAUAACUGUAGGAUUACAUCAAGGCUCAUCCUUAAGUCCUUACCUUUUUGCGUUGGUAAUGGAUGAGUUAACAGGACAUAUUCAAGAUGAUAUUCCUUGGUGUAUGCUUUUCGCAGACGAUAUAGUGUUGAUAGAUGAAACUCAGGAAGGGGUAAAUGCAAAGCUUAACCUUUGGAGAGAAGUGUUGGAAUCUAAAGGUCUUCGCCUAAGCCGAUCAAAGACAGAAUAUAUGGAGUGCAAGUUCAGUGCAAAUGGAGGCCAAAACGAGUUAGGGGUGAGGAUCGGAGAUCAAGAAAUACCAAAGAGCGACCGUUUUCGUUACCUAGGAUCUAUCUUGCAAAAGAACGGAGAAUUAGAUGGAGAUCUCAACCAUAGAAUACAAGCUGGAUGGAUGAAGUGGAAGAGUGCAUCCGGCGUGUUGUUGUGUGACCGCCGUAUGCCACUGAAGCUCAAGGGAAAAUUUUAUAGGACGGCAAUAAGGCCGGCGAUGCUGUAUGGCACAGAAUGUUGGGCGGUGAAACAUCAACACGUACACAAAAUGGGUGUAGCGGAGAUGAGGAUGCUUCGUUGGAUGUGUGGGCACACGAGAAAGGAUAAGAUUAGGAAUGAGGAUAUCCGGGGUAAAGUAGGAGUAGCCGAAAUUGAAGGAAAGAUGAGAGAAAAUCGGUUACGGUGGUUUGGACAUGUGCAAAGAAGGCCUACUGACGCUCCGAUUAGAAGAUGCGACUAUGGGACAGAGGUUCAGGGCCGAAGGGGUAGAGGAAGACCUAGGAAAACUUUGGAAGAGACUCUAAGAAAAGACUUAGAGUACUUGGAUCUAACGAAGGACAUGACACAGGAUCGAGCACAAUGGCGUUCUAAGAUUCAUAUAGCCGAUCCCACUCAGUGACUUGGAUUUUCCAAGUCUCCAACCGAGAAGUUUUCCUCACUCGGGAAAUUAAGGGAACACUACCCCAACCUACAUGCUCCACUCAGAAAGCUUCAACAUACAAGCUUCAACAAAAGAAAAUUCAAAGAACUUAGCGAAGAAGGCUUUGGUGUAUUUAACACAAUACGUUGAAAUGAAGGAAAGCUUAUUUAUUGAUAUCCCCGAUAAGCUACAAAUAUGUACAUAUACAUGAGUCAAAAUAAACAACACAAGAGGGAGCCUUCACAAAGGUUGCUUAGGAGAAGUCUCAGCAGUCGGUAGAGCCCCAGAAAGAGAAGGCACCGGAGGGGGAUCAUUUGGAGCCUCAGUACUGGACAGAACCCUAGAAGGAGGAGGCAUCAGAGGUUGAUCAUUUGGAGCUUCAUUACGCGGUACAGCCCCAGAAGACGAAGGCAAUAAAUGCCUUUGGAACAAACCCACAAAUCUCUGAUGAUCAAGUAAAACCUGACCAUCAGUUUCCUUCAUCUGGUCAAGCUUCCUCUUCAUGUUUGUAGCAUAGUCAUGUGCGAGCCGGUGCAACUGUUUAUUCUCAUGCUUGAGCCCUCUAAUCUCCUGUUUGAGACUCAUCACUUCAGCCGCCAAUGAUUCAACUUGGCGGGUUCGAGCAAAUAGGCGUUGGGCCAUAUUAGACACAGAACCUGCACACUGAACACUGAGAGCCAGCGAAUCCUUAACAGCUAACUCAUCAGACCGUUUGGAAAGUAGUCUGUUAUCUUUGGGAGUGAGAAGGUUCCUGGCCACCACCGCAGCGGUCAUAUCAUUCUUCAUCACGGAAUCCCCAACGGUAAGAGGACCAGUAGGGGAGACGAAGGAUGGGCGCCAUAUGUUGUCUGGAGAAGGCGGGGCUGCCUCUUCAACAAGGUUCAAGUCAAAACGACGGUCGGAGGGGCCAGACAUUUUCAAAGGUGUUGAAGAGAGAAGAGGUCGGACAAAUCAAGAUCUUAGAAGUGCAAGAAUGAAGCUUCUACUGGUGGAGAUUCAAGUGUGCUUUGGAACUUAAUGCCAGCCCCUAUAAAAAUCUGCACUCGACGGAAGCUUCAGAAAUCGAAGAGGCGCCUGCUCAGAAAUCGAAGAGGCGUUUGCUUUCUCAAAAGCUGGGCUGCUUAGAGAUCACGAGGGUUGAUCUCAGAAAUCGAAGAGGCGUUUGCUUUCUCAAAAGUUGGGCUGCUCAAAGACCACGAAGGCCGAUCUCAGAAAUCGAAGAGGCGCUCGCUUUCUCAAAAGCUGGGCUCCCCAGAGACCACGAGGGCCGAUCUCAGAAAUCGAAGAGGCACCUACUUUUCCAGCCUUUUCCAGCCUUGUCAGCACCUGUCACACGCACACUCAGCUUUGCGGAAAUUAUGGGCAUUCUGUCGAAGACUUCUGGGGAAGUAGAAAACACAUGAAUCUUACUGUUCAAUCACCCACUUCCCACACGCAACAAUAGCUCAUGGGUACCACAGAUAACUUUGCCAAAGUUCUCUGCCAAAGUUGAGCACGUGAAGCUUGCAGCUCCCACUACAUCGCUCUGACCAAGAAGGGUAAAAGAAUAGCAAAGAAACAGCACUAACAAAGUUUAGACCCAUAAAUUUUGAAGGUCUAGCUACCAUAUUAUUACCCACAAGGGUAAAGGAACAGUACCACUGCUGGAUAAUUGGAAAGUCCCUGUGUGUCAACCUCUGUGCUUCGUGGCAAGGUAGACUAGCAAACAUGCCCAACCUUUACUCACAUUCGAGAAAACACUCCCAAUAAGAUUGCUUGCUCCAAAAUCGAAGAGGCACCGUCCUCCGAAUCUCGAGAGCCAGACUCCCAACAUGACUACUUUCUUAAAAAUCGAAGAGAGGGUAAAGGAACAGUACCAUUGCUGGAUAAUUGGAAAGUCCCUGUGUGUCAACCUCUGUGCUUCGUGGCAAGGUAGACUAGCAAACAUGCCCAACCUUUACUCACAUUCGAGAAAACACUCCCAACAAGAUUGCUUGCUCCAAAAUCGAAGAGGCACCGCCCUCCGAAUCUCGAGAGCCAGACUCCCAACAUGAUUACUUUCUCAAAAAUCGAAGAGACACUGCUCCCCGAAUCUCGAGAGCCAGACCCCCAGCAUGAUUGCUUUCUCAAAAAUCGAUGAGGCAUCGUUCUCCGAAUCAAUCGAAGAGGCGCUCGCUUUCUCAAAAGCUGGGCUGCUCAGAGACCACGAGGGCCGAUCUCAGAAAUCGAAGAGGCACCUACUUUUCUAGCCUUGUCAGCACCUGUCACACGCACACUCAGCUUUGCAGAAAUUAUGGGCAUUCUGUCGAAGACUUCUGGUGAAGUAGAAAGCACAUGAAUCUUACUGUUCAAUCACCCACUUCCCACACGCAACAAUAGCUCAUGGGUACCACAGAUAACUUUGCCAAAGUUCUCUGCCAAAGUUGAGCACGUGAAGCUUGCAGCUCCCACUACAUCGCUCUGACCAAGAAAGGUAAAAGAAUAGCAAAGAAACAGCACUAACAAAAGUUUAGACACAUAAAUUUUGAAGGUCUAGCUACCAUAUUAUUACCCACAAGGGUAAAGGAACAGUACCACUGCUGGAUAAUUGGAAAGUCCCUGUGUGUCAACCUCUGUGCUUCGUGGCAAGGUAGACUAGCAAACAUGCCCAACCUUUACUCACAUUCGAGAAAACACUCCCAACAAGAUUGCUUGCUCCAAAAUCGAAGAGGCACCGUCCUCCGAAUCUCGAGAGCCAGACUCCCAACAUGACUACUUUCUCAAAAUCGAAGAGAGGGUAAAGGAACAGUACCAUUGCUGGAUAAUUGGAAAGUCCCUGUGUGUCAACCUUUGUGCUUCGUGGCAAGGUAGACUAGCAAACAUGCCCAACCUUUACUCACAUUCGAGACAACACUCCCAACAAGAUUGCUUGCUCCAAAAUCGAAGAGGCACCGCCCUCCGAAUCUCGAGAGCCAGACUCCCAACAUGAUUACUUCCUCAAAAAUCGAAGAGACACUGCUCUCCGAAUCUCGAGAGCCAGACCCCCAGCAUGAUUGCUUUCUCAAAAAUCGAAGAGGCAUCGUUCUCCGAAUCUCGAGAGCCAGAUACCACAGACCACUUUUUCAAAGUGCUCUGACAGAGUUAAAACAUGUGAAACUGGCAGCUCCCACUACCGUGCUAUGACCAAGCAGGGUAAAGGAAUAGCAUUACUACUUGUUGUUAGGGAGACUCCUAUAUAUGUCGACCUCCAUCCCCAACGGACAGGCAGACCUGCAAAAAUGCUCAACCCUUCAUCAUAUCUGAGAGGGCACUCCCAACGAAGCCUUUCGAAAUAUUCAGCUUUCUUUCCCCCCGAUAAUACCUCUGCAAACAAGCUAUACUAGAGCAAGAAUAUCUCAUAUCAUCAGGGUUAAAAGCAAGAGUAUCCCAUAUCAUGCUUUUUUCCCUGUCUUUUCCUUUGGCCUUGUUUUUACCUGCAAGACAAGGAGAAAGAGAGCAAUCAGUCAGCACUUGGAAUCAAGCUUCCAGCCAGGAACUGACUGCCUGGAACCCCUUACCUGAUUACUUACCUGGCAUUGCUCUCGAGUACUCAUCUUCAACAUCUUAUGUUUCCAGGGAAGAUUCCGCAUCUGCUUGAGGAACAGAUAGGGCAAGUGCGAAGGAUACAAGGAAGCAUGUGGAGACAAGCGUAACAGCACACGUGCCGAUACAUCCAUUACUCUGUCAAAAGCAAAAGUAUCCCAUAUCAGCAGGGUGGAACGUACUCUAGAUUUGAUGGACUUGUUUUGACCCUCAAAUUCUUCAGUCGGCCUUAUACUCUGGAGGAAACCAGAAAACCCUCCAGCUCAGUUCAAGAAUAAGCCUGUGGAAAGUUACUUCUUCAAAAGCAAAAGUAUCUCAUAUCAUCUCUUCUCAUUUUUCUUCUCUUUAUCCUUCAUGCUGCUGCAAGAUGGGGAGAAGGUGAACAAUCAGUCGGAGCUCUGAUUGCUUACCUUGUCUGUCACCUCUUUCAGCAGACCCCCUAGCUCGGCGACUUGGGGGACUCCUACUACAUGGUUUGUAUCGCGCUUGACCAAGCCUGAAACUACAAGUAAGCUUCAAGUGAAAUUGAUACAUUACCUUGUGCAUCUCCACCAGUUAAAGAUACCACCCCUGGAUGGAGGAAGAGUACUUCCAGAGAAGAUGCCACAUCUACCUAUGAGACAGAUAAGGCAAGUCAAGACGAUACCACACUCCGAUACUUAGAAGUUUCGUGAUUACGAGAUCAUUCUCCCACAAUAUUUCCUAAUGUCAUUUGUACUAAAUCAUUCACUUGUACUCACUAAAGGAGAGCUUGAACCUAUGUACUUGUGUAAACCCUUCACAAUUAAUGAGAACUCUUCUAUUCCGUGGACGUAGCCAAUCUGGGUGAACCACGUACAUCUUGUGUUUGCUUUCCUAUCUCUAUCCAUUUAUAUACUUAUCCACACUAAUGACCGGAGCAAUCUAGCGAAGAUCACAAAAAGCGACCGUUUUCGCUACCUAGGAUCUAUCUUGCAAGAGAACGGAGAAUUAGAUGGAGAUCUCAACCAUAGAAUACGAGCUGGAUGGAAAGAGUGCAUCCGGCGUGUUGUGUGACCGUCGUAGGCCACUGAAGCUCAAGGGAAAAUUUUAUAGGACGGCAAUAAGGCCAGCGAUGUUGUAUGGCACAGAAUGUUGGGCGGUGAAGCAUCAACACGUACACAAAAUGGGUGUAGCGGAGAUGAGGGAUGCUUCGUGGGAUGUGUGGGCACACGAGAAAGGAUAAGAUUGAGAAUGAGGAUAUCCGAGGUAAAGUAGGAGUAGCCGAAAUUGUAGGAAAUAUGAGAGAAAAUCGGCUCCGGUGAUUUUGAACAUGUGCAAAGAAGGCCGACUGACGCUCCGGUUCGAAGAUGUGACUACGGGACAGAGGUUCAGGGCCGAAGGGGUAGAGGAAGACCUAGGACAACUUUGGAAGAGACUCUAAGAAAAGACUUAGAGUACUUGGAUCUAAAGGAGGACAUGACACAAAACCGAGCGCAAUGGCGUUCUAGGAUUCAUAUAGCCGACCCCACUUAGUGGGAAAAGGCUUUGUUGUUGUUGUUGUUGUUGUAUGGUAUGCCCAGUUCUAUCAUCAGUGAUAGAGAUCCCAUUUUUAUGAGUAAAUUCUGGAAAACGUUUUUUGCACUAUAAGGGUCAGCUCUUUGCUUUAGCUCAAGGUAUCACCCUCAAACCGAUGGUCAAACAGAAGUGUUGAACAGGUGUCUUGAAACAUAUCUCUGGUGUUUUUGCAGUUUGCAGCCUAAAAAAUAGCUACAUUGGUUGUCUUGGGCAUAAUGGAGUUUCAACACUAGUUAUCACAUUGCCACCAAAUUAACACCUUAUGAGAUAGUGUAUGGUCAGGCUCCUCCAGUGGUUCCUUCUUAUGGAAAUGGCACUACAAAGGUAGCGUCAGUGGAUCAAUGCUUGCAGGAAAAAAACAUGAUGUUAUCUAUUCUCAAAGCUUAUUUGAUAGCAGCUCAAUGUAGAAUGAAGGUCCAGUUUGACAAGAAACGAACUGAAAGGCAGUUUAAGGUUGGUGAUUUUGUAUAUUUGAGGUUGGUGCCUUAUCAGUACAUGUCCUUAGCUUCUCACUCCUUUAGCAAAUUACAACUAGGGAUGGGCAAAUACCCAUUGGUUACGGGUAACCACGGUUACCCGUCUAUUUAAAUUAAACGGUUACUGUUAUGGGUAACCGUUUAGAUAAAUAAACGGUUAUGAGUAUAACCGUUUACCCGCGAAAUUUAAGUGGGUGGUUAUGGAUAUUAACCACGGUUAUAAACGGGUAACCAUUUACCCAUUUAUUUUAUAUAUGUAAAACUAACACAAACCAUGUUCUCGAUUCAAUAAUACUUAGCACCCAAUAAAUUAGCAAGGAAUUCAUCGGCCAUUCUCUCAAUAACACUACUACAGGAAUGAUGAUUCUCAUCAUUAAGGAAUUGGCCAAAUUAAUUUAAAUUCCUUGCGGGUAACCGUGAAAUUGACAGAAAUGCUUUGACAGAAAUGUCUUCUAAACAAUUUUUGUAACCCAAUAAUACUUGGCAAAUAUUAUAUUUACCUUCAUCGAUAACAGUUAAAAAUAUCGUCUGUAAAUUAUUGUUUAAAUUAUUGGAAUGAUAUAAGGAUUCAAAAAAUUAAAAUAUGGAAAUGUAUGAUGAAUGCACCGUGUUUAAUUGUCAAAAAAAAAAUUAUGAUAAUUUUUUUUAUUAUUUUCAAGUUGUUAAAAAACAUGUAGACUGGUGAAAAAAAAGGUAAUGGUUAAAAAAAAAAGAUAAACAGGUUAAAAAAGAUAAAUGGGUAAACAGGUAUUAAACGGUUACGGUUAAAUCUGUAUACGGUUAUGGAUAUGAGUAUAACAGUUUAGGCAAUUACCCAACGGAUAAAUGGUUAUACGGGUAUGAAUAUAAAUGGUUAUGGGUAAAUUAACCGCAGUUACCCGCCCCCAUAACAUUACCCAUCUCUAAUUACAACCUCGUUUUUAUGGACCCUUUGAGGUGAUAGCUAAAGUGGGACAUGUGGCUUAUAAACUGAAGCUUCCUGACAGUUCCAAACUGCAUCCAGUUUUCCAUGUUUCUUGUCUCAAAAAGCAUUUGGGUUCUCAGCAUAGCCCUACCACGCCACUUCCAAUCAUUACUGAGAAAGGAAUAUUACAGGACAUUCCAAUUGCCAUUCUAGACAGAAGGUUGGUGAAGAAGGGAAAUGCUGCAAUUACGGAAGUCUUCGUCCAAUGGCAGAAUCAUACUCCAGAAGACGCUACCUGGGAACCAUAUCCUGACUUGAAAUCGAAGUUUCCAGAAGUUGCUAAUCUCUAAGUCCUGUUCGAUGUACUGUUCAAUUUUUUUCCAGCUGCUUUGGAUUCACAUUUUACUGUUUUCUGCUGUAAUAAGUCAGUUUUCAAGGGGGGUAUUAUCAGGAUGCCACUUGUCAUCAUCUCAAUAGGACAAAUGUAAGGUUGAGAUGCUAUAAUAGUAGAUAAGAUGGUUGUAAGUUGUUAGAUGAUAGCUUACAGAGGAAGCUAAGUAGUUUACAUAUAAGAAAGUCGGUUGUAAUUGGGAGGAGGUCAUUGGAAUAAUCUCUGUGUAAUACAAGAAAGUACCAUGCAAUUGUGAAGAAGCCGAGCAAGGUUUUAACAAAGUAAAUCACAUCAAAAGUGAGAGAGCGACUCCGGAAACCAACUGCAUCCGUGUGCUUGCACUUCAAUGCAGAUACAAAACAAAACAUAAUCGUAAAGUUUUCGGACUAUCAUUAAACACUCAAGCAUAACAAAUAUUCACAAUCCAGCAAAUGGGUGUUCAUAAUUUCAAGCAGAACCACCAAAUAAUGCAUCCAUCUGCAUCUCCGUUGUAUCAUUACCCUGUACAAAGAAAGUGGCUCGAAGUCCUGAGAAGCAACAUAACCAACAAUCACACCGCGGCAUUUGGGUGCUCCAUUAGAAAUGGUGGGACUACGACCAUGAAUCCUAGGUAUAUUACGUCUUGCUACAGUUAAAAGGGAUAAGUGCUCAAAAUCAAAUACAUAUUCGUGAUAUAACUUUGGCACUCUUAUUUCUGAUACAUAUUUGUGACUGAGCAGAUAAUCAUAGAUAAAAUCUUUAAAAAAAAAAAAUAUCACAAUUUCAACCCGAAAUUUCAAU